RNAcentral lists this long non-coding RNA (117149 nucleotides) under Setaria italica (foxtail millet). RNAcentral's name for it is "long non-coding RNA (SITA_LNC005781)". The record is from RNAcentral. Lineage: Eukaryota; Viridiplantae; Streptophyta; Magnoliopsida; Poales; Poaceae.
AUUGUAUUAGAUGAUGUAUGGGAGCAAGAGGUAUACUUCAAAAUACAUGAUGCUUUCCAGAAUCACCAAGCAAGUCGUAUUAUCAUUACUACACGAAAGGAUCAUGUUGGAGCCAUCGCUUUGUUGGACCACCACCUUCAGCUAGAACCAUUGGAUGGCCCUGAUGCAUUUGACCUUUUCUGCAGAAGGGCUUUUCACAACAAGGAGGACCACAAAUGCCCCAAGGAGUUUGAGGAAAUUGCUACAUCUAUAGUGGAUAGGUGUCAUGGCCUGCCGCUGGCAAUUGUUACAAUAGGCCGCUGGCAAUUGUUACAAUUGACCACGAAAAUACAUUAUUUGGAAUCAAACAUAUAAUCAACUAAGGAGUGAGUUGUCAACAAAUGAUCAUGUCCGAGCAAUAUUAAACCUAAGCUAUCAUGAUCUAUCUUUAGGCCUCAGAAAUUGCUUUUUGUAUUGUAGCUUGCUCCCUGAAGACUACCCCAUGUCACGAGAAAGCCUCGUGCGGCUGUGGGUUGCAGAAGGCUUUGUUCUGAGCAGAGAAAAGAAUACACCAGAGGAGGUGGCUGAGGGAAAUCUCAUGGAACUGAUUCACCGCAAUAUGCUUGAAGUUGUGGACUAUGAUGAGCUCGGAAGGGUUAGCACUUGCAAGAUGCAUGGUAUUAUGCGGGAUCUGGCACUCUCCGUUGCCAAAGAAGAAAAGUUUGGUUCUGCAAAUGAUUAUGAAGCAAUAAUACUUUCGCCGGUUGUCAUUAUGUAGGUGGAAAGUUAAUACUUCACUUAAGGUUAAAUUUCCACGUCUUAGAAGCCUUGUAGCUCAUGGAAUGAUUUCGUCCACCCCUGAUUUGUUAUCCUCAAUUUUAUCUGAAUCAAAGAACUUGACUGUUCUAGAGCUGCAAGAUUCUAAUAUCACCGAGGUGCCCACAUUUAUAGGGAAUCUCUUUAAUCUGCGGUACAUUGGGUUAAGGCGCACCAAUGUCAAGUCACUCCCAGAGUCAAUUGAGAAGCUCUUCAAUCUCCACACUCUGGACAUCAAGCAAACCCAAAUAGAGAAGCUACCACUAGGUAUUGUUAAGGUUAAGAAGUUGAGGCACCUUUUGGCUGACAGGUUCGCUGACGAAAAGCAGUCAGAUUUCAGAUAUUUUAUCGGAGUCGAAUCACCUAAAGGGCUGUCGAACCUGGAAGAACUGCAGACUCUAGAGACAGUGCAAGUGAGCAAAGACUUGGCUGAGCAGCUGAAGAAACUGAUGCAGCUCAGAAGCAUAUGGAUAGACAAUGUAAGUGCUUCUGAUUGUGAAAACCUUUUUGCGACCCUAUCGACGAUGCCACUUCUUUCCAGCCUGCUUAUCUCUGCAAGAGAUGUGAAUGAGACACUUUGCCUCCAAGCCCUUGAUCCGAUUUCCACAAAGCUCCACAGGUUAAUUGUAAGGGGCCAGUGGGCUUCUGGGACACUGAAGUAUCCGAUAUUUCGCAAUCAUGGGGAACAUCUCAAAUAUUUAGCGUUAAGCUGGUGUCAGCUUGGAGAAGAUCCACUGAGUGUGCUCGCUCCACACGUGCCAAAUCUCACCUAUUUAAGUCUUAACAGGGUGAAUAGUGCAAGCAUGUCACACCCGAUUUUAAGGACAAAAUCGAGUGCAUUAAAUACAUGUGCGCCAGGAUCAAGUUACACACAUGUACGACAAUAGUGAAUAUCAAAGACAGUGUUAAAUCGAAUAAAGAGAGUAUUAACCAUUAUUACAUGACCGAAAGUCUCACAUAAACCACAAAGUCUAAUUAUUACGCAGCGGAACUCCAAAGACGAUGACGACUCCACAGGCAGCCGACUGAAGAAACGUACGCCUAGAACUCCUCGAAGUCGGGGUAGUACUCCUCUUCCCAAUUAACUGGGUCUGAACAGCGGUUUUGCAAGGGUGAGUACACUUAUGGUUGGUACUCAACAAGUCGUGGGGAAUAGUGUAGUGUAAGGCUAAUUCAAGGUAUGGCUAAGGCAUAAAUAGCAUUCGCUUUUAAUUAAGUUGGUCAAGUUUUAUUAGCAAUUAACUAAGUAUAAGUUCAUACCACCCGAAAUUAAACAUGAACAAAAAGUAAGCAACAAAUGCAUGAAAUGAUCACAAGUUUAAUCCAUCUUUCGAUAAUAUUAUCAUGUGAGGGUCCAGGCCGCUCUUAACCGUGAGCACGGCUGAUCGAUUAGUUUAACACUCUGCAGAGGUGGCACAUCUUUACCCACAAGUCGCGUAAAAGUUCAAAAGAACUUUGGACCCAACCAUGCGAUGCUAGCUAGGCACCAUACCACACUUCCGAGGUGUGAUUGCAUAGGGACGCUACGAGGCCUUUACAAAGAUUCGCUAGCAAUGUGGUAACCCGCUAAGGUUUCAGGUCGAAGCGAAACAUAGCAGUCCCCUAGAGGGCAUAGUGUCUUAGCCAAGCCCACUUCCCAAGAGAGCGAGUGCUAUAUCCCAUCAACGCCUCCCCUCUUGCCCUUCCGGUAAGGUAACCCCACGCUAGAGUUUCUAAUUAAUCAGCCAAGACCAGAGCCAUUUAGUCUUGUGGUAGCACUGUUUUCCUGGGUGGUUCUCCAUGUUCCGAUUAACAAAUAAUGAUCUUGUCUUAAUGAAAGGUAUAACAGAAGUAAAGCAAGAUUAAGCAUUGUGUGUAGUUAAACCACCAUGUACCAAGUAAGCACUAAGCAUGAGCUACCCAACAUAAAGUAAACCGGUUGGUCAAGGCAAAGGUAAAUCAAUCUAGGCGAACCUUAAUUGGGACCCAUCAAUUUAAUCUUAAUAUGUGCAUAGCGUAAAUGUUAAGUACGAGAAAGUAAAGGUGUAUAGGACAACAAGAUAGUGAUCAAGGACACGACUUGCCUUCUUGGCCUUGCUCCUGCUGUUCGUACUCUUCGAAGGCUUGAUCGGCAACUCCCUCGAACUGCGGGGCGUCUACACGCGUCACACGAGCACAUACAAGCAAACAUAGGCAAAAGUAAGAAAACAGUACACCAAACAUAGUUAAACAGAGAAAAUAAGCUUGAAAAGAUGAUCUACGCUUUAAAACGAACACGUGGAUAUAAAGAACGCGAAAAACGGAGUUAAGAUGCAAAAGAUAUGAUUAAAACAAGAUCCAGGGACCUUUCUGUAAGAAAAACAAAACUUUUAGGGCCUAUCCGCGAAAACCGAGGGCUUAUACGUAAUUAUGCGUAUAAACCGAGGGUCUGACGCGUAAAAACAACAAACCCGGACGGCGGGUUGAUUUCUGGAAAGCUCAAGGGUUAAACCGAAAAAGGCGAGGGCAGAUCUGUAAAUAUUUUCAACGCGAUCUGGACCGCGGGUUGAUUCGCGGGUUGAUCUGGACGCGAUCUGUAAAUAUUUUCAACGCGAUCGGAUCGAGAUCGGACGGCCACGGUCGUCCACGACUCGCGACGGCGGCGGGGAAACAGAGCGGCGGCGGCGGCGAGCGGCGGCGCGCGGCGGCGAGCGGCGGCGGGUCGCCGGAGUUGGCCGAAACGGCGCUCCGGGGCACUAUUUGAAGCGCGGGUUGCACCAGAAGAAAGAGGAGGGUGCGGCGAUCCCGUUUUGGGGGGGUUCUCGUCGUCGGGAGCUCACCGGAGGCGGCGGGCGACGGCGAGGAAGAGGCGGCGGCGCUAGGAGCUCGAGCGGCUAGGGUUUCGGGUGCUGCGGCGCUGGCGUUUGGGCGGAGGAGACCGGGAGGAGGCGGCGGCUUUUAUAGGGCUUGGAGAUAGAGGCCCCGGGGGUUUAAACCCCUCCGAAGGAGGCGGAGCGGAGGGAGUUCGCGGCGGAGACGGCGCGCGGCGGUUGCGGGAGGAGUUCGGCCGGAGGUGGGAGACGGUGGUGGGCCCCACCUGUCGGCGGCCGCGGGCGAAGGCGGGCUGGCGCGGUUGCGCGGGCCGGCGCGCGCGCUCGUGGGCCACGAGGCGGGGGUGAGCGGCAGGCCGGGGUGAAGCGGUGGGCCGGCGCUUCGCGGGCCGCGGAGGAAACGCGAGCGGGCGAGCUGCGGAGCAGGCCGAGCGGAGGCGGAGCUGGGCCGCGGAGAAAAGGAGGAGGGGGCGACGCGGCGGGGAGCUGGGCCGCGCGGGAGAAAAAGAAAGAGGAGGCCGGCGGAGCUGUUGCGGGCCGGUGGUGAUGGUGCGGCUGGGCCGAAGGAAGAAAAAGAAAGAGGAGGGAAGGAAGUUUCGGCCCAGGAGAAAAAGAAGGAGAAAGAAAAAGAAAGAGAAAAAGAAAAGGGGUUUUGGAAUUUGAAUUCAAAUUUGGAAAUUCAAAAUUCAAACUUUGAUUCAAACUCAAGCAACCAAAAAUUAUGCUCCAGCAUGAAUGCACAAAUAAUUCCUAUGAUGAAUUAAUUGAAUUAAAGAAAAUGGAAUUAAAUGCCUAAAAUUUAAAUAACACCUUAAUUUGAGCAAAUUUUAAUGAGUUUGAAUUAUAGAAAUUUUAGGUGUUACAAAUCCUACCGUUCUUUCUGCUGGGUGUUUUCCUCACCUGAAGACGCUCGUCUUGAAGCGAAUGCCGGAUGUCAAGCAGAUGGAAAUCGGAGAUGGUGCUCUUCCACGUAUUGAAGGUCUUUACAUUGUGUCCCUAGCACAACUGGAUAAGGUUCCUCAAGGCAUCGAGUUGCUUCUUUCUCUGAAGAGGCUUUGGCUGCUGUACCUGCACGAUGAGUUUAAAACUCUGUGGCAAACGAGUGGGAUGCACCAGAAGAUGCAGCACGUUCCAGAGAUUCGUAUCUAGGACAACUAGAUGGUAAAUUCUCCAGUGGUAUGCUUGUAUGAUGUGUCUGCUCAGAACUGUGUUUGUUGGGCACUUUAUCCCUUUUUAUUCCAAUAAGCCAUGAAUUCUUCCUUUUGAUUUUUUUUUUAUUGUACAUUGAAACACCCAUGUAUGUGCUGUGUGUUGGUUCAGUUGCUUUAGAAACACUACUUUUGUUCAAGAACACUUCCCUUCUGUAUUUAACUUUUGUAAAUGAUGUUAUGAUCAACAGAUUUUGUGCAUGUGAGGUGCAUAAUAUGUGAACUUACAAACCAGCAGAAUAUUCAUAAUUUCAGGGCGUUUACUUUAUUUAUAUGCUACUAAAUUGAACAGUGCUCUUCACUUUGCCACUAACUUUUUGCUUUUCAUUUUUUAUGCUGUUAUUCCAGAUGGUGCUUCUAGAAAGUUCAAUUUCUCGUAAUUCUCAGUCAAUUUUCCAUUAGCACCCAAAAAUACUGAAAAAUCCUUCAGAAAAAGCUUGAAAAAAUGUAGAAAAUUAUUUUGAACUAAGAAAAAUAGUGAAAGCCUGAAAGGUACUCACCCCACACACACGCACACCCCAAACGAUUAAAGAAAGUCGUAAACUCUUAAUCACUGAAAAAAUAUUUUCUAAAACAAUAUGUGCAGAGAAAACUAUCCUACAAAUUUACUUUUUGUUGAAAUGUGUACGUUUCGAUCUUUACCAGCUCUUAUGGAAAAUCCUUUUUAAAGGAUUUCUACUAUAUUGUUUUUCUUCAAAGAUGAUAUAAAAAACUUUGUUUAAAUCACUAGUAGAGAACUGGCCUUUAGUCCUGGUUGGUAGGAUGUAUAUCUCCCGAAAAUCCAUCCGGGAUAAACUAACCGGGACAAAAGGGGGGGCCUUUAGUCCCGGGUCCUUCAACCGGGAGUAAAGGUCACCCUUUAGUCCCGGUUGGUGUCACCAACCGGGACUAAAGGGCCUGCCACGUCAGGCGCCGGACAGACCCUUUAUUCCCGGUUGGUAAAAGCAACCGGGAGUAAAGGGUGCCCCUUUAGUCCCGGUUGGGUUUCCCAACCGAGACUAAAUGGCAUCCUGCAUGGCGCCCUGCAUGGCACCUGAAAUUUUCAUGCAUCACGUACGUAGUACCGCGGUCCUUUUGUUAACCUUUAGUAGUUGAGAUUUUUUUAUAAUGAAAUCAACUAGUAUUUAAAUGAAUGAAAUUUGUAAUUAUACAAUUACUAUAUAUAUACACAAUUCAUAUACACAAUUCAACUAGUACAAAUCGAUCUUAGCGUGUAUUAUAUAUACAAAUCAAACUAUAUAUCUACAAUCUUGAUCCCAUCGAGGUGUUGCUCGGAACGUCUAAUUGUCGUCCAUUGUAAUAAAAUUCUCCUUUUGGAUUUACUACCUCGUCCAUUAGGAAUCCAAUGAGACCUUUACAUAUUGCCGCUACUCUUUCUUUCUUCAAGAGUCCUUGUUGAAUAUUUAACAUCUAUAAUUUGAAAAUUUAUGAAUGUCACAUGAACAAUUAAAUAUAAGGAGCUAGAAAAUAAUUAACUAGUAAUAGUUUUAUUUUACGUACUUUAAAGUUGUGCCACGUCAUCUUUAGUCCCUUGGGUCCCAGAAAACUGUGCAUGUGCUCACAGAUGUAGUAGCCACAUAGAUUAUUCCUGGGUUCCUAUCUUAAGCACUUCAGUGCGGAAAAAAAUAAGUUAUGAAAUAUUCGUGUUAUACAAUAUACUAAAUGUGCAGACUUCAUACGUACCGGGAAGUCUGUGUUCCAUGUAAGUUUUUCUUUGAAUGGACCUUUGUGUGUCCUUAUGAAUUGUUUCCAUGCGCUGCGGAUUAGAAUAAUGAAUGAUAUAGUGUAACAGGGAUAAAAUUUAGGAAACAAACUUUUGCAUAGAGAUAAAGGUCCAGAAUUAUUACAAGCCUAGCAUGUCUUGCAUGUCUUGGUACUCCGUCGGAUCUUUCCUUAAUGUAUUGAAGACAGUGACGUGGCUUCUUUCAUGCUCAAUUAUAAUAAGGAUCCAGUGGAAGCUGCGUACGUAAAAUGUUCAUGUAUAUUAGAGCUAACUAACAUUAAUCAGGUAAGGAAAAAGACAACGAAAGUAGACGGUAUACACACACUUACUUGAAGUUGUAUGGAAGUAGUAUGAAAUCCUUGAAUUUUUGUUUGUCCAGGAAAUUGUAUACUUCCACCAAAGUUUUUUCCAGCGAUAAUUGUAUCUGUUUUUGGUUAACUACGGAUGGAUCCAUGAAGCCAAUAUGUAGGUACACCUCUCAUCGGCAUGUCUGAAUUAGCAUCCUACAUAAAAUGGAAGACGAAGUUAGUAUGGUGACGCACACAAAAAAAUACUGAUAUGAGCCAAAAUUUGCAUGUAGAGAUAAACGGACACUUACAGAACCCAGGCGCUGACCAGAGAGACGUCCAGGACAUCAUGAUGGUACACUUCGUAUAUAUCCUGGAAGUCUAGCUACAGAAAUUUCUCGCCUUCGCCGUAAAAAUCUAUCGGUUUACCUUAAGGUCCAAUAUCUCCCUCGAGUCGGCGGACACCUUUAUGUACCAUUCAUGGAAUUCGUACAUCUUUGUUGAUAGCUUCCGUACCAACUCAGGCCUUACUAGAGAUUUGCCUAGCUCAUAAGUCCAUCUCGGCUCAGGAAGCGGUGCAGCUGGCGGCUCAACUUGCCCUAAACAUUCAUCAAGUCCCAGACCUGUUUCUUGCAUGAAUUUCAAUACUUCUACUUGUUGAUCCAAGGGCAUUGCUGCUACCCUUUGAGCGUCUUUUUUGAUAAAUGCUCGAGGUUGGGGACAACACCACUGGAAGAUGACUUUCCUUUCCUUUUGUCCCUUUCAUCAGCCUUUACUAAAGCUCGUUCGUAGUUUGAUAAGAGUGGUAUCCUUUUCUUGGCUCCUUCUUCCAUCCUGAUAAAAAAGUUUAAAUCUCUUCAAUUUACUGGUGGUGGCUCCAUCUCCCUUGCUUUUUUUCUUCAGCUUGUUUCUUGAACCACGCACUGGCAUCUGCUUGGAUUUCUGCCCACUAUUCUGCAUGACUCAUUGCCUCCCAGCGUUCCUUACGAGUCACUUCAGGCUCCUUUGUUUUCUUCUUUCUCUCUCUUUGCUUGGGAGGCGGUGCUUGUGACUUCUUUAGUGGUGCUACAAGUUCCUUCAUCGGGGCUGCUCUUGAUCCCGGCAACGGUGAUCGGGGAGGGGUGUUGUUAUUGUCGUCGUCGCUCCCACCACCGGGAUGUUGUGGAGAUGGAGACCUUGAUAGAGUAGGAAGCAACGGUCCUGGAGCAAGUUGUGCAGGAGAUGACGGUCUCGAGCUAUGAGGAGAAGGUCGCUGCUGGGGAUCUACGGGGAGCGGUCUUGAGCUCUGAGGAGAUAGCUCCGUGCCGGGAAUGAUGAUGUAGCGUUUGCACCAUAGGAUGAUCCCAUGAAGUGCUUCUACCAGUGUUCUUUCCCUGUCGCCUCCCGGGAGGUCGAUCUCUAGGCCUUCAUAUUGGCUAUCAACAAGUUGAUUUAUGCGGACGCAAGCAUAGCUAGGUGGAAUCUCCAUGCCAUGACUGCUCUGCCCUGCCAGGGUUGGUAACGCACUUCCGUAUGCUACCUGUACAUAUAGCAGAAGUAAACAAAUUAUUAAACUCCGAUCACGAGGCGUGGAUCAAUUGACAAGAUUGCAUAAAUAUUAUGUAUAAGUAUACCUUAAUAGUGAGGUUGCCGACCAGUGUAUGCAGCUCACAUGUGGUGCGUUGUGUGAUGGCAUCCACAGGGAACUGUUGCUCCUCCACGGGUAACCUGGGCGUUUGCGCAUCGGGGACCCCUGUAGAAGCACAACUGCUCAGGAGGCGUUGAGAAGGGCUGGCGCGGUUUGGAUUCAGCAAUGCUCCAGAUUGGGCCAACUCCGCAACUGCAUGAGCCACUCGAUGAUUGAUUUCCUUCAAAAUUCUUUCUUCUUUGUGCCUGCACUUUGGAUUCUAGCAUCUGCCGCUAGCUCUCCUCAAUCUGUUCCUUUCUUCGCUUGCGGCUUCUGUACGAUGCGAUGUCGCCUCGGAAAGCAAACUUCCACGGAAUGACCCCGAACCCUCGGCAACGUCCUGGGUGCUCAGGAUUAGCGAGGGCCAAUGUGAGCUCAUCAUUCUCUCGGUCCACCUUCAACCUCCUAGCCUUAGAAUCUUCAAUGUUCUUCAUAAGACGUUCGACCUUUUCACGUAUUGUCUCAUUGAAUAUCAACGUCCCAUCAUCUUGGCUCAAGUAGCCUCCAUGAGCGUAACACCAAUUUUUCGAUCGUUCGAGCCAUUCAAUAGUUGCAGGUACGAUUCCCCGUUCGAUCAGAUCUUGUUCCAUCUUCUUCCAUUUAGGAAUUGCUAUGCCAUAACCAGCUCGCCCUAGAUGAUGAUGGUACGCCUUCUGACUAGAAUUUGUAGUGUUGCUCAGGAUCUUUUUCACACCGUCUUCACUCUUCUUAUAUUCAACAAAUGCCUCCCAGUGGUCCCUCAACUUUGGCCACACAUUGAAGUCUGGAGUUCGGCCCUUCUUAAUGUAGUUGGCAUCCAGCAUCUUCUUGAACGUUUUGAAUUGUGUAGCCAUCUUCUUCAGCGUUCACGCUUUCACAUCCUUUUCAAUAUAACAUUCGGGAAAUGUGAAAUGUCUCUUGACAUCUUUUUCCCACAUCAUAUUAUUUUGUGUCUCCAGGAGCGCGUACGGAUUAGUGCUUUUGCCCUUCCAUUCUCUGAUGCUGAUAGGCACGUUGUUCCUUACUAUUGCCCCAAUCUGACUCACGUACUUGUUUGUUACUUUCUCGGGAGCAACCGGCCUGCCCUCUUCUGUCACUUCCGUGAUGACAAGCCUCCCUUCCAUCACCUUUGUACGACCUCGGGUCUUCUGCCCUUGCGUCGAUCCAAAGAGCUAACAGUUCAAGAUUCGUUAAUUAGUACGUACUAUUAACGGUGGUGUCAAACAAUACAAAUUAUAUACCUCGCUGUAACCUUCCGCCAUGGCAAGGUGUUGCUGGGGCUCAUGCUCUUCAUUCUCAUCACCGGACAUGUUGAGGAACAUGUCCGCCUGGGUACCCUCUUCAUUGGUUUACGAUAUUGGAAGGUUGUCACCACUACCAUCACCAGCGAUUAUCUGCUCCAUGAGAUACCUUGCGGUCUCGUCGUCUGCCAUUUCAACUACUGAUUGAAACAUACAUAGAAUCAUACAUGACACUCAUGAAUCAUAGAAAUCGCCUUAGUUGCAUGUACGUAAGGGUAUAUACAUGAAAUCAUAAAAUAACAUGAAUCCCACAAAGCUCGAAAUAUUUAUACAAAUUUCAACAAAUUAGUAGUACUUUGUAAGAAUUUCUACCAAAUUUCUACUAAUUUAUACAUAUUUAUUGAAAUUUCUAGCAAAUUACUACUAAUUCCUACUAAUUUUACAAUAACAUGAAACCCACAAAGUCCGGAAUGUUUAUACAAAUUUCAACAAAUUAGUAGUACUUUGUAAGACUUUCUACCAAAUUUCUAUUAAUUUAUACAUAUUUAUUGGAAUUUCUGGCAAAUUAUUACUAAUUCCUACUAAUUUGAAUGAAUUUCUACAAAAUUUAUCAACUGAUUUUCUAGCUAAUCUACAAAUAUCUAUUGAAUUUCUAACUAAUCUACUAAUUUCUAUUCAUUUUCUAACUAAAAAAAUAAAAAAGGCCCUUGCUGACGCAAGCCGGUGGGCUUGCGUCAGCAAGAGCUGUUCGUUCCCGACGCCAGUGCCGGCGGACCUCGCGUGGUCGACGGUGCCUAGCUUGGGCGACGAGGUGGCCGAGGCAGCGGGACGGCGGCGUGUGGGGCAGCGGUAUGGCGGAGGCGGGGACGGAGCGAGGUGGCCGCAACAACGAUGGGCGGAGGCGGCCGGCGACGAGGGACGGAGGCAGCACGCACGACAGAGGCAGUGACGAGGAGGCCCCGCGACGAACGAGGGUGCAGCAGUGAUAGAGGAGGUGGCGUUGACGGAGGCGGUGACUCGGACGGAGGCGGCGAUGAGGCCCCACGAUUGAGGCGGUCGGCGGCGACGAGGUUGAGGGGGCGCGACGGAGGAGGAUCAGAGGCGGUCCGGGACGAUGGAGGAGGAGGCGGUCCGGGCGUGGGUGAGGCGGUCGGCUAGCGGGACGACGAUGGCUGGGGCAAUGGGGGACAACGAUGGCGGCGGCAGGCGAGGGAGGCGGACGGGCAGCGACGGAGCAGGCGAGAGGGCGCGGGAUCUUGGCGGUGGUGUGAAAAUUUAGCUAAGUGUAACUGGCGUGGGGGCUAGAAGAGGAUACAGUGUCUUUUAUCCCCCCCUUUAUCUUGGUUCUCAAUUGCUCCCGGGACUAAAGGCCCUUUUGUCCCGGGUGCUAACACCAACCGGGACAAAAGGGCCCCCUUUUAUCCCGGUUGCUAAUUGUAACUGGGAUAAAAUGGUAUGUCCCAGGCGGGAAUCGAAAGCGACCCUUUUAUCCCGGUUGCAGUUGUCCACUGGGAUAAAAGGGGGGCCUUUUGUCCCGGUUUCUAUUGGCACCCGGGAUAAAAGGGACUUUUCCCACAAUUUCAUCUCCCGCCUAUUAUUUGCAAAAUGAUUUUAUUUAUAUUUUCACUGCAUUUCAAGAUGCAGCAACAAAAAACUUCACAUAUUUUGAACAUGCAAAAAUAUAUUUAAUUAGGAGUAUAUUGACAAUAAGUGUGAUUUAGUCAUUAAUUCUAUAUCAGUUCGUUUAGCCUCUAAAAUAGUUAUUUUACUGCAACGCUAUGAUCAAGAAAUUAUUCAAUUAAAUAAUUUCAACGUGCAAAAAAAUCCAUGUAUGUAUGUGGUUAACAUUAUUCAUGUUUAUCUAAUAAAUCUUCACCUCAACAAAUUUAAUAACACAUGAAAUCAUAUAUAGGUUAAAUUAAAAAUUGUAUCAAGUACUACACAAAGGUCAUGUAAAUUUAGUGCAUUACAAUACAACGUUGUAAAAUUUCUUCUUCACGAAAGUUCCUUGAUUAUGAUCGCGGCAUAAGUAUGGAGCCUCUUCUUUGAAUAGCAGGAUGCUUGGGUCAACCUCAACUGCGAAUGGAGGCAUGCCAUCAAACUGAUCAUAAUCAUCUGAUUGGUCUGUUUUAUCCUCGACUCCCAUGUUUUUUCUUUUACCUGGAAGAACUAUGUGGCACUUUGGCUCCCAUGUCUCUUCUGGAUUUCUCUUGGGUUUGCUACACAUGUCCUUCACAUAGAAAACCUGAUGCACAUCAUUGGCAAGAACGAAUGGGUCAUCACUAUAUCCAGUCUUGCUCAGAUCUACUAUUAUCAUUCCGUACUGAUCUUUAGUUACGACAGUUAGCUUCACCCAAUUGCAAAGAAAUAAAGGGAUGUACAACAGUCCGUAUUCGAGUUCUCAUACCUCCUGUAUGAAACCAUAAUACGACUCCUUACUAUUAUUUCUAUCUAUGGCAUCUAUGCGGACACCACUAUUCUGGUUCAUGCUUUUCUGGUCCUGGGCUCUCGUGUAAAAUGUAUAACCAUUUAUCCCAUAGCCUUGGAAUUUUACGAUUGUGGUAGCAGGUCCCAUGGCUAACCAAGCGAGCUGUGGGUGAAUCUCAGAGUUACCCAUAAGUUGUUGGCGCAACCAGGAGGGAAAAGUUUCCAUGUGAUGACGUGUAAGCCAAGCAUCGGAUUUCGUCGGGUUUUUGGAAACUACCAUCUGCCUGUGCUGCUCGAUAUACGGAGACACAAAGGAUAACUGUUGUAGAAUAGUCUAAUAUUUCAUGUUGAACAAAUCAGUAUGAUUGCUCAAACUUGAUUUCCUUCCAAGGGUACCCAUUCCCCGGAGCCUCCCCUCGUGGCGUGAAGUUGGAACCUCAAUCGAGUCAAUUGACUCAAUAAAAUCAACACAAAACUCGAUCACCCCCUCUGUUCCAUAUCCCUGGGCGAUGCUUCCUUCUGGACGGGCACGAUUAAGAAUAUAGUUUUUUAGGACUGCCAUUAACCUCUCGAAAGGCCACAUAUUGUGCAAGUAUACAGGUCUGAGAAUACCAAUCUCUUUUACUAGGUGAACCAGUAAGUGCGCCAUAAUAUUGAAGAAGGAUGGUGGAAAUACCAACUCAAAACUGACAAGACAUUGCACCACAUCGUUCUGUAGCUUUGAUAGCUUGGAUGGAUCGAUUGCCUUCUGCAAAAUCGUAUUGAGAAACGUGCAUAGCUUUACGAGCGGCAACCGGACAUUGUUCGGUAGAACACCCCUCAGUGCAAUCGGAAGAAACUGGGUCAUCAACAUGUGGCAGUCAUGGGUCUUGAGAUUUGUAAACUUCUUUUGUUUCAUAUUUAUUAUUCCCUUUAUAUUCGAGGAGUACCCAGACGGGACCUUCAUACUAUUCAAGCAUUCAAACAUGGUAUCCUUCUCUUCCUUGCUGAGAGUGUAACUGGCGGGAUGUAAGUAGUGUUGUCCAUUAUCUCUCUUUUCCGGAUGUAGGUCAUCUCGUUGCCCCAUGGCUUUCAGGUCCUGUCGUGUUUCCAAUGUAUCUUUUGAGGUCCCAUAAACACCCAUGAAGCCUAGCAAGUUCAUGCAAAGAUUCUUCAUCAGGUGCAUCACGUCUAUUGCGUUGCGAACCUCUAGGAUUUCCCAAUAAGGUAGCUCCUAAAAUAUUGACCUUUUCUUCCACAUGGGUGCACGUUCGUUAUCGUCGUUUGGAACAGGUUGGCUACCAUGAACCUUUCCAAAGACUCCAUUUACAUCCUUUAUCAUCUCGAAGACACGCUUUCCAUUACGGUGUGCAGGUUUUUUACGAUGGUCUGGCGCCCCUUUGAAAUGCAUCCCGCUCUUUCUCGGCUGGUGGUGAGCAGGGAGAAAUCGACGAUGACCCAUAUAGACGACCUUAUUACAGUGCUUCAAAUACAUGCUGUCUGUGUCGUCUAAACAGUGGGUGCAGACCUGAUAUCCCUUAUUUGUCUGUUCCGAAAGGUUACUCAGUGCAGGCCAAUCAUUGAUGGUUACAAACAACAAUGCUCGUAGAUUAAAGAUCUCUUGUCUAUCCUCAUCCCACACACGUAUACCUUCUUCCUUCCAGAGCUAUAAAAGGUCAUCUACCAACGGUCUUAGGUACACGUCAAUGUCAUUGCUGGGUUGUUUUGGGCCUUGAAUAAGCGCCGGCAUCAUAAUGAACCUCCACUUCAUGCACAGCCAGGGAGGAAGGUUGAACAUACAUAGGGUCACAGGCCAAGUACUAUGGUCACUACUCAACUCACCGAAUGGAUUGAAUCCAUUAGUACUUAAACCAAACCUUAUGUUUCUUGCUUCACUUUCAAAGUCUGGGAAUGCUCUAUCAAUUGAUCUCCACUGGGCCCCAUCUGCGGGUGUCUCAGCAUCUCAUCUUCCAUACGUUCUUCUUUGUGCCAUCGCAUCAACUUAGCAUUCACCUUGUUCCUAAACAAGCGCUUCAAGCGUGGUAUUAUAGAGAAAUACCACAUCACCUUCACGCAAACUCUCUUAUUGGGAGACUGCCCCUCGACAUCACCAGGAUCAUCUCGCCUGAUCUUAUACCGCAGCGCUUCGUAGAUGGGACAAGCAUCCAUUUUCUCGUAUUCAUCACCACGAUAGAGGAUACAGUCGUUAGGGCAUGCGUGUAUCUUAUGAACAUCCAAUCCGAGAGGGCAAAUAAUAUGUUUAGCUUCAUAUAUUGUGGACGGUAAUUCAUUAUUCUUGGAAAAAAUCUUCUUGACAAUGUUCAACAUCCCCUAAAAUGUCUUAUCAGACACACCAUUUUUUGCCUUCCAUUGCACAAAUUAUAGUGUCGUACCUAGUUUUUUAUGGCCCUGCUGGCAAUCUGGGUACAACAAUUUUUGGUAAUCAUCUAUCAUGUGCUGCAACUUUGCUGCUUCCUUCUCAGUUUCGCAAUAUCUGUGUGCAUCUCGUAGCACCUGAUUAAGGUCAUCAGUAGGGCCAUUUUCUGCAAACUCAUCUUCAUCAGCCUCGCCCAUUGUAGUAUCUGCAAAAGCUUGGCUUGCAACCCAGUCCGGAAUGUUGUCAUCUUCCUCCUCCUCCUCGCUGUCUUCCAUUACAACCCCUCGUUCACUGUGCUUGGUCCAAACCAAAUAGUUAGGCAUGAAACCGUAUCCAAACAAGUGGCUGUGAAUAGUCUCCCAGGAAUCCUUUGAAUACUACUUCUUGUUAUUGCAUUGGAAGCAUGGACAACAUACGAACCCAUUCUCUGGCUUGUUCGCUUUGACCACUUCGAGAAAAUAAUGCAAGCCAUCAAUAAACACCUUGCUCCGCCUGUCUGCAUUAUACAUUGUAGUGCAAAUAAUGCUAAAAAUUUAGAUAUAGAUAGAAAUACACAUAUUUAAAUUAAAGAUCCAAACAACAUGAUACAAUACAACAAGCCAUCCACUAGUUAUUAUCUAGGAGGACUUUAAGCAUCCUUGGGUGGUGAAGACGAAGGCGCUGACCUAGCCUCAUCCUGUGGUUUAUUUGUGCCGCCUGAAACGGUAGUACUAAGUGGAUGUGAAACACCCGGGACUGAGGGUGGAGCAUAACGAUCACCAAAAGGAGGUUCCUGACCCACGGCAACAGCUUCUUCAUGACGUUUCUGCAAAUAACGAAGCAUUGCUUUUUCCAACGCGCUCAUUUUCUUCGACUUAUGCUGAGGGCCAACUAUGAUUUUCCCCUUCCCGAAAGAGGAACGAUGAUCGCCCCCACCAUCGCCACUUCCUCCAGUAGCAGAAGCCAUCUAUGUACAUAAAUUCUUACCUUAGCAUUGCAGAAGUUGUUGAACUUGAAGAUCGUGAUCAUGUCGCGAGCAUGUCCUCAACUGGGCAGCACCGCACUUCGUUAUGAAAGAGGUUCGAUUCUACGGAAAAGGGGACCUAGUCACGAUGUCUGUAUCCACUCUUUCUCAUAGAAUCGAACCUCCUUCUUGACAUACGUUGUUGCUCGGCGGAGAACAACCUCGCCGAGAUGAACACGGUUUGCAAGUUCAACAAGUGGAUUUGAAAAACUAUAUUGAAUUUGAUAAGAUAAACCGUCUAGACAAGGUAGCAUCAUUCUUAAACCACUGCAAGAAUACAUACUAUAUAUGACACAUCAAUCUCCCUCACAUUCUAGCUCAAAAUACCUCUCCAUUUUCUACUUCAUCACAUUCUAGAAAAUAAAUUUUCCAUCUCCAAAGCAUAAAUCAAAGCGUACACGAGGAUGAAGUAGUAAACCUUCACAACACCUGUGUUGGCUGAGUGAAAUUCCCACGAAAAUGAGGGAAAAAAAUUCGGACAGCACCUCCCUUGCUUCGGCACCACCGGAGAGUAGGUGAAGCUCAGCUCUCUGUCUAUGUGGUGGACUGGCUCGGGGUGGAGGAGGAAGAAAGGCCUCUGUCUUGGUAUAUAAUGGGGAUGAGUUUUUAUCCCGGUUAAAAACUCCAACCGAGACAAAACGGAACACCUUUUGUCCCGAUUGAAAGUUUAGUCCCGGUUGGAGGCUCCAACCGGGAUAAAAGGGUCACGCCAACGACACCCCAGAACUAGCCGUUACAACCGGGACUAAAGGGGGGCCUUUAAUCCCAGUUGCAGAUACCAACCGGGAGUAAAUCUCCCCUCCAUUUUUGCCUACCGUGGCGCACCCCCUUUUGUCCCGGGCCAACUUUAAACCGGGACAAAAGGGGGUGCAUCGAAAGUCAGUUCUCUACUAGUGAAUGGUCCUGGAUUUUUUCAUGCUCUUUUUUUAUAUUUCCCAUGAUAUUUCCUGAGCUUUCUGUGAUUUUUAGCACAUUCUUUUACGUAUUUUUAGAGACCAUGUAGAUGAGCUUUCGCAAUAGAAUCAAAGUUGUGAUAGCAUGUUUAUUACUUGCAUUCUAAGGAAAUAGUGCCAUGAAUAAAUGAGAUGUGCUAACUUAAAAUGGCCAAGUUAAGAGCAUUGUUUGAGUUAAUGUUAUAAAGAAAAUGAUCUCGUAGAAAAAUAAAACAUUUGGGCACUAAUACACAUACUUUAUAAAAAAUAAGUUCCUUUAGGAAACUAAAGGUUAUUACAAAUGAACUUCCUUUUGGUAGAUUUAUUCAUCAAUAAAGACAUUAUGUAAAUCACAAUCAAUUAAGACUUUACAAAAACAGUUGGAAGACCUUUCUACGAGUUGUCUUCCUUUUUGUUUUUGCUUAUAAAAGAUGAUAGGUUGUUAGGGGAACUCACAUAAUAAUAUUUACAUGACGCCAAAUAUCUAAGCCGUUCGAUUGAGCGUUUUGGGUGCAAUCAGAUGAGAUCCCACAUUGUAAGGGACUACAUUGAUCCUCUUCUGAUCAAGACGCCCUCGAGAGCUCCGAUCCGCCGUGGCCCCUGCCUUUGUCCCGAUGAUGGCUCCACCGCCGCCGGCCGGAAACUCUGGCGCUGUACGUCCUGGUGGUGCCGAGCCGAGGCGAUCGACUGCAGGGAUCUGGAACGGCAAGCGGCCAAGCCUACCUCGUCGCGCCGCCGCCGCUGCCCGCUGGAGUCGAUGAAACCCAUGGUUGAAGAGCGGGAAGGCGAGGUCCUACUACUCGACCGGCCGACCCCUCCCACCACUGAACUUUGGUUUGGAUAGAACUCAGGUGAUCGCCCACUUCCAUCUCCCCUGUGUAUUCCUUUUGCAUUUGUUCCAAUCAAACACUAUUAUUGAACUGAAACCAUCUCCCAAACGAACUGAACAAAUCUUCUAAGAAAUCCGUUGACGUACCAGCAAAACAACGGUGCAUUUGCAUUCCAUUACCCGUCAUUCCGUUGUGUGUAUGAAGUAAUAAUCCGUAGCAGACCUCAGGUUUCCGAAUGUCAUAUGUUCAUGGACAUCUUGGAUAGCAUAAUUAUGAAACGAACUAUGUUCACUUCAAUACAGAUUCUAAAUGGGGGGAAACAUGUAGACAUGCAGAAAGGUGCAGGAAAGACUCCUGGUUUACUAGAAAAUGAUACAACACUUGCAACCAAUGAGUUGCAAUGAGGCUAUGACUGAAUUCAAAUACGAUGGAAAAAGUAUUGUAGCUAUAACUCAAGAGUGGAGUAAUUUAGACAAUGGAAUGAUAAGAUACUUCAAUGAUCAUUAAGGAAGGAAAUUUUAUGACUUGAGAUUGACCGCCUUGAAAUAUUCUUCACAGUAGUCUGGCGAACCAAAUUAUGUAGUAUUUCUACCAACUGACAAGAAUCCUCCACUGAAUGCUUCACCUUUUGCUGCAAAAAGAAAGGGCAUCAUAAACCAUGGCGACCUAUCUUUGGGUAGAGGUACGUGGAGCAAUUUUAAAUUUUUAUUUUCACUUAUCUGUAAUUUGCAGUUAUUGCCUCGUGCUAAGAAAUUCAGGUAGCUGCAAAAAUUUACUAAUUUUAGAGUUAGUGUUAGAGUUUUAUUUGUUUCUGUAAAGGUGAGGCCGAUAUCCCUAAAGGUACAAAAACUUUAUGAUAAAUGAAUUGCACGAAUCCUUUGGGAAGUUGGGCAUAGUUGGUCACAUAAUAUUGCAAGCACUAAAUGUGUGCACUUUGCAGCCCUCUGGCUGGUUGGUAUCUGCAUGUGGCAUGCUACGAAAGUACCUCUGACAUCUGAACAGAGCAAAUUGGAGCUAAGUACCGUAAAAUAGGUACGUCGAUAGAUGUAUAUGAGAGAACUGACCCGAUUAACUUUGCAAAAGAUAGUAUAUUAGAUAUUUCUGGAGGGAAAUUGGCUGCACAUGAGAAUAAAAAGAGAAGGGAAAGAAAGCUGACCGUCAUGCUCCCACAAGGAUCAGAAUCCUUAUAAAGUCAUGCAUGUAUGAAAUGAAGAACUACGAAGCCACUCGGCCAUUGUUAGCAAUGGAUGAACCAGUUAAAGCGGCACAAAUCACUUGCUGUCCCAUAUUAUUGAAAGCAGAAUCUGUUUCGUCAUGUGGCAUUUGGGUGUGAGUCUCCUGUACCUGUUCCUCUGACAGAACAGAACGAUCUACAAUCUCAUUCUCAGUUUCCCCUGCUGCAGUGGAAUCUCCAUCAUGAUCUACCUUAGGUGGUAUAGCCCUUUUGAGGACAACUAUUGGCCUGUUGGGAUGUUCCUUAGCCGCCCUCACCCAGUUUGCUUUAGUACCAUCAGUGACUCUACAAUCAAGCAUUAUUUCGCUCAGUCGUGUGAAACCUUUGAUCUGGAUUCCACAGAGGCCAUUCAUAUCUUUACAGAGCAGCUGAAGAGAUUUAAGAAAUGGCAAAGCACCUUCUUCGACCUUUGGAAAUGUUGGACGCUGCAGCACAAAACAUAGGCCAAGCAGCCUUGGCAAUCCCUUGUUGUUAAUGUGGAUCUCUUCAAGUUCAUCUGCAAUCAGCUUAAGGUACUGCAGAUGCGUCAAAUUGGUCAAAGCUGUGAGAAGAUCAGCUGUCAUUUUAGUUGAUUGAAGGUGCAGCUCCCUGAGUCGGCGCAGUGCCGUGACAAACCCAGGAAGUUCUAGUAACCUGCCCUGUAAUUUCAGUGACCUAAGAUAGCAGGGAGCCUUUAAAUCUUUCAAAAAGUCCUCAGAGCAUCCAUCAAAAUAGAGCGAAAAUGAACGAGGGUCAUUGCUUGCAUCCUUUUCAUCAUGAAUGAACUCUUGUAUGGCCUUCUGAAGAGUAGUCAAUCUAGUACUAGUCGCAGAUGACUCACACCAGAUCUGUAAUACUGUUAUGAUGGAGAGAAAUGCGACGGGCAUGGUUAGGUUGGAGCUAUCCCCUCCAUCAAACAAAGUAAUGAAGUUUUCACAGAGAGACUUGAGCGUAAUGAACUCGUGCAUCAUGCCAUAAGUUUUGCAAGUUUUCACUUUGGUAUUGAUGCUUACAUUAAUGGGUUGGAUGAUGUUCUGAUUCAUUAGCUUCUCAAAAUUUUCAGCAGCUGGAUCAUUGCAUAAAUUUGUUGGCUGCAGAAAUCCCUCAGCUAUCCAUUGGCUCUUUAUCUUUUUCGCCCUGACUGGAUGAUCACUAGGGAACAUAGCAAAAUAUAGAAAGCAUGCUUUGAGGGCAUGGCUUGGAAGGCUGGCAUAGUCAUGGGUCAACACCUGAUGCAUCCUGUCCAAGGUAUCGUCACCGCUCUGCAGAUCAUAGAAACGAGCCUUGUUGCACACAUCCUCGCAGUCUUGUCCUGUCGGCCAACUCUUUUUUUGCAUAAAAUGGGCGACAGUAGUCAGAGCAAGUGGUUGAUCAUCACAUUUAUUUAAAAUUGCUGCUGAAUCAGGCUGCAAGUAAUCUGAAUAUUCCCCUGGACAAGCAUUUCUCAGAAACAAUUGCUUUGAGUGUUUCUCAUCAAGUCUUCUCAUUUUGUGUAUGUAACCGUGGGUUGAGCUGCAGGUAUUGGCUACUGACUGGAUUUUUGUUGUCACCACUAUUCUACUGCUAACAUCUCGAGGGAAGGCAGGCUUUACAAUACUCCAUUGAUCUGACCUCAUGCCAUCAAUUACGAUGAAGUACCUGGAAUAUUUAGAAAUGAGGAUAUAAAAGUUAUCAAAGAGUUAUUCUGCAACAACAGCAAACUAAUGGGUCAAGGAAGAAAGAACAGUUUUCUUAUUGGACUGCAUUGAGCAUCACAUAUAUAACAUAUAUAUAAUUUCUGUAGUUUAAAGGAAUAACUGAUGUUUACUGAUAUAUGCUUUCAAAGAAUAACAUACAUAUGCUUUAAGUAGUGACAUAUUCACACGUGGAGUAUACAAUAUGGCCCAAAUUAGCAACUGAUUUAUAGGGAGCACGUGAUCCCUUUAGUUUUCUUAGCUAUUUCAGAACUUUCUUUCGGCUUAUCAUUCACCCAGUAUAGGGAGCACAUAUUUCUACAUAUCACUUCCCAAAGAGAAGUCUCCUUUUCUUUUCUCCUUAUACUACAAGUCUCAGACAUUAGAUUCAAAGUGUUUGUAGGUAGUUCAACUGAGUGCAUGAAUCUUUUCUGAAUCCUCAACAUAUUCUGUACGAGAAACUAUCUGAAUCUUUCAUUUCUCAAAGCCGAUGUCUUUCCUGACUAUCUAUGUUUGCCAUUUACGGAAAGAAUUUCAUUUCGAUGAUAACAUUCAGUAAUCAGACCAAUGAGUAGAGUACUAUUUUCAUUUUGCUAGAGGAUGGUAGACAGUUUCUACCUCUUGUUAUUCAGGAAGUUGCAAAGAUCAGCACUAAGCUGGUUGACAUUGGAGGUAACCAGAUCUGGCUUGUUCAGUUGACGGAGUAUCUCACUUAAGAGCUCCCCUGGAUCCCCAUGCGUCCCAGAAACCCGUGCCCUUUCCUCAAACUGCUUGCCAAUCUCGCUGUUGUACAACUCCCGGGCAAGGAUGGUCUUCCCCAAUCCAGAGAACCCAACUACGGAGAUCACCCUCAGCUGCUUAGGUUGACCCUCGGCUUCCGCCAACUGCUCCAGAAGCUCCUCCAGGGGAGCAUCGAUGGCAACCAGAUCAUCAGGAAGGACAUGCUGAUCCCAGGAUGAUUGUGCCAGCUGGGAUGAGGAUGAAUGGGACACUGAAUACCUCUGCUGCCGCUGGAGUGCUUCCUCCAGUCUGUACCUAAGGUGCUGCAUCUCUUCGCCUAACUGGGAGCGUGAUUUUCUCUUUCUCCCAGAUUUUCCUAACAGUACCAUGGUUGCUGAUCCGAAAACGCAUCAUACAUGAUGUGGUAUAUGCAAUCCUCCAUUUCAUAAGCUACAUGACGCAAUUCUUCAACCGAUAAACGCAGUAUGUGAUCAUCCUGCCCCAAGAGCUGCCCGUCAAUGGCACUGGUGAUUAUGGGAAGCUCUCUCAUCAGGAAAGUCACAUCUCCUUCAAAGCCCUUGUACAGCUUGUAUUUCUCCUCCACCAGCGAGAACAAUCUCGACACGAGGUUGUCUACAAAUGCACUCAACAGGCCAGGGUCCUCCAUCGAUCACAAUGGUUGUUAGCUAGGCACUGACGGUUCCUACUUCCUAGUGAGGAGAUAAAGUGCUUCCUGUCUUGCAAUGUAACAAUGGGGUGGAUAAAACAGACAUGGAGCACAUGGACCUUAAGGAGCAUCUUGUAGCAGGGGAGGAGACCACAUCUGGCUUUUCAUCUGACAGUAAAUUGCAGUUGUUAGCAGCACUUUUUACAUUAAAUAUAUCAUAAGUAUGAAGCCAUAUUAAAUUAGUACUAAGUCCAGCACAGAAAUGCAAUGGUUAUAUGUACAAAAACUGAUAUUCACACUGUAACCACUGAUAUUCACACUGUGCCGAUGCUUAUUACAGUCCUUCUUGGGAAGCUUCGUUCUUUGUUGGUCUCUCCUGUUAGAUUGAUCUCCUCCCCAAUGGGCCCAAAGGUCCAUCGGGACCCUGAUCCGCGCCCUGAUCGGGGGCGCUCACCCUAGCAUUGGGUGGUGGGCUCCUGUCGUGCUGCGCUAUAUAAACAGGGUGGGGGACCCGGCUCGGCUCACGAGGUUCGCCGCAGCCAGCCACCCCACCGACACACCUACCGAUCUAGGUUUUGCGCAGUAGCGGCGGGAAGUACCACCGCCACCUCACCGGCGACCGGACUCGGCACUGCGCGUCGCUGCCUUGCGCAGACUUCCCCAAGCGAACCAGCGAUGGCCAGCAGCUCUGCUGCUCCCACCCCUAGGGGUGAAGGUACCCCUAUCUCUCUCACUCCCUCUCGGCACACACCAGAAAUACCAUGUCCCUCAUGUUGUUUAUGAUCCCGACUAGAUAUGCAUCUAGAGUAGGCACGAGUCUAACAAUGCUAUCAGACACCUCACUAGAAGCUUUUCUAGAUCGGGAAAAAGAAGUAGAUCCAAAAGAAACAGAAAAAGUAAAACCCUAACCCUAACCCUAGAUCUAAAGAAUGAAAGCGGCGGCUUACCUGUCGCUGACUUCACCGCCGCACGUCCACCGACGGCGAGCGGCAAAGGCCGGCCGAGCCUCGGGCUCGCCGAGGAAAAGCUCCACCCGAGCCGCCGAAGCAUCCGCUCGGGACUCAGGGGGGGUGCAACAGCACCACCAAAGGACCGCUCGACGGCGGCGCGCCCAACCCUUGCGGUGGACGCGCACACCGGCGAGGGGACCCGUGGUGGCGCCGGCCCUCCUCCAUGGUCACCAUGGCCUUCUGGAUCUCGGUUUUCGGGAGACUCGGAGGGAGAAAGGGGGGAGGCAAGAAAGUAAAAGAGAGGGAGGGGGGCUGCCGCGGCCGUGCGCCGGCAGGGCCAUCCCUCAACCGCCGCCGCCGGCCAUCGCCGGGCGCAGGAGAGAUAGCCCCGCCGCCGCCGCCGCUACGGUGGGAUGUCGCGGGGAAAAGAAUAGACUAAGCUAGGGUUUUCCGGGGGAGCGGCCGUCGGAGAUUUUGAUCCGCUAAAAAUGCCGCUGGACCGUCGGAUUUGACGGACGGCCGAGAUUGUCCGGGCCAGAUUUGGCCCAAGCGGGUAAGAAGUGCAGGCCGUUUUGGCGGCCCAGGCUCAGGGUGCGGCCUGCGAGUGCACGAUCAGAGCCGGUCGGGCCUCAAGCCUGCGAUGGGCCGUGCGAACCGCGGCUGCUAGGCCAAAGGCCAGCAGGCCGCGCUCACGACCGGCCGCGUCGCGUGAGCGGGCCGAGCGCGGGAACGGGCUGUGGGCCGUUUUUCGCGGCUAGGCCAAAAAGCGAGUUUUGCACAGUAACGCUUGAUAAUUAGUUUUUUCUAUUUCCAGAAGCAUUUAAUUGAUGUUUUUUGCAUAGUUUUGGUCUCUAAUCUAAUUUGAACCAACGAGAUAAUUUGUAUUAGAGAUUAAUAAAGUUUACACAGUGUUUUUGCUUCUGAAAAUAGUUUUAUUCCACAGUUUUCCGCUGAAAAAAUAAAAAUUUAUUGCUCUAUUUAAAUUUAAUUUGAACCAACUAGACAAUUAAAUUUGUGAGAGCAUAAUAAAGUUAAUUAGAUUAUGGUGCUGUUAUUUUCUGACCAACGUUGUUAAUAACUGUAUCAUGAUUUAGGGAGUUUUUGAUGCUUUUAUUUCUAUUUCUGCCCAACGGUGAUAUAGUUUUAAAUUGCAUAAACAGUUGUAUGUUUUAUUUUUUGACCAACGUUGGAAAUAAAUCAUGCAAUUGUUGUUAUGAUCUUAUUUUGGAUUGCAAAUUUCAGGAUCAUUCAACUUAAUGGCUUGUCUCAAAGAGAUACCCAUUCUGAAAGGAAACAACUAUACAGAGUGGAGGAAGAAGAUUGAAUUCUCCUUCGUUUGUGGAGAAGUUGACUGGGUGCUGACUACACCGCGGCCACAAGCUCCAGAGAAGCCAGUGAGGGCUGAAGGUGAUGAUGAUGCUGCAUGGCAGCAAAAGGAAAGGGACUAUGCUCCACUGGAGUUGGCAUACACCCUUGAAAACAAACAGUGGACCACUGCCAACAAGAAAUGUAUGGCUUUGGUAAAGAAUACGAUUGAGCCUGCUAUUUUGGGAUUGAUUACAGAGUGUGACUCCGUCACAGAGUACCUCGAGAAGAUAAGGAAUCAGUUCACUGGUUUCUCAAAGCUAUAUGCUACCCAGUUGUUCAAGCAGCUGGCCACAGAGAGGUACAAUGGAGGAGGGACUGGCAUAAGAGAUCACAUCUUGAGGAUGUAUAACUUGGCAGCAUAGUUGAAGCCAAUGGAUCUUGAGCUCAAGUCUGGGCACAUUAUUCAUUUGGUUUUCGCUUCUCUGCCAAAAGAGUUUGACACCUUUGUUGUCAAUUAUAACAUGCAGCCAGAACAGUGGGACAUGGAAAAAAUGAUAGCCAUGUGCGUGCAGGAAGAGGACAGAAUUAGAUCCUCAUAUGGUGGUUCAUUGCACUAUGUGAAGGACAACAGGAAAAAGAAUGCUAACUCCUCUUUCAAGGCACGAGGAAAGGCUCCUAUGCAGCAGAAUCACCAAAAGCCUCUCACAGUAGACAAAGAUCAAUGUCUACACUGCAAGAAAAAGGGGCACUACAAGAAAGAAUGUCCCGACUGGUUAAAGUCAAUAAUGGCAAAAAGAGGUGAGAAUACUAUUUCCUUUGUAAAUGAAUCCUUGUAUACACAGUAUUCGAAAUCUACUUGGUGGAUUGACUCAGGUGCAACUGUUCAUGUUGCAAAUUCUUUACAGGGAUUCCGUUCGAUGAGGACUACGCAAAGAAGCGAAAGAUGCGUUGAAGUCGCAAAUGGAGUCCAAGCAGAGGUUGAAGCUGUUGGCGAUGUCUCUCUAGAGCUAGUUGAUGGUUUCAUGCUUGUACUUAGAGAUGUGCUUUAUGUUCCUUCGUUACACAGAAACUUGAUUAGCAUUUCACGUAUGGACCAUGAUGGAUAUGAAUGUCAUUUUGGAAAUGGAAAGUGUGCCAUUUGGUUCGAUAAUGCAUGUGUUGGUGUUGCCAUCCUUCACAAUGAGUUGUAUUUAUUAUCACUACGUGAAAAAGUAAAUUCUGUGUGUGAUGUGAAUAUGAUUGUAUCCUCGUCAGAGCAACAAACAAAGAAAAGAAAGAGAACUCAUGAAACAUCGUCGAAAUUAUGGCACUGUCGUUUAGGCCAUAUUUUGAGGGGGAGAAUAGAAAGACUAGUUAAGAAUGAAAUUCUUCCUCAAUUAGAGUUCUCAGACUUAGAACAAUGCGUUGAUUGCAUUAAAGGAAAGUUUGUAAAGCAAAUUAAAAAAAGGCGCUAAACGUAGCGCAGGAGUUUUAGAGAUUAUCCACACUGAUAUUUGUGGACCAUUUCCUGUGAAAAGCAUGGAUGGCUAUGACUCGUUCAUAACAUUCACAGAUGAUUACUCCCGUUAUGGUUACAUUUAUCCAAUUAAAGAAAGAUCAGAAGCACUGGAUAAAUUUAAGAUAUUUAAAGCUGAAGUUGAAAAUCAGCAUAACAAAAGAAUCAAAAUAGUAAGAUCCGACCGUGGGGGGGAGUACUAUGGUCGACAUACCUCAUGUGGCCAAGUUCCUGGACCUUUUGCAAGGUUUUUGCAGGAAAAUGGCAUAGUAGCCCAGUAUUCGAUGCCGGGCGAGCCUCAGCAAAAUGGAGUAGCUGAAAGGUGUAACCGUACACUGGUGGAUAUGGUGCGCAGCAUGAUGAGUUAUUCCACCUUACCAUUGGGACUGUGGAUGGAGGCGUUGAAAGCCGCCAUUCACAUUCUAAAUAGAGUGCCAAGUAAGUCGGUGCCCAAAACACCGUAUGAACUAUGGACAGGAAGAGUACCCUCACUAAACCAUCUGCGUGUGUGGGGGAGCCCAGCUGAGGCCAAAGUAUUCAACCCAAACAUUGGGAAGCUAGAUCCCAAAAUAGUAAGCUGCCACUUCAUUGGCUAUCCGGAAAGAUCAAAAGGUUUUCGUUUCUACUAUCCAGACAGAUAUACAAAGUUUGUAGAAACGAGACACGCGAUUUUCUUAGAGGAUCAGAUGGUGAGGGGGAGCAUGGUGGCUCGAGAGAUUGAUCUUGAGGAGAAGCGGGUGUGUGCACCUAAUCCGAUGAUUCAGGAACCAUUCUUCUCACUACCUAUUAUUCCCGCACCAAUAGUUCCUGAGGUCGUGGUGCAAGCACCUGCUACAGUCCCUGAUAUUGUGGUGCAGGCACCUACUGUGAUUCCACCCGUGGAAACGAUGAGUGAAGUUUUGGAACCUGUCCUUCAGGAGCCAACUGAACCCAUCAUUACACACGAGGAAGAGUUGCAGCAGCCACCUCUGAAUAAUGUGCCACAAGCAGAGGCACAGAAUGUGCCCGAAAGUGAGAGGCCUAGAAGGUCUCAAAGAGUCAAAAGAUCAGCUAUUCCUGAUUACUAUAAAGUUUAUAAUAUAGAAGAAGUUCAUAUAGAAGGUGAUCCCACUUCAUAUGAGGAAGCCAUGAAAAGUGUUCACUCAUCGAAGUGGCUAGAGGCCAUGGAAGAUGAGAUGAAAUCGAUGAGUUCCAACAAUGUUUGGGAACUUGAAGAGAUUCCUAAAGGAGCCAAAACAGUAGGCUGUAAAUGGGUCUACAAGACUAAACGUGACUCCAAAGGGAAUAUAUAAAGGUAUAAGGCGAGACUUGUGGCAAAAGGCUUUACACAAAGAGAAGGAAUAGAUUACAAUGAGACUUUUUCUCAUGUCUCAUGUAAAGACUCCUUCAGAAUCAUAACGGCACUGGUUGCACAUUUUGACUUAGAGUUACAUCAGAUGGAUGUAAAAACGGCAUUUCUAAAUGGGGAUUUAGAAGAAAAUGUCUACAUGAAACAACCAAAGGGUUUUAUCAUGGAAGACAAAGAGAAUAUGGGAUGUCGUCUGAAGAAAUCCAUUUACGGAUUAAAGCAAGCCUCUAGACAGUGGUAUCUAAAGUUUAAUGAUAUAAUAAAGAAAUUUGGGUUUCAAGAGAAUAUAGAGAACAAUUGUGUCUAUGCAAAGUUCAAAAAUGGGAAAUACAUUUUCCUAAUUCUGUAUGUGGAUGAUAUCUUACUUGCAAGCAGUGAUAUCAGUCUACUGCAAGAGACAAAGAAGUUUUUGUCCUCAAACUUCGGUAUGAAGGAUCUUGGUGAAGCAUCAUAUGUUUUGGGUAUAGAAAUUCACCGAGAUAGACUGAAUGGGGUCCUUGGAUUAUCGCAAAGGGCAUAUUUAGAAAAGGUUCUAAAGAAGUCUAAUAUGCAUGCGAGUAAGGCCACACCUGCUCCUAUAGUCAAGGGCGACAGUUUUGGGAAUUUUCAAUGUCCUAGGAACCAGUACGAGAUCGAUCAAAUGAAAGCGGUUCCAUAUGCUUCAGCUGUCGGAAGCUUAUAGUAUGCUCAAGUGUGCACUCGCCCUGACUUAGCUUUUGUCACCGGGGUUCUUGGUAGAUAUCAAAGUAAUCCAGGUGUAGAACACUGGAAGAUGGUAAAGAAAGCAUUGCGCUACGCGCAAGGCACAAAAGAACUCAUGCUUACAUAUAAGAGAUCUGAUUCCCUAGAGAUAAAAGGGUAUUCAGAUGCAGAUUUUGCGGGAGACAAAGAUGAUAGAAAAUCCACGUCUGGAUAUGUAUUCACUCUCGCAGGAGGAGCUAUCUCGUGGAGAAGCUCAAAACAGAAAGUAACUGCGUCAUCAACGAUGCAUGCAGAAUUCAUAGCAUGUCAUGAGGCCACGGGGCAGGCGAUGUGGCUAAAGAAAUUUAUACCCGGAUUGAGAGUGGUUGACUGUAUUCACAGACCACUAAAGAUGUACUGCGACAAUGAGCUAGCAGUAUUCUAUGCUCACAACAACAAAUCAAGCAAUGCUUCCAAAACCAUUAAGAUAAAGUUUUAUGUUGUGAAAGACAAAAACCAGGAUCGCACUAUAAGUCUCGAGCAUAUAAGAACAAAAGAUAUGCUUGCGGAUCCGCUCACGAAAGGCUUACCACCCAAUGUGUUCAGAGAACACUUAGCCGGCAUGGGUUUAAGGGAAAGCCUAUGAUUCCUGGAUUGGAAAAGGCCCAAAAGAAACAAAAUUGUUUCAAAAUAGAGAGGUGUGUUAUAGCUGUUGAUUCUAUCGGCGAUUAAGCUGUGACGAUGAGGCAUGCUCUACAUAUUAAUCUACGAUGAAACGAAUAAAAGCGAAAAGUGUAAAGUUAAAAGUAAAUGAUGAGAUCAAGGGGGAGAAUGUUAGAUUGAUCUCCUCCCCAAUGGGCCCAAAGGCCCAUCGGGACCCUGAUCCGCGCCCUGAUCGGGGGCGCUCACCCUAGCAUUGGGUGGUGGGCCCCUGUCGCGCUGCGCUAUAUAAACAGGGUGGGGGACCCGGCUCGGCUCACGAGGUUCGCCGCAGCCAGCCGCCCCACCGACACACCUACCGAUCUAGGUUUUGCGCAGUAGCGGCGGGAAGUACCACCGCCACCUCACCGGCGACCGGACUCGGCACUGCGCGUCUCUGCCUUGCGCAGACUUCCCCAAGCGAACCAGCGAUGGCCAGCAGCUCUAUUGCUCCCACCCCUAGGGGUGAAGGUACCCCUAUCUCUCUCACUCCCUCUCGGCACACACCAGAAACACCAUGUCCCUCAUGUCGUUUAUGAUCCCGACUAGAUAUGCAUCUAGAGAUCCUAGGCAUGAGUCUAACAUCUCCCGGGGAUCAGCUGCCAGAGCCAUUGAAGCCACAGGACAAGCUCGAGCUCCUCAAACAAGAUCUAGAAGAAAUACAUACCUUGCUUAUGGAUCUUUCAAGGGUGGAAGCUCCCAAGACCAUGGCCAAACUCUGGAUGAACCAGGUGCGUGAACUGUCUUAUGACAUCGAGGAUUGCAUUGACAAGAUGAUGCACCCCCCUUCCAAUACUGGCGACGAGAACCGCUUUGAUGUCGAAGAAUUUAAUACUCUAAUGAAGCAGGCAAGCGACGCCCGCAAACGAUACCACAGGUAUGAUCUUGGGCGUUGGGCAUCCAAUCCUACCUUUAGGGUCGUCAACAGGGAAGUGUGGGUUCCAACCAUGGACCUCGUUGGUAUUGGUGAUUCGAGGGCCAAUCCUAUCAAUUUGCUUAGCAACGAUGCAGAAAAGUUGAUGAAAGUAAUAUCUGUACUUGGACCUGUGGGUGUUGGUAAGACUACACUUGCCAAAGAAGUGUACCGUCAAAUGAAAGGACAAUUCAAGUGUCGAGCUUUUGUGCGAGCCUCAAAGACGCCUGAUACAAGGAGGCUUCUCCGGAGCAUCAUCUCGCAGAUCCAGCGCCAUCAACAACCUCCUCAUGGUCUCCCCGUGCAAGAGCUUAUUGAUUACAUAAGAAAACAUCUGCAACAGAAGAGGUAUAUAUGUUACACCCUAGUGCUCCAUCCUAUAUAUCCAAAAGCAAGUAGUAACCCUUUCGGACAAUCUGUGUGAUGCAAUUGAUUGAGGGUCACUGAAUUUACUAAAAAUCUAGAUGUACUAGUCGUUUUCCAUAUGUAUAUAAUCUCAAGUUCAGCUUUCUAUUUAUGAGUAGCAAAAAUGGGAAAUUUGAAAACUUUUAUAUUGAAAGGGAAAUAUGUUUAUUAACAAAGACAGAUGUUACUACAGACAACAAACAUUUUUUGCUUCUUCGAAGACACUUGGGUUUAUAGUUGAAUCUUUUAAAGUUUGAUAAAGUAAAUCCCAAUAUUUUGGAGCUUACAAACUCCAUUGCAUGCAAAGAUUGUGAGACCCAAUAGAUUGAAGUGAGUCUUUCAGAGAUUGUGAGACCAAAUAGAUUGUGAGCCAACAAUCCUUCAAAGUCAUAAUUUCUAAUUUGAAUUAUCAAUUGUCCUGGCACAACAUAUUUCUAACAUCUUAAAUUAUCUGGCAGGUAUUUUAUUAUAAUUGAUGUAUUAUGGGAAACAAUUUCUUGGGAUUUUGUUAACUAGUCCACCAACCCGUGCUCCCGCACGGGCUAAUAUUUUUAAAAGCUAUUGUAUUUAAAAAUUAUUUAGAAAUGAAACUCCUAGCUAAUAAUCAAAAUUGUUUAAUUACUACUCUCUUAUUUUUCAAUACUUCAACAUAAUACUUAUAUAGAUAUGUACCUACCUUUGUCCAGUUGUGAUUGAUUUUUAAUUAAUAAUUACUCUAUGCACUUUUUCAUCCAUAUUCAUACUUUUCCAUUUUGUAUCACACCUCUAAUCCUCCAUACAUUAUGUUUAGCAUACAAAUCAAUAUUUUUCAUUGAUUCCUCACAUACUUGUAUAAAUGGUCUAAAUGGUGGCACUCAUCAUAUGUAUAUACUUUAACUUAGUAUUUUUAUAUUAACAAUGAUAUAAAUAGGUAAUUUAGAAUCAUAUAUUAGUUUACUUUUUGACAUUUCUGAAUGAUGCACAUGAAGAUAAUUAGAUUAAGAUGUAGGUGUUUACUUUAUGUUAUUUUUAAUAACGACAUUCGUGGGUUAAUGAUAAAAUUUUAGAAUGACAUUUCAAGUUAUGCUUUAUAAUGAGGUGUAUUAGUAAAUUGGAUGAAUAUUACGGGGUUACUUUAUUUUUUAUAAUAGCUGAGCUCGAUAAUUUAGAUUUAGGUUUAGAGCUCAUUUUUGAAUAUUUUCACAAUAACAGUGGUGGGUAACUUUCUAGAAAAUAUAAUAGAUCAAUGACUAUGAUUAUUAUAGUUUACAAGAUUGAUGUUUUUUAAUGUUUAUGAGAAUUUGUCUCUUUUUUCUAGCUUGUCUCGUGGGAACUAAUACGGAGUCUCCAAUGGAAAAAAAAUAAGACUACAUUGCUACAAAACUAUUAUCAUAAGCUACCUCUCGUUUGUUAAAUAUUCAGACACAAUACUUAUGUAGAUAUAUAUUUAAUAUCUUCAUCAAAUUGUGAUAGAUUUUAGUUAAUAAUUACUCUAUAAUAUUUUCAUCCAUAUUUAUAAUCUUUAACCUUUCACUUUGCAUUGCAAGUAUACGCUUGAAUUUGUUUAAUGAAUCCUAAUUUUGAGAUACAAUUUUACCAUAGAAAUUUAUAUUCUCAUCACUUUAUAUCCUUGUAAAUGGUGACACACAUUAUACGUAAAGACCUUAAUUAUUAUAUCGUAUACCAAUAGUGUAAGAUAUAGACGAUUUAGAAUCCUAUAUUGCUGUAUAUUUUUAAUUAAGGUUAUUUGAUUAAAACGUAGGGUUACCUCAUGUUAUUUUUAAUAAUGGUAUGUGUGGGUAAUAUAGAUGCAAAUUUAAGGGGUUACUUUAAUAAUAAUAGUGGUAGUCAAUUCAGUUUCAAAUUAUGAGGUUAUUUUAAAUACUGUUUAUAAUGGCAUAAGUGGGUAAUUUUAAUGAAGAUUAAGGGGUUACUUUAGUUUAUUUUAUAUAAUGGUAGAGGUGGGUAAUUUAUAUAUAGAUUUAGGGGGUUACUUUAGGCUAUUUUCAUAAUGGCAUAGGUGGGUAUUUUUUAAAAAAACAUAAUAGAUCCAAUGGCUAUGAUGAUUUGAAUCUAUCGAUUGAUGGUCGGAUGUUUUUCUUUUUUGUGAGAAUUUUUAGGAUUUCUCUCUUUUUCUAGAGUGUCCACCUAGGAAUCCUAGGUGGCUUUAUCUGGAGGCUUUAAAAGGAGCCUCCAAUUAGUAAUAGUAAGAUGGUGCUUUUCCAGAGGGUAUUGAUUGUAGUAGAAUAUUAAUAACGACUGACAUUGAGGAGGUAGCUCUCGAGUGUUGUGAUUAUCAAUCUGAUUGUAUUUUUAAGAUGGAGCCACUAAGUAGAAAUAAUUCAAGAGAAUUGUUCCUCAAUAGAAUGUUCGGCUCCAAGCAUGAAUGCACUGAACAACUUAAGGAUGUUUCAGAAAAAAUUAUUGAAAAAUGUGGUGGUCUGCCACUAGCAACAAUUUGCACAGCUAGUAUUCUAGCAAGCCAAUCGGACAACUCAGAGCUAUGGCUGCAUGUCAAUGAAUGCUUAUCUAGCUUUAUAAGAAAGAAUCUUACUUCAGAAGGCAUGCUCAGCGAAAUAGUAGGGAUGAGCUACAAUAGUCUUUCGGACCAUUUGAAGACAUACCUACUGUAUCUUAGUAUGUACCCUGAGGGGUACACAUUCUUGAAGACCGAUUUGGUGAAGCAAUGGAUUGCCAAAGGUUUUAUCAGUGCAGUAGAAGGAAAAGAUACAGGCGAAGUUGCAGAGUUUUAUUUUGAUGAGCUUGUCUGCAGGGGACUCAUUCUGCCAAACUGUAUAGAUUUCUCAGAUGAGGAUAUCUUCUAUACAGUGCACUCCACAGUAUUUGAAGUAAUGAAGUUAUUAGGUGCAAGUCAAUGGAGGAGAAUUUUGCUACUGUUAUAGACUACUCUGAAGCCAUUACAAAGCUUUCUGCGAAGAUUUGUCGCCUGUCACUCACUUUCAGCAGUGCAAAGCAUGCAACAAAACCCGAUGGCAUCGCACUAUCAGAACUACGAUCUCUCACCUUCUAUGGGCUUGUCAACUGUCUGCCUUCAAUUAUGGAGUUUAAGCUACUUCGAGUUCUAAUCCUUGAAUUUUGGGGUGACAAAGAAGAGUUAGACAUCAUUGGAAUCAAUAAAUUGUUUCAGUUGAGGUGCUUGCAGAUUAGAACAGAUAUGACAGUAAAACUACAAGCUAGUAUGCAGGAACUUCUAUGUUUGGAAACACUCGAAAUGUAUGCAAGAGUAACGACAUUCCCAUCAGAUGCUUUUGUUCUCGCGAGAUUGUUGCAUCUAUGUCUCCACGAUGUGAUAAAUGUGCCUCGAAGGUAUUGGACACAUGAGAUCUCUUCGUACACUUCAAUGUUUUGACCUUAGCAGAAUCUCCAAUGGCAUUGUAUGGAGCCUUAAUGAGAUGACUAACCUGCGUGAUCUUCGGCUUACCUGCACUACAGCAUCGUGUGAGCAUCAUCUAAAGAGCAACUUGAUAGCUCUGAUGUCUUGCCUUGAGAAACUUGGCAACCUAAAAACUAUGAUUCUUGCUCCUUCUGCUUCUUGCACGAGCAUUAACUUGUGUUGCUCAGGCAUUGUAUCUUCUCUGCCCAUUUCUCUUGGGAGACUUGAGUUGUUACCACCCAUUUGUAUCUUUUCAAGACUGCCCUUAUGUAUGGGACAGCUCCAAAAGCUACGGAUUUUGAAAAUUGUUCUUGGGGAAUUGAUGGGAAGUGAUAUUUACAGCAUCGGCAGAUUACAGGAACUCACCAUUCUCUCUUUGUAUGUCAGACAACCAACUGGAGAACUCAUUGUCGUCAACCGUGCAGCAUUUCCAGUUCUAAAGUGUUUCAAAUUAAGAUGUGGUAUUAUGCGCCUUGCUUUUCAGGCAGAUGCAAUGCCUGGUCUUCAGAGGCUGAAGCUCGAAUUCAAUGCGCACAGUGGAGAGCAAAAUGGCAAUAUGCUUGCUGGCAUUGAACACUUGUUAAACCUCCAAGAAAUCACUGGCCGAAUUGGGGCAGCACCAGGUGCAGAGGAAUCGGAUAGAGUGGCUGCAGAGUCUGUGUUCAAGGAUGCCAUUAGCAAGCAUUCAAGACUUAUAAGCUUCAACCUACGAAUUGUCCAUUCCGUGGACCAAGAGUAUGGGGCUUUCUUCUUGAAAUUUCAUUGGACCAUUACAAUAUUCUGUUGCCCACUACUUGCAUUGAUUGUGCAGCGGCUUGGUGGUUUGCCCAUCCAGCUUUCAAAUUCCAGACUUUUGACUGAGAGUUCAAAAAAUCAAAAUCAGGGAUGGCAAGAGGCAAUUGAUAUUUAAUACCUUGCUUGAUCGUGUUUAAUCCAAUGGCUUUAAUCAUGGCGCCGGUUCUUGAGUUCCAUCUAUUUGCCGAUAUGUGCGCGGGAAACCACUUUUCAUAACAAAUCUGAUAAUGGCUUGUUCCACUACUGCUUUACUCCCAACGCUAUAUGAAUCACUUCUUUUAAGAUAAACUGUAAAAAUAGACCAACUAAUCCAUUCAUUAUUUCAUUUUUUUCAUGCUUUCUAUUUUUUACCAUUAAUCUUUUAGUUUUUUAGUCAUGAUUAUAGAGUUUUUGUGGCGCGCAUGCAAUUUAGUUCUUGUGGUGUGUGUAGUGUGAGAUAUGUACUCAGGUUGGACCCUAUCCGAUCCCAAUGCAUGUUUUUCUCUAUCUUAAUGAAAUGACAAGCAGUCUCCUACGUUGUUCAGAAAAAAAAGCAGAUUAGCUCAAGUAAUUGCAGGAGUAAACCAAUGUUUGUUAUUGUUUGGUCAUAUAAUUCUAGUUGGUAUGGUAGAAAUUUUGAUUAAAGUUACCAUCAAUUCUAAUGUAUGUGACUAAAUAUAUAUGUGAUGUGUAUAUGUGACACAUCCAAUGUAUAUACAGAAUUAUAAUAUAGCACUACCGAAAUAAGUAUACUUCUAUAAUAUGAAUACAUAAGCUACUGUGUGAUAUAUUUAAUUGUUUCUUAAUCUGUUCUCUCUUCUUGUUCUAAUAUAGUGGACGUUGUUGUUGUCAGGAUUCCCCAAUUUGCUGAUACUCCAGAAAGCUGUUCUGGUUCAGGUAAUAAAAUGUAGUUCAACUUACGAACUUUUUAUUAUUUUUCAUUGGAAAAUACAUUUGACGUACCAGAUUAUUAAUGAUUAUGUGCAAAAGUAUUAAGAAGAUAUAUAUUUAAAAAUGGUAAAUAAACUCACAACUGUGGUUUUCUUCUACCUGUGGUUUUCGUUUUCAACUUCCCACGGAAUGUCAAGAAUCCUGAAGAAUUUUUCAAUGGUUAUUUUUAUUUGCGGUCCUUUUUUACAAUUCCCCUCAAAAUGUCAAAAUGUUUUCUAAUGUAGAUCGGGGAUUUUAUUAUUAAGUUUUAUUUACUAGAUGUCCAAUGGUGUCGUUCGUUUGUCAAGAAUUAUCUGUGUUUUUUGUUGCUAAUUUGUUUUCCCUGGCCCAACAUAAAACUAAAUACCCCGGCCCAUGAAAUUUAAAGAAAUUUGUUAAGGAUAACAAAACCAUACGCCACUUACUAACUAAUUAAUGAGGGAAUUUCUCUGUUUUUCUUUUUAAGAAAAACAGUAAUUAUUACAAAAGUUAAAUAACUUGGACUUAAGAAAUUGCUUAUAAGUCUCAUGUUGGUCGCUUUUGUUUUCAAUAUAUUAUUCCUGUAAACCUUGAAUACCUUGAACAUCGGUUUGCCCACAAUUAAAAUAGUGGUACUGUAAUCUAAUUUCACAUAAAGGUUCCGUUUCACAACUGGGACAUUUUACUCUUUGGUUAGAAACCUAAAAUAUAAUUUAUAUAUAAUGGGAGAUACACAAUUACGAGUUACUGUAUUUGAGAUUAGUAAAAAGUGUCCCACCCUGAAUUACCGUGUCUUUCUUAGUAAACUAUUAAGUGUAGGCGAAAGGGCCUCUAGUGAAGUGGCGGUCUUAAGUGUAGGCGAAAGGGUCUCUAGCGAAGUGGCGGUCUUAAGUGUAGGCGAAAGGACCUCUAGCUAAAUGGUUAGACCACCUGAGUAACAUUUAGCAUGCCUGGAUUCGACUUCCUAUAGGAACGAAUUAAACGGGUUUAGAAUAAAAAAAUUAUAAAAAAUAGGUUGCGCUUCCCUAGUGACUUCGGUCAAAAAAGACUAUCAAGUGUAGAAUAGUAUUGUACACAAUGUAUAAAAGUAUGAAACCAUAUGAAGUCAACCAUUUUAUGUUUACAAAGUUAUUCUAAAAAAAAUUACUUCUAGGCAAGGAAAAGCUAAUAAUGCUCCUUCCUGUUAGAAAGAGUCCUAAUCUGAUGUGGAUAAGGCUCUGCACCUGGCUAUAGCCGGCCGAGUCCUGUUUGUAUUUGGUUAAGAUAGAGAUACGGGGAGGAGUCAUGAUCCUUUAAGUUUCCUUACGCCUAGGAUCCUUCUCCCCUAUAUAUGUAACUGUAUUGUCUCUCGAUUAAUCAAUCUACUAUUUCCAUGCAUCUCUAUUGCUUUCAUGGUAUAACGAGUUUAGGGUUCUUCUACUCAAUCUCGCUUCCGCUCCAGCGUGCCGUUUUCCCGGCGCAGCCCUAGCGCGCUUCCUUCUUGGCGCUGCUCCAGCUUGCCCCUCUCCCCCGACGCUGCUCCAUGGCUGGCACCACCUCUGGUGCUGCCAUCGUCAACCCUGGCAAGGUCCAUGACCCCGACACCAUCGCCGACGCUGCUGUGGAUCUCAAGCGCACUGAAGAACUUCGCGCUGCUGAUGAGGAACGCGAGCGCGUCGCCUAGGCCAAACGCGCGGCCGACCUCGCCCACGUGGCUGACGCUGAUCGCGAGGCUGCCCUUGCGCAGCAAGAACGCGACGCGGUUGAUGCUUGUCUGCGCGCCAACCGGACUGAAAGUUUCUGAAAAAUGAAUACCCGGUCUUUGAGUGAAGCCCCGAUGUACCCACCGUGCUUUAUACGGCUCAAGCGAACCAUCAGCCUUGAACUUGUGUUUGAACACCCACUUGCCGGUCACGACAUUAGAACCCGACGGUCAAGGAGUGAGAUCCCAAGUAUUAUUGGCGAGGAGAGCAAAAUAUUCUUGCUCCAUGGCGGCACGCCAAUUGGGAUCAGCGAGAGCUGCACGAUAACUCCAUGGCACUAGAGAUAAAACUGACACCUCAUGCUUGGUAUAGCCGAUUUCCUUCGCAUCUUGUUCAGUUUGGGUUUGUUUAGGCCAAGACAAAUACGUCCCUGUUCAUCUAUCAUCACGGUGGGGAUCUGAUCUACUUGUUGCUCUAUGUCGAUGAUAUUGUGCUGACUGCUUCCUCGGCGGCCCUGCUACAGCGUACCAUCCAUGCCUUACAGCAAGAAUUCUCCAUGAAGGAUCUUGGUCGGUUGCAUCACUUCCUCGGCAUGCAUGUUCAGCACACUGCCUCAGGUCUAUUUCUUUCUCAGCGCCAGUACAUGGUCGACAUCCUUGAGCGGGCUGGUAUGAGUGACUGCAAACCGUGUACCACGCCUGUUGAUGUGAAUCCCAAGCUUGCAGCAGAUGGUGUACUAGUUAAGGAUGUUACAGAUUUCCGCAGCCUGGCAGGUGCUCUUCAGUAUCUGACUUUCACUCGACCGGAUAUUGUGUACGUCGUUCAGCAAGUUUUCUUCACAUGCACGAUCCACAGGAACCGCAUCUAGCUGCUCCCAAGCGCAUCCUGCGCUAUGUUCGGGGCACAUUACAUUUGGGCCUUCAUGUGUGCCCCUCCUCUCAGACCAACCUGGUCGUUUAUUUUGAUGCUGAUUGGGCCGGUUGUCUAGAUACUCGCAAGUCCACUUCUAGUUAUGCUGUGUUCCAUGGUGCCAAUCUUGUCUCAUGGUCGUCCAAGCGUCAGAAUACGGUCUCUCGCUCUAGCGCUGAGGCUGAGUAUCGGGCGAUCGCCAAUGUCGUUGCUGAAGUGACCUGGCUUUGUCAGUUGUUGUCCAAGAUGCAUGUUCCCUUGCGCAAGACAACACUGGUCUAUUGUGACAACAUCAGCUCAGUUUAUAUGUCUUCUAAUCCUUUCCAGCAUUAGUGUACCAAACAUGUGGAGAAUGAUCUUCACUUUAUCAGAGAGCGUGUUGCCCUUGGUGAUGUUCGUGUUCUUCACGUGUUGGCGACAUCUCAGUUCGUGUCACACCCGAUUUUUGGACAAAACCGAAUGCAUAGCAUAUGUGUGCCAGGAUCCGUUCUCACACAUAUGUUGACUUCAUAAAUGAAUACAUCAAAAACAGUGUUCAAAAACGUAAAUAAAAUUAGUAGAUAACUUAUUACACUCCGAGAGGUAGACAUGAAGGUCUUUAAUCGUUCCCCGAUAACUUAACACGCACACACACAGCGAAGCUUCUCCAUAGGCUUGACUGGUGAACACUCACCUAGAACUCCUCGAAGUCGUCGAAGAACUCCGCUUCGUCACAAGCUUCUGAACAGCGUUUGGGCAAGGGUGAGUACACUUAUGGUUGGUACUCAGCAAGUGGGGGAAACAUGCAAGGCUCACAAGGAGAGGCUCAAUGGCUUUAAGCGGUUAGCAUUUUAGUUGGUCAAAUUUUAUUAACAACACCUAUUUACUAGAUGUAAGUUUAUACCAACCCACUUAGGCAUAAAGCAUUAACAAAAACCUGGAGAUAAAGGAACCACGAUUUGUUCUCAUCUUUAAGCUCAAUUAUCAUGUGAGGGUCCAGACCGCUCUUAACCAUGAGCACAGCUAAUAUAUCAGUUUUACACUCUGCAGAGGUUGCACAUCUUUACCCACAAGUUGCGUAAAAUUUCAAAAGAACUUUAAACCCAACCAUGCUGUGUGGGCCAGGCACAAUACCACACUUCCGAGGUGUGAUUGCAUAGGGACGCUACGAGGUCUUUACAAAGAUUCCCUAGUAAGAAGUAGUCUGCUAAGGUUUCCAGAUCGGUAGCAGGAUAUAGCAGCCCCUUAGUGGGUACAGUGUCUUAGCAAAGCCUACUCCUCAAGAGAGUGGGUGCUAAAUCCCAUAUACCACCGCCCUCUUGCCCUUUCGGUAAGAUCGCUUCAAACUAGAGUUUCUAAUUAAUUACCCAAGACCAGAGCCAUGAUAGUCCUUGCGGUUGUACUAUUUUCCUAGGUGGUUCUCCAUGUUCUGAUUAAAUCAAGUGAUCUUGUAUUAACACAGGUAUAGCAUAAAUAAAGGUCAUGAUUAAUAUUCUCAAAAUUAAGCAACUAAGCAAUUCUACCCAACAUGAUUAAACAUGUGUUCAAGGAUCAGGAUUAAAAACUAGGUAAGUCCUUAAUAGGCAUUGCCGUCAAAUUAUGCACAUACAGGAAAUUAAUAAAGUGAAUAAUCAUAUUAUUGGGAUGAAAAAGAAUAUGCAGGGGGAGAUAACCACUUGCCUUCCUCGGCAAAUUGGAAGUACUCAUCUUCAAAUGGUUGCUGCUCCUGACCUUGACCUUCCUCGAAUGGCACUUCAUCUACACGAUCACACAAGUAAAGCAACCAUAAAUAAAACAGUACACCAAACAUGACAAAAGACUGAAAACAAACUCCUAAAACUAACAUUUAUGAUGAGACGGUCACGUGAGCGCAAGAAUAACUAAAAUCGGAGUUAAAGCGGUGAAGACAUGGAGUAAACAAGUUUCAGGGGCUAAAACAGAAUUAACUAUAUACUUCAGGGGCUAGCAAGGAAUUUUCACAAGACUCAGAGAAUAGUGCUUGCGAAUACAGAAAGGUACAGGGUUAGAUAUGCAAGAUUACAUGGCUUAGGUUGAAAAGCUAGUUAAUACUUCCACGUGAGUGGACUUUUCUCUGAAUUUACAGUAUAUCUUGUGGCAGUGAAUGAGACCCCUAAAACUGUCAGUGAUUUCUUGGCCCAACUAACGAGCAAUAUCAUGUGUAUAUAGCUUUACACUGCAGAUAUUGCCGAUAUUAGAAUGUGGCGGGGGAAGCCCGAGCGGCUAGAGUGGAUGGUGGGGGAGGAUGAGAGGAGGGAGUGGGAGGUCUCACCAGCAUCGAUUGCGGAUGGGGGAGGCUCCGACGGUGGAGAACAGAGACGCAUGAACUAGGAACCGAGCGAGAUCCCGGUGCUGGCGGCAGCGAUGCUUGGGGUGGGGGAAAGGUGGGUGAGUGGUGGAAUGGAAAGAGGAGCUCCGGUGGAGAGGUUUGGGGGGCUUCAUAGGGCGCGAGGAGGAGCAGAAGGGGCGCCUGGGGGAGGUGAAUCGGGCGGCCGGCCAUUGAAGGCCAUGGGAGUGGGGGGCUCCGUUUACAGGAAGGGGAAGGGGAAAUGAGGGCGGCACACACGCGUGGAGGUGCGGCACAAGGAACUGAUGCGGUGCUUGAAGUUAGGGAGGCGCGGGAAGGUGAGGGGGCCCCAGGCUGCACCGUGCGCAUGCGUGCAAGGGAGAAGUUGCGCCUGGAUGGAGGAGAGGGAUGACCCUGACGGGUGGGUCCUACCUGUCAGUGGGAGAGGGGAGAUAGGCUGCUAGUUGGGCCACUUGGGCUGGCUAGAGAAAGAGAUUGUUGGGCCAAAAGAAAGAGGAAGAAAGAUUGGGCCUGCUUGGUUAGAUUGGAGAGGAAAAAGGGUUUUAUUAUUUUUUUUAAACUUGCAAACACCACUCAAACAAAACCAAAAUGAAAGAUAAAACCCUAUCAAGCACUUGUUCUCUCUAAAAUUAAAUUCGAGUGCUCUUUCAUUUAUUUAAGACCAUAAUUUAAUAUUAUUAAUUUAUUUAAUCCAUAGAGAACAAAAACUAGACCGAAAUUGCUUACAUUGCAUUUAUGAUGGAAUUUUGGGUGUUACAAAUCCUACCCCCUUAAAGAGAAUCUCGUCCUCAAGAUUCGGAAAGAUUGGAAAACAACUGAGGAAAUUAUUCGAUAAGCUCAUCUUCUCUUUCCUAAGUAGCUUUAUCUUCCGAGUGAUGACUCCAUUGUACUUUGCACAUUCUGAUUACUUUGCUCUGAGUGACUCUCUAAGAUGUUUCCAAUAUUUUGACAGGAUACUCCGAAUAGGUCAAAUCAUCCUUCACAUUGAGUUCUUCCAGUGGUAAUUGUUCUUCGAGUACUCUGAGACACUUCUUCAACUGAGAUACGUGAAACACAUCAUGAACAUCUGACAGUCGAGCUGGUAGUUCUAUCUGAUAUGCCACUUCUCCUUUUCUUUCCAAAAUUUGAACUGGUCCAAUGUAAUGAGGUGAUAGCUUCCCUUUAACCUUGAAUCGACGAAGACCUCUAAUAGGUGAUACCUUGAGAUACAUGUAAUCUCCAACUUCAAAUGUUAAUUCCCUCCUCCAAGUAUCAGCAUAACUCUUCUGUCGUGACUGUGCAGUCUUGAGAUUAUCUCGAAUUAUCUGAACUUAUCUUUCAGCUUCUUUAAGAAUUUCCGGUCUAAAGACUGGACUUUCUCCUGUCUGACUCCAUUACAACGAUGUUCUACAAUUUCUUCCAUAUAACGCUUCAAACAGGGUCAUGUUAAGACUUGCUUGAUAACUGUUGUUAUAAGAGAAUUCCGCGUAAGGCAAACUCUUAUUCCAACUACCUCCAUGCUUUAAAGCACAAGCUCUUAACAUAUCUUCUAAGAUUUGAUUAAUUCUCUCAGUCUAACCAUCUAUCUAUGGAUGAUACACAAAACUAAAAUUAAGCUUUGUAUCCAUUGACUCAUGUAGCUUCUGCCAAAAAUGUGACGUGAAUUGAGUACCUCGAUCAGAUACUAUUUUCUUCGGAACACCAUGUAGACAUACAAUCCUUGACAUAUACAGCUCCGCUAACUUAACUCUACUAUAGGUUAUUUUAACCGGUAUGAAAUGAGCAACUUUAGUCGAUUUGUCCACAACAACCCAUAUGGAAUCAUAACCAUUGCGAGUACGAGGUAACCCAACGAUGAAAUCUAUUCCGAUCUCUUCCCAUUUCCAUUCAGGUACUUUCAGUGGUUGAAGUAAACCGGCUGGUCUUUGGUGCUCUACUUUUACUCUUUAACAUACAUCACACAAAGCAAUGUGGGUUGCUACAUCCCUUUUGAAACCAUACCACCAAUAUUUCUCCUUCAAAUCCUGAUACAUCUUAGUACUACCAGGGUGUAUGGAAGAAGCUAAAUUGUGUGCUUCCUUCAAUAUGCGUUCACGAAGAUGGUCGAUCUCUGGUACACAGAUCCUUUUCGUGAAUCAAAUAGUUCCUUGAUCAUCUUCAGUGAAGUCUGGGGCCUUUCCUAAACCAAUUUGGGUGUUGAUCUCCUUGAUUUUAGCAUCUGUCAAUUGCCCUUUUCUUAUCUCUUAUUCCAGUGUAGGCUCAAUUUCUAUGGUCCUAGCUUCAGUAUGGGCAACGAUUCCUAAGUUGAGUCACUCCAUUCCCCAACAUAACUCUUGAGACAUCAACUGUGCUAUAGUCACAUUAGCUUGACCUUUUAGGCUUAAAGCGUCUGCUACGACAUUUGCCUUGCCGGGGUGAUACUGAAUAUCCAAGUUAUAGUCCUUGAUCAACUCUAACCAUCUGCGCUGCCUUAAAUUAAGAUCUCUUUGAGUGAAUAUGUACUUUAGGCUUUUGUGGUCAGUGAAGAUCUGACACUUGUUCUCGAUCAUGUAAUGUCUCCAAAUCUUUAAUGCAUGCACAACGACAGCUAAUUCCAAGUCAUGAGUUGGAUAAUUUUGUUCAUUCUUUCUCAACUCAUAAGCUACUACUCUACCUUCUUGCAUUAGUACAUAUCCAAGACCUAGACAUGAAGGGUCACAAUAAACAUCGAAGCCUUUGUGUAUAUCAGGCAUUAUCAUUACAGGAGCAGUAGUCAACUUCUUCUUCAGCUCUUCAAAACUCGCUUGACACUUGUCAUCCCAUUUAAACUCUUUUCCCUUUUCCAAUAAUGAGGUUAGAGGUUUGACGAUCUUUGAGAAACCUUCAAUAAAUCUGCGGUAAUAACAUGCUAAUCCAAGAAAACUUCUGAUUUUGGACACAUUCUUGGGCGGAUUCCAAUUCAACACAUCUUGAACUUUGCUUGGGUCUACUGUGAUUCCUCCAUCGGUGAUAACAUGUCCAAGGAAGGAAACUUCCUUCAACCAAAACUCACACUUACUAAAUUUGGCAUAUAGCUGAUUCUCCCGAAGCUUCUGUAACACUAAUCUUAAGUGAUCUUCAUGCUCUUAUUUAUUUCAAGAAAAAAUACCAAGAUAUCAUCGAUGAACACUACCACAAACUUGUCUAGGUACUCCAUAAACACCUUGUUCAUCAAAUACAUGAAGUAUACUAGGGCAUUCGUCAAUCCAAAAGACAUCACAGUGUAUUCAUAUGAGCUGUAUCUGGAUGUAAAUGAUGUCUUGGGAAUAUCUUCUGCUCGAAUCUUCAACUGAUGAUAGCCUGAUCGCAGGUCAAAAGAAUUUUGCACCUCUCAUCUGAUCAAACAGAUCUUCAAUCCUAGGAAGUGGAUAUUUAUUCUUAAUAGUCACAUCAUUAAGAGCUCUAUAUUCCAUGCACAUUCUUCUGGUGCCAUCCUUUUUAUCAACAAAAAGUACGGGUGCUCCCCAAGGUGAAGAACUAGGACGGAUAAAUCCUUUACUUAAUAAUUCUUUUAUUUGUUUCUUUAACUCAACCAAAUCCUUAACAUCCAUUCUAUAAGGUCUUUUAGAUAUAGGUGAAGUGCUGGGUAAAAGAUCAAUAGAGAACUCGACAUCGCGGUCAGGUGGCAUACCUGGUAAAUCCUCAGGAAAGACGUCAGGGUAUUCACAUGCAACAUUGAGAUUCUCCAAAGAUUUUCCUUUUAUCUGGUUCACUAUACCCUUUUCUUCAGACGGGGCAGUAGCCACAAACUCAAUUCUAUCCCCUUAGGGCUGGUUAAAAGCACUGACUUCUUGGCACAUAGGAUAAUUCCAUCACAUACUUCUAACCAGUUCAUUCCAAGAAUCACAUCAAUACCAUUGGAGUCAAGGACCACUAGGUGAGCUACGAAAUCUACCCCCAUGAUUUUCAAAUUGACUUGUGGGCAUAUUCAACUUGUUCUCAUCUUACCACCUGGUGAGCUAACUAGCAAAGUUUUCUUCAUAGGUUGUAAAGGUAUGUUAUGCUUUGCCACAAAUCGAUCGGUUAUAAAUGAGUAUGAUGCUCCAGAAUCAAAUAAAACUUAUGCAGGUUCGGAAUUGACAAGGAACAUACUGAAUACAACAUCUGAAGCUUCCUUGGCCAUUUCUGCUGUCACAUGGUUCACCCUACCAUGCAUGAAGUUAUGAUGGCCCUUGUGUCCCUAAGAAUUCGGAUUUCCACUACGUGCUUGAGACUGUUGCUGACCAGAAUUUUGACCAUUGUUCUUCUGCGGGGUCUGCAUGUUAUGUUUGGGACAGGUGUUGGCAUAAUGUCCCACUUCACCACACUUGGAACAGCCAUUGGGUCGAACCGGGGUAAUUGGAUUGUUACGCAUUGGUGCUCCUGUGGGCAUUAUUUGCUCGGUUUUGCUGUGGGUUUGAGGUGUGUUGUACCUGUUGGUUGAAACGUUGAGGUUGCUGAGGGAAAUGUUGAAACUGCUGAUUCUGUUGAUAACCUCCUUGUCCUCCUGAAUGAAACUGUGAUCCCUGCAACGAGUUGAAGCGAGGGCGAGUGUUGCCGCUAGAUUGCCCUUGCGACUGAAACUUCCUCUUUUGUUCGCCUAGUUCCUUACGCUUGUUCUCCAAGCCAAUGGCUUUGUCUAGCAGAAUUUGGAAAUUGGGGAACGUGUGACUCUGUAGCUGAUAAUUAAGUGGUCCAAUCAGACCAUCCAACAAACGCUCUUCUCUCUUCUCAUCUGUGUCCACCUCAUUGGGCGCGUAUCGAGACAGCUGUGUGAACUUGUCGUGAUACUCGCUAACUGACAUGUUGCCUUGCUUCAAAGCCAAAAACUCCUUUUGCUUGAGCUUCAUCACACCAGCUGGAAUGUGGUGUGUGCGAAAGCUGUUUCUGAACUCUUCCCAAGUAAUGGCAAUUGCAUUGGCGUGGGCAGUGGUGUAGGCAUCCCACCAAUCGGUUGCGGCUCCUUCCAAGCAUCCUGCAGCGUACAAGACCUUCUCAUGGUCAUUGCACUGUGUAAUAUCCAGCUUCUUACUGAUGACCUUCAGCUAGUCAUCAGUGUCCAAAGGAUCCACUGAGUGGGAGUAAGUGGGAGGGUGGUGGCUCAUGAAUUCCCUGUGCUUGUCUCGCGGUGCCUGAGGUGCUUGUGGUGGUUGCUGGUUUUGCUGGGCUUGCAAAUUCUGAACAGUAGCAGUGAGGUUCUGCAGCAGUUGCAUCUGAGCAGCCAAAAAUUGUUUCAUUGUUGAACUUGGUGGCGGAGGUGGUGCUUGAUUCUGCUGAUUAAUUAUGUGAGCACGCCUCUUACUUGGAACAUCUUGUCCUCCUUCUGACCUGCUUUUACCAUCUGAGUGUUAGAAAAAUGAAUCUCGAUAAGAAUGAUGUUUUGAUAAGGUAGAUAUAAGAGCAAAGAAUCAAGAUUGAGACCCAACAGACUAUUAACUUUAUUUUAUUUAAUGAUGCAUUUGUGGCCAUCAAUCCACAAAACAUCCCGGACAAUACAAAGAUCCAAAUCAAAUAUGUUUUCAAACAGCAAACAUUAUUACAUCACACGUCCUCGCAGGAAUGGUUCUAUCGAAAGACUCUGGAAGGCAACCUUAAAAGAAAACCUAGUCUAAAAGACCGGUGACCGAGCUAGACGUGCCAUAGCAAAGCCUCUUGCGGGGUGGUGAAGCGGUGGGGUAGUGGAGCUCGGCUGCCUCGUCUGCAAGCUAUGCCUCAAGCUGUGCGAUCCUAGCGUGAGCAUCCUGCAGCUCCUCAUGGAUCUUGGCAAGAUCUGCUGUAGCUCCGUCGAGGUCGGUGUUGAGAGUAGCGGUGACUCGAGCAAGGAUGUUGAUACAGUCUUCUCCGGCUUCUCCCAACUGUACAGCUGUGUCCUCGGUGCCACUGACUCAGCGAGGAAGGUGUCGGUAGGUAGUGGUUCUCAACUCUUGGCGGUGGGUGAAGCAGAGGGCCGACAGAGCUCUCCUGGCAGCAUCGCUGACGACUGCGAUGUAGGUGGCGUGAGGCGUAGUGGAGUCGUGUGCCAUGCAAAUCCUCAAGCCUCUGGAAGUCGCCAACCGUUCCCUGAUGUGGACCUGAGUGGCGUAGUAGUGGUUCAUGAUGGAGUAGGAGACACGGUGAGUGACGUAGAGGGGCUUCAUGGUGUUUCCCAAAGUCUACAGUACUUCCCAGAGCAGUGUGGGAAAGUAUCCAAGCUCAUCCUCUGAAGUCUGGUAGUCACAAGCUGGUGUUACAUUCUGUUGUCCACCAUUCUGAUUCCCAUCUUCAUCUCCACUGUUGUUAUCAUGGCUACUGUCGUGGUCAUUGUCGCUGCUGUGAUCAUUGUUGCUGUUGUAGUCAUCGUCAUCCUCAUCCUCAUCUUCGCUGUCAUUCCCGGAGUCAUCGGGGUCUCCACCAUCGGCAGCAAGUGCUGGAGCAAGAUCAGCUGGUGCUGAAGCGUCCGAUGCAGAAGCAGCUAGUGCAAGAGCAUCUAAAGCUGGGGCAGCUGGUGAUGCUGUCGGGAUCACCAGAUUCUCAUUCGAGUCGACCUCCAUGAUGCUGCCGUCUUCCAUCUCGAUGUAGUAGUAAACCUUCUCUGGAUCCUCUUUAACCUCCUCCACAGGCUAAAUCGGAGUAGCUGGCUGAGCAGGGGCAAGGCGAGCCUUAUAUCCUGCAGUGCUUUUACGAGCGAUCAACCUGGUCCGGGCCAUCUAACAGAGGAAGAGCAGAUACUUAGAACAAAACCAAAAGGAGACAAGUUUUUGUGACAAAGAACAAAAAUAAAUUAGAUUUUUUAAUGAGGAAAAUAAGAUAUUUUUGAGCAAACAUGGCUUGCUAAGAAAAUGAGUCCUUAUUCUCGAUCAUUUCUAACUAGGCUUGCGUCCUACAGUCAACAUAAAUAAACUCAGAGAAUAGUGCUUGCGAAUACAGAAAGGUACAGGGUUAGAUAUGCAAGAUUACGUGGCUCGGGUUGAAAAGAAUGUAUAUAAGAACUAUAGGGGCUUCUCUGCAAGAUUGGCUAGACACAAGGAAUAAGAACAUAAAUAAACAGAAACUCCACGGGCUAGAACGUGAAAUCACCAUCUUCUUCCUCCUUUUACCAGAGGCACGGCGCAGCCAUGGCUGGCGCCUGGCUGGCGCUCCAGCGUGGCGGGGGAAUCCUAGGCGGCUAGAGUGGAUGGUAGGGGAGGAUGAAAGGAGGGAGUGGGAGGUCUCACCAGUGUCGAUUGCGGAUGGGGGAGGCCCGGCGGUGGAGAACAGAGACGCACGAGCUAGGAACCGAGCGAGAUUCCGGCGGCGGUGAUGCUCAGGGCGAGGGAAAGGUGGGUGAGUGGUGGAAUGGAAAGAGGAGCUCUGGUGGAGAGGUUUGAGGGGAUUUAUAGGGCGCGAGGAGGAGCAGAAGGGGCGCCCAGGGGAGGUGAAUCGGACGGCCAGCCAUUGAAGGCCAUGGGAGUGGGGGGCUCUGGUUAUAGAAAGGGGAAGGGGAAACGAGGGCGGCAUGCACGCAUGGAGUUGCAGCACAAGGAACUGAUGCAGUGCUUGAAGUUGAGGAGGCGCAAGAAGGUGAGGGGGCCCCAGGCAGCACCGUGCGCACGCGUGCAGGGGAGAAGUUGCGCCUGGAUGGAGGAGAGGGAUGACCCUGACGGGUAGGUCCUACCCGUCAGUGGGAGAGGGGAGAUGGGCCAAAAGAAAGAGGAAGAAAGAUUGGGCCUCCUUGGUUAGAUUGGAGAGGAAAAAGGGUUUUAUUAUUUUUUUAAACUUGCAAACACCACUCAAACAAAACCAAAAUAAAAGAUAAAACCCUAUCAAGCACUUGUUGUCUCUAAAAUUAAAUUCGAGUACUCUUUCAUUUGUUUAAGACCGUAAUUUAAUAUUAGUAAUUUAUUUAAUCCAUAGAGAACAAAAACUAGACCGAAAUUGCAUACAUUGCAUUUAUGAUGGAAUUUUGGGUGUUACAGUUCGCCAACAUCUUCACCAAAGGACUGUCAUCUUCGGUCUUCACUGAAUUUCGAUCUAGUCUCAACGUUCGCUCCACGAACGCUUCAAUUGCCGGGGGGGUUGUUAGAAAGAGUCCUAGUUUGAUGUGGAUAAGGCUCUGCGCCUGGUACAGCCGGCCGGGUCCUGUUUGUAUUUGGUUAAGAUAGAGAUACGGGGAGGAGUGAUCCUUUAUGUUUCCUUUCACCUAGGAUCCUCCUCCCCUAUAUAUGUAACUAUAUUGUCUCUCAAUUAAUCAAUCUACUAUUUCCACGCAUCUCUAUUGCUUUCAGUUUCAAUAAAAGAAAAUUGAAUAUCUAACUAUUUUUUUGUUUUUCAAGACGUGACACUCAAUUGUUCGUCGAUAUCUGAUGGCAUCAGUGAGGUAGACGAGGUAGAUACUAUUCAAGAAUUGUUGCCAUUCAACAAUGCAAAUUCAACAGAUAAUAUAUUAUUGUUACCGAAAUAUAAGGUGUAUCCUUAAAUCCAUAAUGAAUAGUGUAGUCAUAAACUCCAAGGAAGUUUUCAAAUUAAUCUGAUAAAAAUAAAAAUAUCUAGCCAUUUAUUUAAUGAGAAAUUUUAGAGUGCUUGAAAAAAAUAAGAACCGUCCAUCCGGCGAAAUUGAAUAGUGGAAACAAAGUAAGUAUCAUGAAGUACCUAAAGAAAAAUACCAAUUUCAUGGAACCAAGUAAAAAAUAGCGAGAAAUUACUAUGAUGCUCUUUUAAUUAUGUGUAGAUCUAUUUAAUUUUUUUAAGCAAGAUAAGAAAGGUACCUGACUGGUACUUUACGUUUGAAGAGUUUAGUUACAAUGCUUUUAAAGUACUAGUGACACUUCCAGGUACUUUCCUUUCUUACCCUUUUUACCAAAAAAGAAUUAAAUAUAUUUAAACAUAAUUACAAGGGCAUCAUGAUAAUUUCUUACUAUUUUUGGUACUUGAUCCCACCAAAUUAGUACUUCUUGGUAUUUUUCUUUAGGUACUUCAUGGUACUUCCUUUGUUUCCAUCGUUCAAUUUCACCGGAUAGACAGCUCUCAUUUUUUUUUCAAGCACUAAAAAAUUUCUCAUGUUUGAAAUGUUAGAUUAUCUUUAGGGAUGUGCAUACUCACGGUCGUUCCCCAUAUGGUUACACAAUUUUUUUUCAUAGUUACCAUCUGUAGUUGUCAGACUCGCGAUCUCAUGUCUCGCCUGUAGCACAUUAUAUACACAUCUUUAGUGCCAUUCAAGUGUUGUUUUCAUACAUACUCUUAUACUAACCCACCACUAGCAGAAGCCAAUCGGCCCAGGGCUUCUUGGCCUCCACCGACGCUCAUAUUUGGCAAGUAAUCCUUCGAGAUGACUUAGGGGCUAUGUUUGUGAAGAUAUGGCAAGGAUCACUUCGGGAUCAAAGAGGAAUCAAAGAAGAUCAAGCAGAGAUUUGGAAAGUUAUUGAAGAUCAAUCUCAUCCCGAAGCUACUGACAUGCCAGGCCCACAUGGAUACAAAAAUAAGCUUACAGAACAUCUAAGAAGACUUGGGAACGAAGCAGAGCACGAGACGAGGAAAGGAAGGCCCAGGCCGAUCGGCCUAGAACCCCCUAGGCCGAUUAGCCUGGGGUGUUUCCUCAUCCUCUCGCCUUCCAAUUUCUACCACACAGUCUCCAGGCAAUAAAUACUCCAAAAAAUCACCCGGCACGGGAAGGAAUCAAUUAGAAGUCGGUGAAACCAAGGGAGACACACCAUAGGGAGCUGAGGGCCGUGCAAAGUCUUUGAGGUUGUCUAGGUGAUGACUUAGGCUAGACCCUAGCUGCCAUGGUUGUCCCUGCGUGGCGAAGCCAUGGUGGAGUUCCGAAGCUGAUCCUUGUGAUCAUAAAGGCUUCUGUACACACGAUGGUGAUAUCAAUCUACUCUAGUCUUUACUGUAAUCUACUAUGAUGCAUGCUUUCUCUCAUAUGUUCUCGGCUGGCAUAUGUUUUUAGUCGGAAUAAAUGUAAUCAUGGUGAUUAGUCUAUAUCUUGCGGAUACAUCUUAGUAGUGCGUAGGAAGUUGGUGUGAUUAUCCUUGCGUGGUGACAGCAUGCGGGAGGGAAAAGGCUGAAGAAUUAUGUAAUCUUUAUCAAGGUACGAGAUAGAUUGGUUACCACUUUGGCUGGAGCUACAACAAGAAGACAACAGGCUCAAGCUACCCUUCGGUUGUGCUUUAUUGUAUAUAUAUUUGGAUGUGAUCUACCCUUAUUCAUGAUAUCAAUCUCUACACCAAGGUUACCUUUAUAUGCAAUAAGUGCUUAUUAAUAGGAUUAGAUCUGUAUAGCUAGAUAGAGAACUCUAGUCAGUUCGCUGUUGAUUCACGGAUUGAUAAACCUUGGAUGGAAUACUCUAAGGGAAAAGCUACGAUGAUCUAUGCCUUUACGGUACAGCAUUUGGUGUGCUUAAGUGCCAUCAACAGCCAACGUGUGCCUCCACUGCACUCCCUGAUGACGGCCUGGAUGACGGGGGAGCCACGCCGGCCAUGGCGGCCACAGCGCCGUACACGGUGGAUCCUUGGAGGCGCCUGCGUGCCCCUACUUUGCAAGUCUAGGUCGGAGACCCGUGCACCCGAGCUCCGAGCCCCCCUGCUUCGACCGCGGUCAACGUCCAGGCGAAGGUUGCCAAGCUGCUGCUCCACCUCCUAUCGUGCUUCUGCUACCUCCUCCUGCACCUCCUCCACCUCCAGCCACCGGGCGGCAGUGGUAGCCGCCACGUCUUGGGUCACAACCGCGGCCUGGUGCUGAAAGGAAUCGGUGCUCGUAGCCUUAGAGGGGGAGGUGGUGAAUUAGGCAACUUAAAAACUUAACCUAUGACUUCCACUACUUUACAUGCAUGUAAACUAGACCAUUCUAUACUAGAAGUACAUUCUAUGGUUGAUUUAGUGUGGAACCCUCAUCCCAAAACAAGUUUUACAACCUAUAGCUAAUCCUAUCAAGAUACUACUCUAGGAAAGUAAAGGCACACAAGUUGCAAGUAUGAAAUGCGGAAACAUAAGAGGUUAGGAUGAGGGGAAACAAACUCUUGACAUGAUGAUAUUUAUCUCAUGGUAUUGGUAGGCACUAAGCCACCACUAUUCCACAUUGUUGAAGCACUCACAUAAGAGUAUUGCUUUCCGGUCACCAAAUCUCUCCCAAGGUGCCCCUUGACUUGCCACAAAGGCUCAGCCACUAAGGCUCACGCCAAGUCCCUCGUGACUUGCCACAAAGGCUCGGCCACUAAGGCUCAUGCCAAGUCCCUUGCUCACCUUGAUGUCGUCUCCACUAAGAAGCUUCCAUGAGUCAUCAUCAUCAUCAUCAUCUUCACUUGAGCUUCCAUGAGUUGCCAUCUUUCUCAACUUCUUCUCUUAUUGACUUGAAAGAGCAAGGGUUUGAGUUGGAGAAGAUGGUUCCUUGGGCUUGUCCUUGAGUUGCAUCUUGGGCUUGUCCAUUAGCUGGAGCUCAAAUGCUAUAAUCAUUUUAAGGAUAUUAUUUGGAGUAAACUCAUCAAGCUUCUUCUCAAAGAGAAUUGCCUUUACCAAAUCAUAAUCUGAGCCUUGGAUUGAUUGAAUAAUCAACCCGAGGGUCUUGAAUCUUCAUGGAAGUCAUCAUCCAAGUAGUCUUGCGGCGUCCAGCCCCCGAGCUUAUGCGCCAGGUGAACCGUAGGAGCCACGUCGAGUAGCUUUGUAGUGUUCAGCCCCCGAGCUUGGGAGCUAGCUGAGCCACUGGAGAUAUUCUGAGUAGUGAUUGGUGCUUAGCCCCUGAGUUCGGGAACUAGUUUGUGCCUCUAGAGGCAUGCUUGGUGUCGCGACGAGCGUCGUCGCCAAAGCUUGACCUGAAAGAAAAGGCGCGUACAUUAUGUAGCAUAUUUGUAGGAUACUUGAAACCGCUGAAAUUUAUUCAGCAAUCAAUGUAAACAUUAUGUGCCAUGCUCUUGUUUCAGUCAUACUCUUUCCGAGUAGUUAGCCUGUUACAUUUUAGGCUCAGUCCCCGUUUAGUUGUAGCCACUGCGCGUGUGAGAGCUUUGUCUCGUGCACUCAUAUGGGCACUGCUGUGUGCACAACUGAGAGCUUGGUCUCAUGUAUGUGUGCUAGCAUUUGGUGUCACAGGUGCACCCGAGGCUUUCACAAGUUAAGGCAUGUUCUGCUCGAGAAGAGUAGUGACCUUAAGAGAAGACAAAAAGAAAUAGUCGCUGUUGCAACAAAAAGAGAGCGUGGUAGCGCGAAAGAGUUUGCUGUACUCCGGCGAGUAGAGCGCGUGUUGUGCGUAAGAGCUUCCGGUGAGUAGAGCGCGUGUUGCGUGCAAGCGAAAAAUAAGCUGGAAAAUAACUUAGAAAAAAUAACUUAGCUUGAUUCGUGGAUGAUUGUUGACGAAGCCGUGACGGUCGUUGAUGAAGCCGUGAUGGUUGUUUACGAAGUUGACUAGUCGGAGGCGAUUCUGACUUGUUGUCGACGAUGCAAAGUUUGCCCCGACUAAUUUUUUAGUCGAGAUGAGGAGUUGGAGUAGUCCACCCUCGACUAGCCUUGGAGUCGAGACGAGUAGUAGAAGUAGUCAUCAGCGAGCGUCGCGAUGUGGUCAGAGUAGUCGUCAGCAAGCCGCCCAUAGUCGGCGGAGUCGUUGGCAAGCCAACCGUGGUCGUCGGCGUGCCCGCGACAUAGUUGAAGAAAUCAUCAGCGAGCCGCCCGUAGUCGUCGGCGAGCUCGCGAUGUAGUCAAACUUUCGAGUUGUACUCAAACUUGAAGUCGCUGUUGGACUUCGAGUCGGAGUUGAAGCUGGAGUCACCGUCGGACUCCGUGUUGCGGUUGAACCCGGAGUUGUCGUCGGACUCGGAGUUGUAGCCAGACCCGGAGUCGCCGUCGGACUCCAAGUUGUAGUCGGACUCGGAGUCGCCGUCGGACUCCGAGUUCAAGUCAUGGUCGGACCCGUAGUCGUCGUCGGAGUUCGAGUUCGAAUCACGGUCAAAACCAAAGUCGCCGUCGAAGUACGAGUUUGUAGUCAAACCUUGAUCCGAGGUUUAAUUUGUUGAUUUUCUCAAUGAGAUUUUCUGCAUCUUCUGGAAGAGAGUUCCUAUCGAGGAACUCUUCUCCUGGUUGUUGAUGAUGCAGCGUUGGAACAACCUAGUGCCGUCGGUGUUGCAAAGUCAGGAGUCAAAGAUGAAGGUUGUGCCCGCUUUGAAAGCGAACGCCGGCUCGAAGAUGAGGUCCUUCAAGCUCGCCCUAUGAUCGUGAUGAUCUGCCCCACGGUGGGUGCCAAUGUCGGUGUUUUAUACCGGCCAUCUACCAAGGGGUACCCGAGGUAGUAGAAUGUGUAGCAGGGGAUCGCCGGACCUGGAACUUGAAGGUAAGAGCGAGGACACGAGAUAGGGAUUUAGACAGGUUUGGGCUACUAGAGUAGCAUAAUACCCUACGUCUUGUAUGGGGGUGUUUGUAUAUUGCGCCCUGCGCUUGGGUGUUGAGGUGUGACCUGCCGAGCUAGGUACCCCUGCCCUCCUUUAUAUACUCCAGGGGGCAGAGUACUAGUCGGAUUACAAGGAGGAGUCCUAGUAGGAUUACACGGGAUGAGUCCUAGUAGGAUUAUAGGGGAAUCCUAGUAGGAGUCUAACUUCUUCCUUCCUUGCGGGUAUUGGGAUGUAUCCCUGACAGGAGGAGCGGAAGGCGUGGGAGUGGACGAAGGCAGCGAGUCUCGAGGCCAUGAGUGCGCCAUCGGAUCUUGGAUAGGGAAGAGGGGGGCUGGGGGAGCGCCGCUCCCGCCGGGUAGGGACAGAGAGAGAGAAGAGGGGUAGGUUGAAGAGAUGGAAAGAAAACCCUAGCUCUCAUACCAAUUGUUGGUCCAAACUGAAUUCUUUACAUUGACUCUGAAUAGCGAUUCAUGUUUGGUAAUACAUAUAUAGGAUAAAAGCAAGGGUAGGUAUCUUAGAGAUAAGGCUUGUCGUUGUCGAGAUUAGCGGAUCAAGACUACAGCAAGUGAAUUUGUUUUAUGCGCGUAAGGCUCGGAUGGUUGCGUGAGAGGACACGGGGUUAGGCUGGUUUGGGCAGGAAUAGCCCUACGUCCAGUAUGAGGAGCUGCUUGUGUUACUCACGCAAGGUCUGUAGUAGGGGUUACAAACAGGCGAGAGAGGGGAGCUGAUCCCAAGUCUCUUGGGUGUGCACUGAUGCUCGUGAGGAGAGGGUGUGAGUUCUGUUGGCUUGAGCCUCUCUUGUCUCAGGUCCCCUGGUUCUCCUUUUAUAGCGUAAGGAGGGCACAGGGGUUACAGGUGAGCCAGGCGUAUGGAAAAGUAAAAGAGAUAAGCUAAGUAAAGUAAAACAUAGGGAAAAGGACCGAGUUCCUGGGUUGCCACUUUCCUCUCCGGCCUUUGUCUCUCAUCAGCGUGGCCGCCGGAGGGGGGCAGCUGCCAUUGGAUCCUGUUGGCGAUCCCCCGGUCGACCGUCGUUGCCAGACAUGAUGAUGAUGUUUGGCCGCCGCAACUGUGCUCGUCGUGGGGGCGGCUGUCCUUUGUAGCCCUGCAUGUUGACCGGGAGGUGCGGCCAAUACAUCUCUGCCGACGUACUGAUCGUGAAACUGGGCAGCGCUCCCUCCUAUGCUGGGGGCGCGGGUGAUGAAUGCCCUACGGCGGACAGGAGAGACAACGGACUGGGGCGGUGCCGCUGUAGCCUGUGCGGUCAUGGCUACAGUGUUCCGCCUGGGUACUGUGGCGGGUCACAUCGAGGAGCGCACCAGAGCCGAGGUGCAUUUAUGGUGAGAUUGGUGGGGGCCCACGAGAUUUGCGCCCUCAUCUGCUGGUUUGCGCCCGAGGUGGAUUCUUGUCUUGUGGGCCCGGAUGAGUCCGACCUCCUGUGCCCUGGGUCGGGCGUAUCCGACCCCAGGACCAUGGGUCGGGUGAGGCCAAGCCUUACAGUGAGGGGUCGGGCGUAUCCGACCCCAGGACCGUGGGUCGGGCGAGGUAGAGUGGAAUGCUCCUUGCCCAUGCCGGGUCGGCGGAGGUCACUGUUGCCGCAGAUGGGCCCGGGUGUUUAUGUUCUGUGUUUAGGGGCGUUAUGAGGUCGUUAACAUUUCCCCCCAACAAGACUAGAGAUAAAGUAGCUUUUACACCAACCACUACUAGACUUAUUUCAUCAUGUUAAUUGUUCACCAGGUAAAAAAGGAUCCUAUUGAGUUGGGGCAAUGUACAACUAAGGUGCUAGGAGAGAUAAAUUCUGAGGUGAGUUCUCGUACUUUAGCUGCUACAAAUGAGUUAACUUGAUUGAAUUUAAACAUUAGUACCAUGUGAUUCUUGAAGUACUACAACAAUAUCCCUCAAAAGCUUUUAGGAUCAACUUUUCAUAUGAUAUGAAUCGUCUAUCGAAUUCCGACAUGCAUUCAUGGGGACUAUAGCACUGAUAACAAAUAAACAAUGACUAUACGCGCAAGACCAGCAGCUAAACCUCCAUGAUGGACCAAUGCAAGGGAACAAGAUGUAGAGCUUUGUUGUGGACUCCUUUUACCAUAAGUAUACUUACAGUAGGCGCAGGGGCAAGGAGUCCACAACGAUCCCAUCUACAAGCCGCCAGGAUUAAUAGAAGUUGGUUAGGAUUUGUUAAAGAGUCCUGUACGGAUUGGAUAAGCUAGUUGGUCUGUUAUAUAAAGGCCUUAGUAGAUUGUUUAGGGAUUAUCGAAGGAAUAAACUCUCCCCUGUUCUGGGCGUGAGUUGUUCUUCGACGAUGGCGGAGAAAUCUGUCUCGGUCACCGGUGACAACAACUCGUCUGCAUACCUAUUGCGCUCCAACUCCCAGGCUCACCUGUUCCUACAGUCUCCCCUGCAUUUUCCUCGCCGUCACUCGCGUCGUAUCAAUUUGGUAUCAGAGACAGCUGCUGGGGCAUCGCCAUCCAUGGCCGGCCCUAAGGACGAUCCGGAGACCGACUCAAACAGCUCUCCACCAUCAACUCCCGCCUCGACUCCCAUGAACGUCGCAUCGCCCGCACCGAGAAGUAUCAAGCUGGCGAUGACACUUCCGAAGGCGCCACGGAGGUUUCGCCCGACUAAGCUCACCGCAAUCCGGGCAGCGGCGGCGGCAAUGGCAGUGGUGGCGGCACUGACGGCCACGGCGAUGGCUUUGGUGGCCCUCACAGCGGGCGGGCCCCUCAGCACUACGACAGCCCCGGGCGACCACGCCCACCCAAGCUGUCGUUCCCCAAGUUCGACGGGGAAUCAAACCCCUUGCCUUGGCUCAAUCGGUGCGACAUCUUCUUCCACGGACAUCAAACCAUGGAGGGAGAGAAGGUGUGGAUGGCUUCUCUGCACCUUGAAGGCACGGCGGCCCAGUGGUACUUUCAGAUGGAACAGGAAUUCAGCAUCCUCUCUUGGGCGCGAUUCGCUAAGUUCAUCAACAUGUGCUUAGGGUCGCCCAUCCGUUCCAACGCCUUAGGCAAGCUCAAGGAUCUUCAUCGCACAGGCUCGGUAGAGGAGUACGAGCGGCGAUUUCUGGCGCUCCUCUGCCGCUGCGACAACCUAAUGGCUCAGCACCAGAUCAAUCUUUUCACGUCUGGGUUGGGACAGCCGUUGGCCUCUGAUGUCAAGCUGCAGCGGCCGUCCAACCUCCAGACGACCAUGAGCCUUGCGUGUGCCUUUGAGCUACGUUCCAAGGAGGCGACGUGUGCUAUCUCCGGAACUCUACGGCAAGGCCCCCGUCCCUGCUCCGUCGCUGCACCAUCCGCUCCUUCAUCGGCCCCAGCAACGCCAGAUGAGUCGCCAUGGCCGUGUUUUUGCCGCCUGUCUGCCGAAGAGCUGGCGGAGAAGGGAGCCAGCGGCCAGUGCUACAUCUACCCAGAGAAGUUCUCCAAGGACCACAAGUGCGCCGGCCGCAGUGGCGUAUUCCGCCUGGCCAUGGACGAUGAGGCAGGAGACGUGCAGGUCAUCCCUGAUGACAUCCACAUCUCCCUCCACGCUCUCCACGGCAAUUCCACGGACGCCACGAUCCGUCUCCAUGUCUCUAUCCACGGUGUUCAGCUCACUGCAUUGGUGGAUUCCGGCUCCACACACACCUUCAUCCACGACGAUGUUGCCCGCGCCUCGGUCUCGCCAUCACACGUCGUCACGGACUACGGGUUAAGGUGGCUAAUGGCGAGCACCUCACCAGUCUGGGCAUCUAUGCGUCCGCUCCGGUCUGCAUCCAGGGCGAGGCAUUCUCUGUUGACUGCUACGCCUUGGCAUUGGAUGGCUUCGACAUCAUCCUUAGGGUGACGUGGCUGAAAACCUUGGGGCUGAUCACUUGGGAUUUCAACGACCUCACUAUGGCCUUCCAGUACCAAGGGCGUGACCUGCUGUGGCACGGCAUUGGUGGUGGCAAUGUUGAUUUGGCAGCCUUGACGGCCACCCGGGAUCUCAUGGAUGCCCUUCUGCUCAAAUAUGGCGGCAUUUUUGCAGAGCCCCGUGGCCUUCCUCCGCAACACCUACAAGAUCACUGGAUUCAUCUACUACCAGGUUCUACUCAUGUUGCUUUCUUCAGCCGGGCUGUGACUCCCCAUCACGCCAAGUUACCAGCUUAUGAGCGUGAGUUGAUUGGAUUGGUGAAAGCCGUGCGUUACUGGAGGCCAUACCUUUGGGGUCGGCAGUUUAAGGUCCGGACAGAUCAUCAGAGCUUGAAAUUCCUCCUGGAUCAGCGCUUCUCUACGAUACCGCAGCAUACUUGGGUCAGUAGACUUUUUGGGUACGACUUGUUGGUGGAAUAUAGACCAGGCAAAUUGAAUGCUGCUGCUGAUGCAUUGUCCCGCAGGGAUGAAGAAGUUGGGUCCCUUCUUGCCCUCUCUAUGUCGUCAUUUGAGGUUUUUAAGGCCCUGCGAGAAGAGCGGGUUGGGGAUAGUCGAGCAAUUGACUUGCAGGCUCAACUUGUCGCUGGAACUGCCCCAAGUGGCUGGUCGGAUGUGGAUGGACUGCUUCUCUACAACGGCUGUGCAUAUGUUCCAGAUUGAUCUUCCCUUUGGCAACAACUUUUGGAAAAUGCACAUGCCUCUGGCCAUGAAGGCAUUCAGAAGACUUUACACAGACUUCACUUGUCUUUUUACAGCUCUCUUGCUAGCAGAUUGGUCCGUGAGUACAUCCAUGGCUGUGCGGUGUGUCAACGCAAUAAAUCUGAACACUUGCAUCCUGCUGGCCUCCUUCAGCCGAUUCCUGUUCCUUCGGAGAUCUGGAAUGAUAUUGCUAUGGAUUUUGUGGAAGGUUUUCCUCGCGUGGGCGGAAAAUCGGUGAUUCUGACGGUGGUUGACAGGUUUUCCAAAUUUGCUCAUUUCAUAGCCUUGGGUCAUCCUUACACUGCAAGCUCUGUCGCUCGGGCAUUCUUUGAGAGCAUCGUUCGGCUCCACGGGUUUCCUUGCUCAAUUGUCAGUGAUCGUGAUCCGGUUUUCACUAGCAAUUUUUGGAAGGAAUUGUUUUGUUUGGUUGAUGUUAAAUUGCUGCUCAGUUAGGCCUUUCACCCGCAGACUGACGGCCAAUCAGAGGUGACCAAUCGGACUAUUUCCAUGUACUUGCAUUGUUUGGCUAGAGAUCGCCCUCAUUCUUGGCUUCAGUGGCUCCCUUGGUCUGAGUUCUGCUAUAAUACUUCCUACUAGACUGCCAUUGGUACCACUCCCUUCCAAGUGGUUUAUAGCAGGGAGCCUCGAACCUUGCUGCGCUUACAACCUGGGGCUGCCAGGGUUGCAGCUGUUGAUCGCCAGCUUCGUUAUCGCGAUGACUUCUUGUCCGAGAUUAAACAGCGUCUUCUGUUAGCUCAGGAUGCUAUGCGUCAGCAGCAUGAUAAAAAGCACCGGGAUUUGGAGUUUGCUGUUGGUGAUUGGGUAUGGUUGCGUCUUCAUCAUCGGACUGCUGCCGGGAUCACUUUUGCUCGCUUGACGAAGCUCAGUCCUAAGUACUUCGGGCCCUUUCAGAUUCUUGCUCGAGUUGGCUCGGUAGCCUAUCGUUUACACUUGCCUGCAAAUUCUCGCAUCCAUGAUGUGUUCCAUGUUGCUCUUUUGAAGAAGUUUGUCGGGGAGCCUCCUACUACAGCACAGCCAUUGCCUUUGCCACCCAUUGUUCAUGGUCGCGCCGUGCCUACUCCUGAGAAGAUUGUGCGUGCUCGCCUUUUCCGUGGUGUGUGGGAGGUCUUGGUACAGUGGGUUGGACAAUCGACUGCUGAUGCUACUUGGACACCGGUGGACGACUUCAAGGCGACUUAUCCUUCCUUUCAGCUCGAGGAUGACCUGUUUCUCGGGGAGGGGGGAAAUGUUGUGGACUCCUUUUACCGUAAGUAUACUUACAGCAGGCGCAAGGGUAAGGAGUCCACAACGAUCCCAUCUACAAGCCGCCAGGAUUAAUAGAAGUUGGUUAGGAUUUGUUAAAGAGUCCUGUACGAAUUGGAUAAGCUAGUUGACCUGUUAUAUAAAGGUCUUAGUAGAUUGUUUAGGGAUUAUCAAAGGAAUAAACUCUCCCCUGUUCUGGGCGCGAGUUGUUCUUCGACGGUGGUGGAGAAAUCUGUCUUGGCCGCCGGCAACAACAACUUGCCGGCAUACCUGUUGCGCUCCAACUCUCAGACUCACCUGUUCCUAUAGUCUCCCCAGCGUUCUCCUCGCCGUCACUCGCGCCGUAUCAGCUUAGCAUACGUGAAGAUACUAACUCCAUCCAUACAUAUAAGACAUUUUGACAAACAUAAGGCAAGCAACAUUUGUGAAUUCAGAUUUAGUAGCUAACUGUAUACAACUUUUGCGAUGAGGAAGUGGCACAAGAUUCAUAGCACAUUGAAUGGACCAUAGUUAUAAUUUUUUAACUAGUUUAAAUAUAUUUUUUUAGAAAACUUAGUUCAUUCUCUGAUCCCCGCUACUACAGAUAAUAUCCGAUCACUAAUAGUUCAUAACCACUUAACCAGCAUCACUCUGGUAUUGAACAGGCAAAUGGACAAGUAGGAGUGAGUGACAUAUACUCCAUGAGCUUCACUGCCUCUGCAGUAAUAAGGGCCCAUUAAACUAUUGGCCACUCCAAUCGACAUUUGUCUUUUCAAUGGUAGUCUCCUUUUUGUCCUCAACUAUUGUCUAGAAAGUUAAAAUGUGGUACGAAAAGAUAUGACUUCCAAUUUGGCGAAAUCCAUCCCUAACAGCUCGAGGGUGAAAUCAGACUUUCACAAUAGUUAGAGGACUAAUGUUGAACGUAACAUAUCUUUUAACUGGUGUGAAGUUUUUAUUUUUAUAAGGAGGUGUGAGGUGUUAAUCCUCUUCUACGAAUCACGGUAUGUGAUGGUAAUGUCAGAUUGGAGAACUCUAAACUGUAGAGCAUGUUCAGUUUCAACAGAAAAGGCCUACAUGUCUCAUUGUCUCUCGUACCAGUAUCAUAUGUACCAUCAAAUUUGGUUCUACAAAGUAAACGAGAUGGAUCUCUCUCUUAGUCUCAGCUUAACAAUUGAAUUCCUAGGAAUUUCUUUUAUUUUUUGCGUAUUAACAUGGAAUCCCUUUUUUCGCGUAUUAAUGUGGAAUCCUUGACCCUAUGUGAAUCAGGAUGGAUUCAUGAUACUAUAUUUACAUUGCUAGGUUUAUACUAAUAGUUUCAAGUAUAAAUCUUAAAAACUACAGAUUGUUCGUCCAAACUAAACUACUAAUUUAAAUAAUUGUAUAGCAAACUAAAGUAUUUAACAUAUGCCAUGUCACUAGGUCAGAAAAGAUUUGUGCUAGCUCAUGGGAUUUCCAGUACUAGCGAGUGAUAUUGACAUCCAUAAGCACAAAAGGUUAUGGGCCCACUCCGUCAAAACCUGCCAAAUGCACCUGUGCUGGCGGGUGACAUAAGGACCUGCCAGCACAAAUCCUCAUUUGUGCUAGCAGGUUCUUAUAUCACCCGCUAGCACAAAUACUUUUCAAUUUAUAUGGAUGGGAAGGAUAAAAAAAAUUUAAACUAGUUAAAAACUUUGUUUUACAUAUCACGAUAUAUUUUUAACAUAUAUUAGACUAUGUAUAUGUUGUUGUGUAGGCGUUGCAAAAAAUUAUAAGUGAUUUACUAUUUUCUAAGGUAUAAAUGAUUAUAAGGAUGUUUAUUGGAAUUAAUAUGUAUUUGAACUAAUUUUUUCACAAAUAAGAUCAAAAAAUUUCAGAAAAAUGACGUUAAAGACACAAAGUCCCUGAAAGAUUCACAAAGUUUUUAGGUACAUUUAUCACUUCUAUUAAAACUUUUAGUGAAAAUAAAUUCUAAUAAUAUCUAAACGUGUUCCAAAAACUAUAUAAAUUGGUAUGGAUCAUUUUAUGAGUUCACAAUCUUUGCAUAAAAGUUUCAAUAUAUUGUAAGAAAAUUGGAAUAUAUAUUGUUCACAAAUAUAUACUUCAUCUACAACAUUUCAUAUAACUCAAGUGAGGCUUUAAGCUUAUGAACUAACUUAGUACUAUAGUAAUUUGUGAACUAACUAAUUCAUAAAUACGAUCUCGGAUGAAUACAAAGUUGAUAUUAAAGUUGUAGAUUUAGAGUAGAUCUAAAAUUUUGUAGUUGACAACUUUUUCAUUUAAAGUUUUUUAAUAGCUCAAAAUAUCAUUGUAAACUCUCUAAUUUCAAAAUCUUGAAUUUUAAAAUUUCAAAUGACCUCAAAUGCAAACAAGCUCUAUAUCAAAGUUGUAGUGCUUAACUAGAUAUAAACUUUUAUAGUUGACAAAUAUUUCAUUUAAAAUCGUUUAGCUGCUCAAAACUUCGUUAUAAGGUUAUGAAAGGAACACGUUCUGCUACAUCAGCGAUCCGUGUCGAUUUUUUCUCCCAUUGGCUAGAACCUCCUCUUCCUGCAUCCAUCCCCUCUUAUCCCUUCCCUCUCACUCUCUAUCCUUAUCCAUUCCUCUCACCUCAUUUUCCAAGGGCCAAGGGGAGGGAGCAUCGGGGGAGCAGCAGGAGGGCACGACUGCGCAGGACACCAGCCGGCUGCGAGCAGCGCGGCAUGGCGGCAGGAGGGCACAACACAGCACCCCUCAACCCCGAUAGCUGGUGGCGCAUAGAGGCCCGCGUGGGGCCCCAGUGCUAGAGGCGAUCGCGGCGCCCCUGGAUCCGACUCAAGGGGCCCAACGGCCGGCGGCGGCGCACAGGGCUCGGAGGCUAGCGCGACCCCCUCAACCCCAGCCCUGACGGCAAAGGUGGCCGGCGCGGCGGUGCGGCACCGGCCGCAGCGGGCAGGAUGGCGCGGCGGGCGAGGCACGGCGGCAGGAGGGCACCGCGCGCUGGCCUUUUUUUCCUUUCUUUUUCUUUUUAUAUUUUAUAUAUUUUCUUUUGUUUUUUAUGUAGUAGUGAAUAUGAAUAUUUCAUAUUUAUGUAAUAUUGCUGUGGUAUGUUUAAUGGUAUGAAAAAUUAUAUAUUGUUCAUGUUUUAAUUUGCUUUGUGGUUGGAGAUACAUAUUUUAAAUUAGCAGAAAAUAAUAAUUUUGGAAUUGGUGGGAAAUAAAAUUAGAAAAAUGGUGGGAAAAAUUAAAAAUUCAAAAGGGGAAACGAUCUGUGUUGGCGGGCGUCUUAAGCGUCCGCCAGCACCAAUCCAUUUCUGCUGGCGGGCGCUCACCUGCUAGCAUAUAUGCCCAUUUCUGCUGGCUUAAGGUUGCCGGCGGUUAGGCAACCCACCGGCGCAAAUUUUUUAUAGCGUAGUGUGUUACCAAAAAGUUACGAAUUGAAAAAAAAUUCUAUCACAAAACUGCUGAUUUUUUUUGCAAUUCAUCGUAAAACCACACGUUUGCAAUUUGGUUUCACCUUAAACGUGCAUGGUUGUGUUUCCUUGAUCUGGGCCAAAAUAGUUUUAUGAGUUAGUAAACACUGAUGUAAACCCUACUCUCUGACUAUGGAUCUCCCAUUGAAAUGGACCCCAAUUCCCAUUUCUAAAAAUUCAAGCCUACGAACCUCCAUGACAGUCCCAAGAAGACUAUCACGUGCGAAUCUCUGUCUCAGAUAGUACAAAUCCAUACCAACACAGAAAUAUAAAGCAACAACAUAGUAUAUCAAAAUAACAUGAGUAGCGAGGACAUCUCUAGGGCAUAUGCUGGUAUCAGGACUAAAUCAAGAAAGGUAAAACAUCUACGCAGCGGAAACAAAAGCUAUGGCGAACUCCAUCUCCAGAGGUGACUCAAGCAAAGAACCAUCCCUAGUCUUCUCAUCCGUCGUUGUCGAAGUCAUAGUCGGGCUCCGACCCUGAAAAGUCACCAUCUACCCGAGAAGCGGGUAGGCUAUGUCAAGUCCCAAAAGCAGCAAGCUAAGGAAAUGGGAAAAUAUACUAUAUGCACGGGUAAAACCUAUAUAUGGUUGUUGGGGUUUAUGUAGCAGCAACAGCAAUCAAGGAAGCAGCAAUACAGCACACCUCUGAGGUCAACACCUCAAACAAGGAAGUCGGCACAAAUCGCCGGAUUCUUCACUCAAGGGUCCAGCACCCAAACACACUAGGCGAUGUGAGAGCUCCCUUCCCUCAUAUCUCAACGGCAAACGUCAGCCUAUCUUAAAAGGGGGAGGUAGAAGGAUAAGAAAAGUCUAGUCAGAAGUAGUAGUAGUCAACAGCACUAUCCAUUACCAGUGGACACGGACUAUAGUUAUAGCUUUAUACACUCUUAGACUUCAACUACCGAAUUUAGUACAAAUGUUUAAGUUCAGAAACUUGAGAAAAAAAGAUAAAUAAAGUAUUCACUCCAUUUUGAAAUAUAUGACAUUUAAAACGAAUUAAUCGAAAAAUAUAAAUUAAUUAGUCUGUUCCAAACGUCAAAUAAGGGUAAGAUUAACUUAGAAUGGACGGUUCACAUUAACUUGUACUUGGAGUACCAGCAGAAAAGCAGAAUCUAUACCUAAACAACGGUUUGUUUACCACACGACUUCUUGUUCUAGACGGCGCCGCGUGGCGAAGCGACGGACUUCAGGAUUCGGACGGCGCUGGUUGUAGUAGAAGAGGCCGACUUCUCGUUGCAGAUAGCACCGGUGGGAGAAGUGGCCGUGUUGAAACCCCGACCUUCCAGGCAUCGCUUCCACCGGCCUACGGAUGUCAUCAGCAGCCAUUGACAAACCAGCAACCGGAGCGGCAACGCAGCGGCCUUCAGCGCGCCGUCCCAGGCGAUCUCAUCGGACGUCGUCACGUCGACAGAACCGCCACCGCAUGUGGGCGCGAGCAGCGGCGGGUACAGCAACACGACGAUCUCGGAGGACGGCUACUAUUGGCGCAAGUACGAAUUGAAGGGGAAGAAGUGAAACCUGAGAACCCGUGCAGCAACUAGUCCGGCCGCCCCUCUGCUGUUCGUCGCUAACGUGUGGGUACUAGAACUGAUCUUCCAUAUAGUGCUUUUAUCCCGAUUAAUUUUAGUUCCGAGUCAAAAAUGAAGCACUGAAGACCACCCACGGGAGGGGCUUUAGUUCCUGUUGUAAAGAUCAACUGGGACUAAAGCUCCCGCUUUAGUCCCGGUUGUAACGGCUAAAAAAUCUAACACCAACGGUGGGAGCUUUUGUCCCGGCUGGUAAUUCCAAUCAGGACAAAAGAUUUAGUCCCGGUUGGAAUUUCCAACCGGGACGAAAGGGGCUCACGCGCCCCCCCCCCCCUUCACUCUCCACCUUAUCUCCUCUCUCCCUUUCUUUUCCUCCUCCCAGUGCUAACUCUUCCUCCUCUCCCUUUCGUUUCCUCCUCCCGGUGCUAACUUCUCUCCCUUUCUUCCAGGCGGGCGCGCGGGCGGGCAGGGGCAGCAUGGGCGGGUGGGCGGCGCGAGCGGCCGGACGGGCGUGCGUGGAUGGCGAGCGGCGGGCUGGGCGAGCGCGUGACAGGUGAGCGGGUGGCUGGGCGCGGGCGGUGGAUGACCAGCUGGGCGCGCACGGGCGUCAAAGGGUGGAGGCAGAGGGGUGGAGGUGGGCGGUGCAGGAGCCGAGGCAAGCGGAGGCCGCGGUGCAUUUUUUUAUUUUUUUUACUUUUGAAACUUUUUAGUUCGGUUGGUAACACCAACCGGGACUAAAGAGGAUCUUUAGUCCUAGGUGGAUGAUCCGGGACUAAAGGACCCCUCUCGUCCCAAAAAUUUUAUCCUGGAUGAAUUUUUGAAAGAUUUGAGACCAACUAACCGGAACAAAUGCUCAGGUUUCUACCAGCGGGGCCCAUUUAGUGAGCGGGCCCACGCUUCCACAACCUAAGGCAGAGGGACUCGAUUGCUGCAGGCAAUACUGCUCUUAUCGACAACCUGAGCAGCUGUACACAGAGCCCUUAAUUUUUUUUAACUUUAGAGAGGCCGAAAUAUUUAUAUAUUAGCAUAAAUCUUGUUAUUGUUGAGGCUAUUAUAUACCUGAAUGGUACGUAGCUUCACCGAGCAAUCCACCCAUUUGCUCCUGACUCUCUUCUAUGCUUCAUCAGUGAAAAUAGCCUCCUUUGGUAGCCUCCAUAUGUGAGUAAUGUUUCAGUGUUUAGUUGAGUUUUUUUUUGUAAAAGAAAUGUUAGAUAUAUCUUUUCAAGCAAAAGUUGCAUACAGGAUACAUAUCAUGCGAAUUUAUACAGUACAGUUUUGAAGCGAUACGGUUUGGAUACUUAGAAAAUAACGUAUAUUUAUAGGAAUAAAUAUCUUUUUUUGAGGGUUCAAUGUGGGAGAAUAGUCUCUCACCUGACAUAUUGGAGGAGGUGAACCUUCCGAUUUGUGUUUUUUCUCAAAUAUGCGGUACCUAUCGGUACUUGUUUUUGUUUCUAUCGUUUGGUCGGAAAACAAUUAAUAAAAAUUAAAUUUAAGGAUUGUUUUUUUACUUCCCUACCAAUUUGGUACUUCUUGGUACUUCUAUUUAGAUUUCUCGAGAUGGAUGACUCUUAUUUUUUCCAAUCAUUCUAAAAUUUCUCAAAAAGAUUUAGUUCACCUUACAUUCGAAGAGCACGAUACCAAAGUGAAGUGAUGUCAUAUUCUAGCAUCAUCUCGGUCGGCCAGUAGGUCCAGAGCAGAGAAAAAAAAUCAUACUUACAUGUACUAACUGCUAUGAUAUGUAUGGCCUAAAGUAUAGCCUUAUACGGUAUAUAUAGUAUAGGUGGUCGCUUUGCUGGCGUCGAGUUUUCCUUUACCUUUGUUUCUAAAAUAAACCUGUAAAUCUCUUCUAUAUUAAUAGAAAUGGCACAAUCCGUCCGUUCAAAAAAAAAAAAGUAUGGCCUAAAGUUUACUUUUAGCACAGGGUCCUCAACAUGCUGCUGGGGACGGCCCUGACUACUACAAGUGUACCUUCCCCGGCUGCUUCGCCAGGAAGAAGCUGGAGAGGUCGCUCGACUGCCAGAUCAUGGAGAUCGCGUACAAGGGCAGGGAUAACCACGCAAGGCCGCGGAACACGAGCAGGGGCUCUGCAGGCACGGCGGUGCAGGUGCUGCAGAGCGGCGGCGGCAACGCGUCCGAGCGCAGGUUUGGAGAAAUGCCGGCCAUGUCGACCGUCAGCGACACCGAGGUCAUCGACGAUGGCUGCCGGUGGAGGAAGUACGGGCAGAAGGUGCUGAAGGGGAACCCAAACCCAAGGUAAGAACCCCACAAAAUUUACAGGUCCAUUCUUGUUCUCCCUACGCGUCGUGAAUGUCGCCUUGGGCCUCUGCCUAAUACAGGAGCUACUUCAAGUGCGCGAUGUUCGGCUGCCCGGCGCGCAAGCACGUGGAGCGCGCUUCCCACGACCAGCGCUCCUUCGUCACCACCUAUGAGAGCAAGCACAACACAACCACGAUCUGAAUGCAGCGCGCGGCGCCGGAAAGCAACAGCAGUAUGCCCGGCCUGACGGGGAGUGAGGGGCUGCUGGUACAUAAGUCAUUGACUCUGCAACUGCAACACAAGAGGCAGAGACGACGCGUGCAUUAUGCUGGCAACCCCAGCGUUUGGACCUGAUAGAGGGGGGCAAUGUCUUAAUUUGAUCCAAAAAGGACCAAGGAGGAGCUCAAGCUGGACAUGCAUGUUUUCCCCGCACUCGAUGCUGCUCCCUGACCGAAGAAUCGGAGGUUUAAUGCAGAAUCCGUCAAGUACAAUAAAAUGUAUUUGAAUCUCAAUCAAUAAAAUGUAUUGCGGAAAACAAACCAAAUUCUGGCUCCACGUAAAGAAUGCAGUCAAUUCCCUAAUCACAAUUGUUGCCUUCCAAUCAAGUCUUAGAUCUGUACUUUAACCAGCUACUCUAUCUUUGACCUGUCAAUGUUGGCAAAUCUAUUACCAACAUUUGUAUUGUUUUGCGAAAUCCGAUUACAAGCCUAAAAAAUGAAAUGUUCAUUAGCUGUUUGGAAUUUGUGAAACCAAUAUAUACAACACAAAAGAGCAAAGGAACAUGAUAGACAUUCCGAAUAUUAUGAACAUAGCAAUUUCAGUUUACCAAAUACUUCUAUAUAUCAUUCUUUAACUGAAACACAUAUUUUUAGCUAGACAGGUCAGAGGAACUAACUUUUAGAUCUAGAACCUUAUACAAAUAAAUGUUCACCUCCUAUAGAACCCAGCCUAACUUGGUUGAUCGAGGUUAUGGAUGUACACCCACAACCCAAGUUAACUCCCUGUCGAGGCAAAUUAACGUGCCUAUUUUUUGCUACAAUGCCAGUAGGCCAUGGAUUUUACCGGCACCUAUAUGGUCCAUAUCUUCAAUAAUUUAUUUAUUGAAAGUUACAGCUUGAUAUUGCUAUGCAACGUAAAAUUUAUUAUUUCUGAAGAUGUAAUAAUGCUCAUAACAAGUUUACAUGAAUAGUUCCUUACCAUUCAGAGCCAUCUACAGUGGUAAAUCCAAAACCUUUAACCUCAUCUUCAAACUGAAAUGCUCUCUCAAGCCUGUCAAUGCAAAUAGGCAGCCAACCUUUAGCAUAGUAAUUUUUAUGGUAAACUGAACCGUAUGUACUUGCGCAUUCAAUCUCGUCAUCGUUAAUGAAAAUAGUGUUAGCCUCUCACUAAUAUUGAAUUAAGGGGGUAAUUGGGUCAUCAGCAUAGCCACCCAGGAGUGUAGUCCAUGUGGCGCUGAUCGAGAUCCAUGGUACUUAGGUUAUGACGAGCCAUGUGAAGCAUCUAGGCCUCUAAUUUGGGUUUGGUAAUUAUUGACAACGUUUGUGGACUAACAAUUUCAUUGGAAAUAUGAGUAUAGGUUAGUCCCGGAGAUGAAUUGAGCUUCAAUGGAUGCUAAGGUGAUUGCUUUGAUGAAUUUAUAUUGGAGAGCUCAAGGCAAAGGUAUAUGGUAGGGCUUUUCUAUUUUACCGGUCAAAAGUUGCUUAGUGGAUGAUAAUUGAUCGGGUUAGUAGCUAGGCUAGAUAGCCGUACUAUCAAGUGGGGUCAAUUUCAUUUGCUUGACGGUUCUAUAAUGCCACUUCGUUCAAACAAUUGCGUUGCAUGCAUAUGGGUUUAUCUUGUUUGAAAAGUGAAAAGAAUGACUGGAAAAAUGUGCUUUGAAUAUGGCUAACACGUAGUGUACAGCAGACGGUCUCUUGCAGAGGCGGACCGUUCUUUGACUUAGCCAAAAUUCAAGUUUGUUAUGCUGUGCUGAAAGGACGAAGGGCAUACGGUCCGACCCUAUCGGACGGUUCACCACAAGGGUGGCUGACUGCGGCGAGGUGGCACUACACCACAAGCGCGCGGCAGGUUAAUGUUCACCUGGGCAGACUUAAAAAAAAAUGUUUCACCUGGGCAGAUCAUCAGGUCCAAAAGAGAUAUUAAACAAACAGAAAGGUUAUGUGGUGUUGAAACAGCAGUGUGAGGAAGACAAGACGUGUCAUUCCUUUGUUCGGCUCAACACUGGGCCCUCUUUAUUUGUUUCCUAAUUAUUCAGGAAUAAAACUGCAAUCCAGUCAAACGGUGCAUGUGCUUCCAUCCAUAUUGGGAUCCAGUCAUGUCCAUGUGGCCUUAAUUACCGCAGCUGCUGGCAAGUUUUUUGAUGAAAAGCUGCUGGCAAGUUUAUGAUCGAAUUGCAUGCCCCCAGACAAGAUUGCUGACCAGAUUGCUCAAUUUUUAAGAUGUAUAUCAUAAGGCUGUAACCAGCAUGCAAGUUUUUGUUCCUACACUGCGUUUACUCAUUUUUUUUAUAAUGAUAAAACCAUGUAGCCUAGUAGACUGAAGUUUUCUGUCUACCAUAAGUCGUUAUUGUUAGUGAAAGUAUUAUUUAUUGAAUUGCAAAACUUUCCUAUUUGAAGGAUUGAUUUAUUAGCAGAUAAUCAUUGUUAAUUAUGUAGAGGAGAGACAAUAGGAUCAUCUACUGUAAAACAGAAACCGGCCUUAUCUUUAAUACAGAUGCACUAGGAAAUUCUAGCAGGCAUGCUGACAAAUAAACGUGUAAGGGAGCUUCUUCCCUUGUCGUGGUCAAAGAAGCAUUACCUAUAGGUAGAGUUGUUCCACAAAAAGACACCCCCACGAUUCGCCCCUAAAUUUGUGCCGGUAACUAACAAGGGAAACUUUGGGUGGCAGGCGACAGCAGUUGCUGAACUGUAACUAUGCUGAUCUGAUUUACAUGUGUGAACUGCUGUCCUUGACAGCACAUCCAAGAUCUGAUUCAUAAGAGCAAAGAAGUGGUUAAACGUACGUUCAAUACGUACGCACACAGCAGUCCGGCAUAAAUUCAAUAACUAUUCAAUGAAAAAUAUACCGUUAUAUUCCCGCCUGUCCCGACAAUGGCCAUGUACUGCUGAUCACUACCUGUCAAGUAGAAAGCAACAAGACUUCCGUAAACUCUAUUCAAUUCAGUUGUAGGUUCCGCUGAAUUAAUGCUCCAGAACUGUAAAAUUUCAAUAAAGCAUGUGUUACAACAAAACUACUCCUAAGCCACAGCAUGGAAAUUUGUUUACUCUUUCGAGAGGUGAAAAUAUGUUUUAGCAAGAGGGAAAAGAGAAGGCAACCUUAAUGCUGGCAGGAAAAUUGGGUUCCAAGCUUGCAGAAACACUAGCAAAAGUAUUGGUGUCCAUGGGAUUAAAGGUCACCUGAUGUAGAUCGUACAAGUCUCUCUUAAAACUCCGAGUACAAACCCAGCCCAUAUCCCAGUCCCAUAGCUUUAUCAGAUGGUCGUCAGCCGAGGAAAGAAGAUAAGGUUGAGUUGCAUGAACUGCCAGUGAUCUUACUGCUCCGCUGUGAGCAUCAAUUAUCUUAACAUUUUCUAAUUCAUCAGUAUGUGUGUACACGUGAAUUGUCCCCCGGCUAUCACCUGAUACAGCCCAUUGUUGUCUUGCAAUAAACUUCACUGAGAGGUAACGACGCUUACCCUCUGUUAUAAUGUGGAAUGUCUCAAAUGUGUUUGACUGCCGAUGACAUGAACAUAAGCUAACAAUUUUGAUAUGAACAAAUUAAAAGGUAGUACAACUAUAUAAAUGAGUUGUAUAUAUUCAGUUCUUUUGUAUAGUACUUUAUUUCCACGACAUUUUUAGAAACAAAUAAAUGCUACUUCAUGAGCCAAAUUUUGUAGAAUAAGCUAUAUAUAUGCAGUCACUAUAGCAACUAUAUUGAUAUACUUAAAAUAUAUCUUCAUUUUUGAUAGAUCUUUUUUUUUUGCUGCAACACCGAAGGUGAAACAAAAUCAUUAUCUGGUGAGUAGGCACGUACCUGCAGGUUUUUCUUUGAAAUGCAAACUCCUUUGGCAUGACCGGUCAAAAUCCUGUCACAUAAUUAAAUAAUUAGGAAUGAAUGCAGAAGUUAACUAAUUAUUAACUCAGCCCGAUGUUGGGACAACAAUAAGUAUAUGUUGAACCCUCACCAUGGUUUUGUAGGGUGCACAUCUAUAGAUUUCAGACCUCCAAUAGUAAACAAGGGAAAUCUCGGAGCAACCUAUACAAAGUGACUGUUAGCCUUAGAGAUGCUCAAACAUAAGAAAAUAUAGAAAGAGUAUGGAAAGUGGAGAAAUAAAUCUCAUGUAAACCAACAUUAACUAAAAAAGAGAAAGAAAACAAGGAACUAUUUUACAAGACAUGCCAUAGUAUACUACUCACAUGUGGCUCUCCUUUCCCAUUUGCUGUAUCCGGGUCACAGUUUAUUGUCAAAUUCAAAGGCACCUUGUGUGCUUCGCCUCCUUUCUCUCUGAUCUGUCCACACAGAUUGUCCAGCAGGAUUGUGGUGUUUGAGUGGUUAUCCAUAUCGAUGUGCUUUGGGAUAUGAUUCCGGCUCCAGGUGUUCAUGUACAGGAUUUGAAGUCCAUCCAUAUCUGAAGGUGGCUUCAGUUGCUCUUGAAUUGCAACAUAGAAAACACAAGUGGAAUGUGGCAACACAUAGCAUUCAUUUGCGCAGAUGUACCUCACCGAGUUGUUUGGGAUAAUAAGAAAGAAAAUUUCAUCUUCUGUCUUGUUGAUUAGGCUUACUGUGCACUGGAUGUGUUUGUUUGGUUUGAAUGGUAGGCGGAGCUCCAUGGGAUAGACAUCGAUCAAAUCAGUGUGAAUGUACCCAAGGCUUCUCUGCAAUUAAGAACACAAAAAGUUAAACCUGAAUACAUGUUAAACCAGAACGACGAUUACAAAAAGCUACAGUUAAAUCUGUAGUUUUGUGAUACAAAUUCUUAUAUCUUUAGUUUUGCGAUGACUAUGAGAAACAAUCUAUAGUUUUAUGAAAUUUACUCAAAUCCUGCCAAGCCAACAGUGAUAAUUAGGAAUAUGGAAAAUAGGGUGGAGGGAGAUACAGGAGCGGCAUUCAGCCAAGGGUAUUGGAGUCAGGCAUCCCUACAACAGGUACCUAAUUUGCAAAUUUUCUAGAGGUGUAGUAUUCCCCUUUUUUUGUCAUUCCUUUUGUUCUGUGAAGGGUUAGCUUUCGCAGUAUUGUUAAAAACAUUCAGUGGACUUGGGAGUUACUCAUGACACAAAGAGGCGGGCAUACAGGCUGAUAUUGUAAGAGUAAGUUGGAUCACAAUGACCUUGGGCAUUUAUGGCACAGCAAAUUAAAGAUGAGGUGAUAAAGGUGAAGAAAGAAAAACAUGGCCGGUAAGUUUGGGAUGGCUUAGGACAUGGUUGUUUAGGAAGCGAAGUCUCAAAGAAGGAAAUGAAAGGCUAGGCUUGGUGUGGAAUCUCCAAUAAAUUUUCUCAUACCCCCUCCCCCUCUAAAAAUGCUACAGACAGGAAAGAACUGAUUCUAGGAUCUAACAGUCACCGAAAUACAGUGGUAUUUGUUUAGCUGGAAUUGACUAUAUAUGUGAAAAUAGCUAAGUAGAUGACAUCCUACAAAGUAGUGUUUGUGGGACCAUGCUAUUUGUCAUGACUGAACGUACCUCUGCCACUGACAAUGCAUUCAUGCCAGUUCUGGAUAACUCGUCGGUACAUUCUGCUACAUCAAGCAUCUCAAUUAUUUGCUGUAUAUCUGGUCUUUUUGCUGGGUUCGGGUCCAUGCAAUCUAUGCUUAUUUUAGCACAGACUCGUAUUUGUUCCAACAGCACCUGUGUCAUUGAUAAAAUCUCCAACCUGCUUGUCCAGCUUUCAAGUACCUAUGAGAUUUGAAUGAUUAGUUAUUAUUUAAGAAAAAGAGCAACUAGUUUCCAAACAGGAAUUUGAACGAUAUAUAGUAUUGUUCGAUAAAAAAAUAAUAUAUAGUAUUUCCCAUGAGUGCAGAAACUGAUGGCCAAAUUUCUUAAGCAACAUGAAGUCUUGUGGCCGAGCAGGGGCAGAUCCAUGCCUCAUUGGUGGGCAUGUGGCAUGAGUGAAAAAUUUUGGUAUUGGUUUCCUAUUUUGGCACGUUAAAAUUUCUAAGUUCCCCUAACUUUUUCAGUAGUGCUAAGUCAUUUAAAAACAUGUCAAGUUUUAUGUCUUUGAAAAAGGGUUUUACUUCCAAACGUCAAAUACUACAAUUGACAUUGUGCAAUAAAUCUUUUUGCACUCAAGUUCUACAUACACUCAACUUUGUAAUGUUUCUCUAUAAGAAAGCUAUGUAAAGUAAAUAAAAACAUAACGUCGCAAUAAAUAUCUCUACCUUCUCAACUUCAGAAUAUCCUUUUUGUCCUGUCAGUAUCUCUUGGACUAUAACACCAAGACUAUAUAGGUCAGACUUGAAUGUCAUCACAUGACUAUGGGAUUCUGGCGCCAAAUAUCCCCUGCACCAAAAUUUGUAUGGACUGAUAAGUUAAUUUGCAGGAAAAAAAAAGAGUGUUUUUUUGGUAGGGGUGUUCAAACAUGAGGGACAAGCUCCAACUGGAUAUGUAUUAGAUGAAUAAACAAAAACUAAAUCAGGCCUCACAGAAGCUAUCUUGCCAGUCUGAAAUUUGAGGGAAGCAUUACUUUUUUGCAAGAUAACCAGUCUUACUUGAAAAUUUCCGUGCAAUCUUGUAGAGUUAGGGCCCUUUGUUUCAAAAUGAAGAAGCUACUCCUAGUCGUCUAAAUGCAAAAAAAAAGAAAGGAAACAAAGAAUAAGAGCUUUCUACGGACCAAGCUAGCUUACAUUGAUCCAAAUAGUUGAGAUGUGAUAGCUCGGCUUUGCUGUUCAUCAAAGCACUUGGAGAGACCAAAAUCAACAAUUUUUGGCUCCAUAUUGUCAUCCAGCAGUAUAUUAGCUGGUUUGAGAUCUAAGUGAACAAUACGCUCACCAUGAAGGUAAUGUAAGCCAUCACAAAUUCCCUUGAUUAUUUGGUAGCGCUUUUUCCACUCAAGACCACCAGAUGCGUCUGUAGAGGCAAACAAAUAAAGAGUGUUUACACCCUUGUGUCCUUAAUGAUAUAUGUUCGCUAGUUUAGCACAAAGGUAGAUACUUUGUAUAAUAUAUUGUCCUUUGCAGUAUUGAAUCUGGAAAGAUAUAUGAUUUUUUAAUCAAUCCCACCACAUGAUCCUACCGGUUAUAAAUUCAUGAAGACUCCCUUUAGGAAGAUACUCAAAGCAGAGCAACCUCUGUCGUACAUCUGCCAUGACAAACUUGCCACCAUAGUCACACAUUUUCCCCUGCGUAUCUGCACAAUAUCCAAGAAAUCGAACUAUAUUUUUGUGCUUCACUCUCAUCAAACAACCAACCUCUUGGUUGUAUUUCUUUUCAUCCAUAUCAAGCGUGUUCUUCAGCUUCUUAACAGCAACCAUCUUACCAUUUCCAAGCAGUCCCUGCAGUCAAAAGUCACACCAUUGCGUUCAUCGCACGAACACUAUUUUUUAAACUAAAAAAUCAACUGCAAUUAGGAUGGGGAGUUGAGGAUCAUUCACCUUGUAAACCACCGCAAACCCACCACUACCAAUUUGCAGAUCAUCAGAGAAAUCAUUUGUGAUUGCCUUUAGAAGUGGUAAAGGAAGAUCUGUUGGCUCUGUGUUUCUAUUAAGUAGCAUGUGCUCCAAGAUAUUGUGGGUACUAGCUUCAGAGUCCAUUUUCAAUUACAAAUAACUAUAGCCUUCAAAGUUCAAAUAAGAUAUAGGAAUAAAUUUUAAUGAAACCUGGAAAGAGAACUGCACAGCUAUGAAAAGGAAUUUUGGAACUGAUCUUGGGUGACAUGUAACCAAAAUAUGAGAAUAGGGAGAAAUGAUUCUUUAAUUUGGAGCCUGAACUAUAGAAAACAAUCCCAAAUUUAUCAUAUAAAUGUAGCUUCCUUGACACCUCUAGGUCUAUCCCUCUUUCUAGCCACCCAACACUUUUGGCUAUUAUUUAUCUGACAGGUAUGGGUGCCAUUUCAUUAACUUCACUAUUCGAUCACAAAGAAUAUAUGCUUUCACAUACAUGUUCCCAACUCAAGAAAGACAAUAUUGUUUACCAUGAGAAUAUGCAAUCUGUUAGAUUCUUUGGAUUCAUGAAAACUAUUAAAUGAAAAUACUAGUGUUAAACACAUGCAGGAGCAAUGAAAUGAGUACCUGCUGAAGACAUGCUGCCUGUAGCCCUUUUGGUGGUUAAGGAAACUGAACUAUCAACGAUGCAUUAAAACCCUGAAUCAAAUCAUGGUGAGAAAAUAGUUAAAAACCUGCAGGUACAACUGAAUAUAGGUGAACUGCCAAGCAAUUUAUAAGUAGAAACCAUGACCAACGAAAAUUCAAUGAGUUUGCUGCAGGAAAACAUGUGCUAUCUUGCAAGAAAAUAAUGGUUUCUGGAUUAUGUAAGUCCCUGCUGAAGCUCAGAAACAUGUAAUCUUGGAACGAAAAGAAAAUGUCUAAAGCACAAGCUUCACCCGCUCAACUUCAGCAGUAAAUUCAGUACACUGGAGCAGACCAAACCAGAACGACUUGCACUAGAAUGUUUAAGUUUAUGAAUCAAAUCAAUCAAAGUUCAGUAGAUAAGACGCACCUGUUUGCAACGGGAGGGACAAGAUGGGGACGAAAGACAUGGCUUGAGCUGCAUACGUAUAUGCAUCAAUACCAGAUCUGAAGUCUUCGCCUCUUUUCGUCUUCAUUUCUUUGACCUGAGAGCCUUAACAAAGUCCACACGCUUGGGGGCGCACAUACCACACUCCGCCACAAUUUUUAAUAUAUGUUCUCGUUUCAACAUUUGCUUCUAUACAGACAAGAAUACAAAAUACAUCACUAUCAUUUGGUUUCCUUUCAUCAGAUAGCAAUGUCAGCACUCGCCCAUCCCUCUAUUUCCUAGAAUAAAAUUUAUACAUCUACAAUCUUGCUACCAUCACCAUGUGAACUGGUUGAUACUCCUCCGUUCUUAAAUAUAUAACACCAUUGACUUUUUACUCCAAUUUUUACCACCAAUAUCUAUUGAACGAGUUAGUUAAAUAUACGACGCCGUUAACUUUUUACUCCAACUUUUACCACCAAUAUCUAAAAUACCAUUGACUUUUUACUCCAACUUUACCACCAAUAUCUAUUGAACGAGUUAGUUGAAUAUACGACGCCGUUAACUUUUUACUCCAACUUUUACCAUCAAUAUCUAUAGAUAUUGAACGAGUUAUUGAACGAGUUAGUUAGUUAAAGUAAAAUAUAUAUCAUUAUGUCUAUUGUCAAAUGUACUUUAAAUUUAAAUUUAAUUUAUACGUUUAUCUAUUUGCAAAAAUACUUUUAGAAAAAACGAAUAGUCAAACGGAUGAAAAAAAAUCAACGGCGUCGUAUAAAUUAAAUAGAGGCGGUAGAUAAGAAGCCACUUGGGUUUUUGACCUCUACUAUAUACAGCUGAAGGCUCGGAGAAAUGUUUUGAAAUUGAAACACCUUUAAUAUUUCUCCGCCGCCAGUUCGGCAAUCGGCAGUCCGCCUCCAGCACCCCGCGAACGGCCGCUAACCUAUGGUCGCCAUCGCCAUCCGCUUUUCCGCGCUGUGGAGCAGUACGGCGGAGCUGCGAGCCGGAGAGGGCCUUGGCGCAGGAUCCACCUCCGCGCCGCCAAAAUCGAGCUCAAUCCCCCACCCAACUGCCAAAUCGACAGGGUCGCCACGAAAUCAAACUCCAAUGCCCGGAAAUCGAGCUUCCGGCCACAGGAGCGGACGCCUGGACGCCCAUCCAGAUCCAGCAAUGCGGGUGCAGCUUCAAAUAACGGCAGCAGUAGAGGGAGGUAGGGAGGUCCUCUGGUGCGUGGAUUGAUUUCUAUCUUUGGAGGUACCUGACUCCUCGCUUGUAGGGAAGGAAGGAUUCUGUUGUUCGUUUGUGCUUCAAUUGAUUUUUUUUUUCCUAAGGGAAACAAGAGGAAAAAAAAAAGAAAGGGUGAAAACGAGGAAAGUGGGCUUCCCUUUUCAGUACGGCCCAACACAAGAAGAUGUGGAGCCCAUGAUUGCACAACUACCAAAUAAUUGUUGUCUAUUAAUCGUGUGCGCGCAAGGAAUUCCACCCAACAAACGAUGCCGCACAUCCUGCGCUGCAUCCGUUGAAAUUUCCUUUUCACUCGACAUAGAGGGGCUCAUGCUGUCACCAAAUUCGCUGAUGCCGAUCCGUCUGGAGCUUAUCCCUUCCGCCCUCUAUCUACAGUAGCAUCUCUAAAUCCCGUCGCUUCCAGCCCCUCUCCUCUCUCCCUUCGGCGGCUCGUCAGCGGCGAGAGGGAGGUGGGCCGCCCACUGCCUUCCUUUAUAGAUGUAUAUUAAGCUCGUUCGGCUGGCUGCUUUGCAGCUGGCUUCUGCUGCUCGGAUGGACUUUUUCUGAAGCUUGUGUGUGCUCGGAUGGACUUUUUGCGUUUCUUCCCCACCACCGCCGCCGCCGUUGGGCUUCUGCUCGUCGUCGGCAACAUGGUUGGCCAGGUGAAGCCGAUGCCAUCAGUAUAAAACUAACACUAUCUAGAUCUGUACUAAAACUAGGGGAUAUAAACACGGGAUACCGAACCGUGGUUCCUCCCCUCCCCCUCCUGCACCGGAGGGGCAACCGGAGGCAGGAGGAGGGAACCAGCGACAGCGGCGCCGGGAUGGUGACCGCCUCUGUAUUCGCCGGUCUUGACUGAAUGACUUUAGCAGAGGACUCGGGAAGACGCUGGAACUCUCGCAACGACGCAUGUAGGAAGAAGGGUCACUCCUGUCACCUGGGCUUGGGCUGGUGACAUUUUGCCACGUCCUUUUGUAGAUCCAACAAGAGGAGCCCUGGGAAUAUAUAUGAUUGUUAACUGCUCCCUAACUAGCUUUCUGAUGGAGAAAAUAUGUAUGUUUAAACCAUGCCCAAGAACAGAGCAACAAGUAGGCCCUAUCAUUAUGCCACCACGGACAAUCCAUCCGCAGCAGCAAGCCCGGUCAGAGUUGCUGAGAUCAAAUCCCCUACCUGCUUAGUCAUCUCCAUUAACAGCGGCAGGGCACUGAACCACGAGCAGCAAGAUCAUUUCAACCAAUUCAUGCAGCUGUGUUAAGUUUGAGAUCAUCCUACUCAUCGCUUUUAGCCAGUAAUUAACCGGCUGCAACGGAGAGGGGGUCCUCCGGUACAUUCGUUCGACUGGUGAAAGCCUUAACACUGACCGUGAUGGCUAUUGCCCGAAAUAUCUCCGGCUUGCCUACAGCGCCUACAGCUACAGCUUGUUCGUUGGUGCGCCGUGGACCACACGCACUCCCGAGCGGACCCACGGCUGUAAUCUUUCUCUUUUAGCCAAAUGAUACGGAACGAAGAAUAGAUUAAUAAUAAAAAACAAGGAAUGGAAUAAAGUGGCAAGGAGCAUCAAGGAACGGCUGGUUCACUGCAUUAUUGAGUUGCAUCUCACUGCAGCCCUCCUCACACUGGUACGGUGAGCUCCGGCUGCAGCUGCAAGACGACUAGCAGGUGCGUACUUGCUUCUCUGAAUUCCCGCUUAAUUGAAAGACAAGGCUGAACUCUGAAUUCCUUUCUCUGGGUAUACAUAUGAUCCUCCACAACUGCUUCAGUUUAUUUCUUUUUUGUGAACGUCCUGUGAGGCUGUGAGAUCUAUCAAAUCGGUUUGGCAACUUUCAUCGCAGAGAGAUCUGCUUCUACUGCCAUGGCAUCCCCAACAUCCAGUAUGGUUUCAUCACAAAACUCUACUACUUUUGCAUCUAUUGGUAAUUGGUUUCGUGUUUCUUUCUAAUUUCGUUCUUUCUUUUUUUUUCAAAAGAUUGAUUUGAUAGGAAGUGGUAGGAAACGAAUUGAAGAGAAGGUUUUCUUGGUAGUACCUGUACAAGGCUGCUAGUCUUGAUGUAGAAGAAUAACGCCAUGAAGGGUUGGACAGAUGACCAUCCAAGGAAGCUACAAUACUCACUAGUUAAAGAGAUUACAAAUAAUUUUGCAGAUGAACUUGGACGCGGUACAUUUGGACGUGUGUUUAAGGUACCCCUAUUAAAUUAAAAAUCUCCUUUGUAAUGUUCGUUGUAAAACAUACGAUGUUUUUAAAUUUAUUUACAUUCAUAAUCUCUGACCUCCUUCUAUCUCUUACAGUGAUUGUGGGUAAACCUUUAAACUAAAUAUCUCUUCUUGCCAAGCUAACAUUUGAACCAGGGUCAUGGUAUAAUUAAAAGUGUAGUUUAUAAUCCAAAGCUCUAUUUGUUGCAUAGGUGUCCUUUGAGCCAUGGGAAUGUCUCCAGAAAAACAUAUGUGGAAAAUAUAUCAAAGAUGGUUUCUGUUUCUAGACCUUAUCAUUAGCAGUUUUAAAUAAAAGAACAAUUUGCAAUGAGCUCAUAUCACAGAAAGUAUUACAAAAUAUAUCGCAAAUGGUUUUUAUGUCUAAACCUUGCCACAGAUACUUAGUUUUGAAAGCAAAACAGUCAUUGGUGGCCUUGAGACUAUCUGUAGUAGUGAAUGUUGGAUGAUAUUGUUGUUUAUUGUCUUAACAUCGGUUAUAUGAGGAUGUGUGCAAAAGGAACCGAGCUAAUCGUAUUCAUUUUCAUUUAUAAUUCUCUGUUACUAUAUAUCAGCAUAGAAAAAACAAAAUUAUUAUGUGUAAUUAAAGAAGGUGUUUAAUAGGGGCUGCUUGAUGAUGGAGAAGAGGUUGCUGUGAAGCUGCUUCGUUAUUUCACGCCUGAGAUCAGUGACCAGCAGUUCCAAAAUGAAUUUGGAAACCUUAAGAAGCUCAAGCAUCCUAAUAUUGUACAAUUGUUGGGGUUCUGCGAUGAACCUGAGGAAGAAAUUAUUGAGCACAAAGGAAAAUUAAUACUUUGCUAUAGGAUACGCAGGGCACUAUGUCUUGAGUAUGUGCCCAAUGGAAGCCUUCGCAAGUUUCUUUCAGGUAAGGUGCUCAUGUGUUAUUGCGUAAUAUUAUUUCGGACAUUAAAAAUAUUCUUUGCAUUAUGUAUAUUGAGAAUAUUAUGUUUGUUCUUGUAGGUGGAUGUCUUAGCAAGAAUUGGCCCAUACGCUACAAAAUAAUUAAGGGAAUCUGUGAGGGUCUACAGUACCUUCACAAGAUUCCCAUUUUCCAUCUUGACUUAAAACCUGAUAAUAUACUGCUAGAUGAGAAGAUGUUGCCAAAAAUCACCGAUUUUGGUUUAUCUAGGCUCAUCGGUGAAGGGAACACCAAAAGGACAAUGACGCCUCUAGGGACACUGUAAGAUUAUUGUCUCCUGUGAACUUUUGAUCUGCUAAAUUGUAGUUAUUCCUUAGUCUCACUUUGCUAUGUCAUUUAUGUUCUGCUGCAGUGGAUACUUGCCUCCAGAGUUCAUUAACAAUCAAAUAAUCUCCAGGGAAUAUGACAUAUAUAGUUUAGGUGUUAUAAUUAUGCAGAUAAUCACUGGAGUUACAGGCUUCUCUGAUUUUGCUGACAUGGAGCCCCAAGAAUUUAUUGAACAUGUAAGAAUAAUUUAAUUAAUCUUAAUUUAUAAGCCUCUUAUAUACUAGAACAUGUUCGAAUAAUUUAAAUAAUCUUAAGCGGGUUACAUAUAAUGGAUGGAUUGAGCCUAUCGACCAGUAUAUAUUAGGUAAAAUAUUUAGGGGGCGAGGCUCCCCCGGAUACAUAUGGCAGUCUACGAUAUGUAUAUCUACAAGUACCAAAUAUACUCUAACAUCCCUCCGCAGUCACAGCGGGAGUAGUGCAGACGGUGAGACUGGAGAAGAAGCCGGAGGUAGAAGCCUGUAACGCCCGCAGAAAUCACUAUCUAAAAUCACCCGUUAAAAAACCAUCUUUAAAAUCUUUUUACCGCUGAGCUCCCGGAAAUCGGAAAUCUUCCCGGUGUUUUCGCGGUCCCGGUACCCAUGCCAGCCCCCACCUAUCUUUUUCCGUGCCCGUGAAUCUCGCCGCGUGCCGUUGUCAGACGCCGUGCGCGUGCCCCGACCACGUGCCGCGAACGCCGCCGGUCUCUUCCUUUUUCCUUCUCUUUUUUUCCCCUUUUCUCCUUUUCUUUUUCCUUCUUCUUUCUUUCUCUUUCUUCUUUCUUCUUCCUUCCUCUCUCUCUCCUCCUCUUUCUUCUUCCUGGCACCGGGCGCCACCCCCCCCCCGGCGCCACACCUCCUGGCCGGCCAACGCCAUCUACUCCGGCGCCCCCAUCCCUGGCGCCAUACUGCCCCGUCGCCCGGACCCGCGCCGCCCGCCUGGGGUCCCGCCGGUCACCUCUGCCCGUCACCGGCCCCCUCGCUCGGCUCGGUCCCGCCAGUCACCUCGGCCCUCCCGGCCCUGCCGGCGCGCCUGGCGCCACGCCACCCGGCCGCCUUGGGCCCGCGCCCGGGGCACGUGCCGCCACCCGGCGCCGACUCCCCGGCCGGCCUACCCGGCCCCUACCCCGCCGUACGCCGCCGCCACUCCGCCCGGCGCCUGGCGCCACGCCGCGUCCCGGCCCCGCACGCCACCGCCGGCGCCCUCCCCGCCGCCUAUAAAAGCCGCCCGGCCCUCCCCACUCUCCACCCACCAACACCACCACUCCCCGUCUCCCCUGCCUCCGCCACCCGAGCCGCCGCCGCCGCCGCCGAAACCCACCACCGGCCGCACCCCCUUCCCUACCCAAAUCCCCGAGGUGAGUAGCAAAAUGGGGCCUCCCCGGACCCCUCCACCUUCUCCCGCCGCCUCCCCUCGCCGCCGCCGCCCCCAGGCCCGGCCGUGCCCCUCCCUCUCUCCCCCUGUGUACUGUGCGCACCAAAGGAAGAAGAAACCCAAAAUUCCGAUCUAACCCCCUGAAAUCCACUAUUCGCGAAAUAGUCCUUCCACCACUCUUGUAGCAGUUUCACAAAUAAGCCCCUCCACCCCCAAAAGUAAUUACACAUAGGUCCCUGGUUUAUUAUAACUCAGCCCUAAGCCUCCGUUUAAGCCCCUAAUCCAUGUUUAACCCGUCAUUUCAUGCGCCAAACUUCCUCCAAUUAAUCCCAAAUUUUACCACGUCAUCCUCUGGAAUACUUUCGCCGAUCUAUAUCCAAAUUUCCCAGAAAUAAUCCUUCUACCUAUUUUCCAUUCGCGUUUCCUGUUCGGAGCUCACGGUUAAAAAUCGUUUCCUUUUUUAUUUAUUUGUGUGUCUACUUGUGUGUGCCGUAGAUCGCGGAUUGACCGAGGAGGAGCCCGAGGAAGAGUUUGACCGUGAGCCCGAGCCCGAGGACCAGUACCGCGAGCCGGAACUCCCGGAAGGCUUUGAAGAUGGCAAGUCCAAUCUCACCCUUUGAUGCAUACUUAAUACCUAGUUUUUCAAACACAACCUAUUGGCCUGUUUUACAAAAAUGCAUAUUAUUUUAUCGCAAGACAUGGUUGGAUAGCCACCCCUUGAUUGUUAUGAACAUUCCUUGUUGUCCUAUGCCUAUCUCUAAAUAUGACUCGCUCUGUUUAGAUGAUAGCCACUGCUAGAACGCUUAGGAAAUUGUGACUCAACUGCAAUCAUUAUUACAAUAAGUGUAUUCGGAAAAUAAGUGUGUGUGUGUGUCCACGCAAGAGAAAUGGCUUUUGGGGUUGGGGGAAAAGGAUGUGUAGACGGGAUGGAUGGGUGUUCCUCGUGUGGGAUGCCAUGUUGUUGUGCUCGUACCUUGGUGGUUGAGCAAUGUCGGGAGAUAUCCAUCCUGUCGUAAUUAAGGACCGAGUUGAUGUGUCAUCUUGCCUAAUUCCACUAUCGUGCAACCACUCGACCGUUGUAUGGGCAACGCCUUAGCAUAAAUCCCACUAGCUGGAUGGUUAGUCCUCAGGGGUGCUGGUGAGCAACGGAAACCCAUGGAAAAGGAGUAAGAUCUUGGUGACUUAGGUCCCGGUUACGGUCUCAUGGACGAGCCGUGAACCCCUUGGGUGUUUUCCGUGAGGGCUAGCCAGCCUUAGCUAAGGUGGGUAAUGGCUUUGUUAGGAUCCGUACCGUCACUAAGGUGAUCGUGCUGCGGUACCCUACUUGUGGGAAAAGUGUACACCCUCUACAGAGUUAAAACCUAUCCGGGUAGCCGUGUCCACGGCAUUGGACGAGUUACGGCUUGGUCACAUAACUAGCAAUUGGGCAAGAAUGUCAUGUGUGUGUGUGUGUGUGUGUGUGGGAUUUUGGAAGAGUCCGGCAGUUGUGCCGUGCGCUAUGACGGACGGGGAGUCCGAUAGCGAUAAAAACUUGGAUCCUUUGUGUAGGAUCAACCCCACUCAAUGUCUCGAGUAUUAAAGGAAAACCUUACAAAAACCCUUUCAAAACGAUCCCCUGCAUGUGUUAAAAUUUAGCUUUUCCGCAAAUAAACUCUAGCCUAUCCUUGUCAUACUUGUGCAUAAACUUGCUUGUAUCCCCUCCGUGGAUGGGGUUGGACUUGUUGAGUACGUUAGUAAUCACCCUUGCUUCAUUACUACAGAGGAAGACCCCGAUUUCGUCGCAGAGGACCUCGAGUAGAGGUUGUGUCCGCACCCGACGCUGCCUGUGGUGUUGUCUUGCCCAAGAUGCUGCUGCUGCCGUGUAGUCCCGAGUGCUGUCUUUUGGCAGUCGCUUGGUUAGCCGCCGUUAUUUAUUUACUGUUUAUCGCUGCGUGGCUUUCACGUCCACUCCCUCGGGAGUUGUACGGUAACUGAAUUAUCUGUCGAAUAAAUAUGUUAUCAGCCUCCUGGGACUGAUAUUUGUAUCACAUUUAGUCUCUACUUAUGUGGGGACGCUUCAGGUGGUAUCAGAGCCGUCGUUGGCUGUAGGACGCGACCUUAGGACCGGAUUAGCCCUUUUUGACCAAAACAAAAGAAUUACAAAAUUUCUUCCUACCUUUGCUCUAUUGUAAAACUAAUUUGUGCCCCGGAUCUUUUCCAGAUGGCCGAGGAAGGAUGGGUCAACAGCCACUGCCUGGAAGAGCCUGGUUUUCCCAGAUUGCUGUUCGCCUGCAUGGACCGCCUCGGGAUUUAUGAGCGUCCGGAGUACACCAGCAGGGAGUACGAGGACCGCGGGACCCCUCGAUGUGAGAUGAUCAUCUACAUCGGGCGGAGUAGCCACUAUCCGGAUAUCCAGCCAUGGAACGUGACUGCCACCGGCUUCCGGCACAAGGAUACCUAUCAAGUGGCAGCCCGGAAGGCCCUCCGUUUCCUGUGUCAGAUCUAUGAGAGGCACAUUGGCCGCACUCCGAUGAGGUUCUACCCGCCUGUCAAGAAAAACCGCCCGGUUUGGCUGGCCCGGGUACGGACCUUGGAAGGACGUGGACAGCGCGAGGAUGACCCCACUGUGCUGCACAUGGCUGCCUACCUUCUCACCUUGGAUGAACUCUACGACGAGCAGGCUGCUAAGUUGAAGCAGCAGACCCGUAGGGCCGAGGACGCAGAGGUUAUGGUGAGGAGGCUUCAGGUGAAGUUAGCCGCUGCCGAAGCCCGAGCCGCAGCCGCUCAAAGCAACGAGGCCAUUGCCGUUGAGGCUCUCAAGGAGGCUGAGGAUCGGCACACCAAGGAGCUGAAGGAUGCCCACCUCACUGUUCGUGCCAGAAGAAGGAUGGUGGCCAUCGAGGACGACGAGGCUCCGAUCCUUGAAGGGAUUCCCAUUCUUCCAGGGCCCAGUAAGCGGAAAAGUCCGGACGCCACCCCGGCACCACCACCUUCGGAAAGGAACUCCGAGGUGUCGGAUGGAGUGGUUCCCGAGACCCCUCCCACGGGCGGGACUCUGAAGGAUGAAGUGCUGGCCCUUCUCCUCCCAUUGGAGGAUCACUCAGUCCAAGGAGAAGACUCGCCCCGCGAGUAGUGUGCCCAGCCAGGAUUGCCCAAGGAAUGAAGCCGUCAUGGUCCGUAGUUUAGAGUUGUACCCCCCAGUUGUGUUGCUGUAACCGGUCGUGUAGUGCGUGUUUUGGCCUUACCCCCAGCAGUGUUGUACCCCCGUGGCAGAAUAAAUAAAAUCGUUUGUGUUUGUUGCUUGUUAGUCUGUGUGUUUGUCGACAGAGGUGGAUUCUGUCUCUUCGAAAAUACGAAAUAACCACUUUAAAGAUCACUAAAAUCCAAAUCAUACUCUCAUAAAAAGGUCUCACUCAAUCUGCAGAUGCCGCCCAAGCGUGCCACCAGGACUUCCCCCAGUCAGGCCCAUGCCUCCCCCAGUGCAGAGAGGCAGCCAGAAAGGCAGGAGCCGCCCCCGGCAGUACUCCCUGAGGAGCAGGAAGUAAGCCAGCCAGAAGGAAGGGGAGAAAGCCAAGUGGGAACGCAGCAAUCACCGCCCCCACCGGUUAUCGAUCUGGUUCAAGUGAUGAACAACCAGACCCUUCUGCUGGAAGCUCUGGCCAACGCCGUUACUCGCCAGAGGCCCCGCGGGCAGAACAUGAAUGAGAAGUUGACGGACUUCCUCCGGACCAAGCCACCCACUUUUGGCGGGUCUGUCAACCCUCUGGACGCAGAUGACUGGCUACGCGUCAUCCAGAGGAAGCUGGAGCCCUUUGGUUGUGAGGGCAGGGACAAAAUUCUCUUAGCUGCCCACCAGCUCACUGGGACUGCCCUAGCUUGGUGGGAGAACUACUGCUCUGCCGCCCAGGAUGCCUCCACUAUCACCUGGGAUGAGUUCGUGACGGAAUUCCGUCGCUACCACAUUCCCGCCGCCACCAUGAAGCGCAAGGCGGAUGAGUUCCGUGAGCUCCGCCAGGGCAACCGAUCUGUGGAGGAGUACACCUUCCAGUUCAUGGAGCUGGCUCAUUAUGCUCCAGAGGAGGUGGACAAGGAUGAGAAGAAGCAGGACAUGUUCAAGAAAGGCUUGAACGCGGAGCUGAGGACCCUGCUCACUCCCCAGAUCUACCCCGACUUCAACACCUUGAUGAACAUGGCCAUCUUGACCGAGAGGGCUAAGGCAGAAGAGUGGAGGGACAACAAGCGUCGGUUCCUGGAAAACAAGGCGCACCAGCAGGACCGAUUCCAGAAGCCAAGGAGCUUCGGUCACCCCUUGCCCAGAUCCCAAGCUCCCAUGCAUUAUCGGACCCAGUCCCAAGCAUCUGGUUCGCAUCAGACUGCUGCCCCAUUCAGGAGCCAGAACUCUAUCAAGGCCCCACAGAGCAGCGCCAGCCAGGUCACCAGCAAUGGUAGAGCAUGCUUCAACUGCAGAGAGCCAGGACAUUUCAUCGCCAACUGCCCCUAUGCCAACAAGCCAGCAGCAUCAGCCUUGUCCAACUCAGUAGCUGGACCCAGGGCCGCCCUGUCAGGAGCCAACCGUGUGCCAGUUCGCAGCAGCGGCAACCCCAGCAACAACAACAGCCAGCAGAUGAGGCCGCCCCAGCAGUCAUUCGGACGAGCCCGUGUCAACCACAUCGGCGCGCAGGAGGCUCGCGAAGCUCAAGGCGUGGUGCUCGGUGAGUUCCUAGUCAGCUCAGUCUUGGCAACAGUACUUUUUGAUUCUGGAGCAUCACAUUCCUUCAUAUCCUCAAGUUUUGUGGAAAAACAUCAUAUACCUACAGUACUACUAAAGUUACCCCUAUUAACCCGGACUCCUGGAGCCGACAUUCAGUGUCGACUAGGCUAUUCUCGGGUAAGGAUCAAUUUAAGUGGGGUAGAAUUUCUAGCAGAUCUAGUAGUACUUAAGUCUAAGAGGAUAGAUGUGAUUCUUGGAAUGGACUGGCUGAGCCUACAUGACGGUCAUAUAGGGUGUGCCGAUAAGGUAGUGCACCUGACCAAUCGAGAUGGUGUGCAAGUGACCUGUCACACUAAGGGAAGUGGUCCAGACCCCAUGGUGUUCAGCAUGGAGACCAAGACCUUAGAAGGAGUCCCAGUAGUGAGUGAGUACCCGGACGUCUUUCCUGAAGAACUACCUGGAAUGCCCCCUGACAGGGACAUAGAGUUCUUAAUUGACCUCGUCCCCGGAACCUCCCCUAUAGCUAAGAGACCCUAUAGAAUGGCAGCCUCAGAGUUAGCCGAGCUGAAGAAACAGUUGGGAGAGUUGCAACAGAGUGGCUUCAUCAGGCCCAGCUCAUCCCCGUGGGGAGCCCCCGUGCUUUUUGUCAAAAAGAAAGACGGGAGUAUGAGGAUGUGCGUGGAUUAUCGCGCAUUAAAUGAGGUCACCAUUAAGAAUAAGUACCCUCUCCCCAGAAUAGAUGACCUGUUCGACCAACUGAAGGGAGCCAAGUAUUUCUCCAAGAUAGAUCUGAGAUCGGGGUAUCAUCAGCUCAAGAUCAAGGAGAGCGACAUCCCGAAGACCGCCUUUGUCACCCGUUAUGGUCAAUUUGAGUUUACAGUGAUGUCCUUUGGAUUGACCAAUGCACCGGCUUAUUUCAUGAACCUCAUGAACAAGGUGUUUAUGGAUGAGUUAGAUAAAUUUGUCGUAGUCUUUAUUGACGACAUACUUAUCUACUCCAAGAGUGUUCAGGAGCAUGAACACCACUUACGGGUGGUCUUGGAAAAACUGAGAGCCCACCGACUCUAUGCUAAAUUCAGCAAGUGUGAAUUUUGGCUUGAGAAGGUGGCAUUCCUUGGUCAUAUCUUGACCGCGGAAGGAGUAGCAGUUGAUCCUGAGAAGGUGGAAGCCGUCUCCAACUGGCAACAGCCCACUAAUGUUAGUGAAAUCAGGAGUUUCCUGGGUUUAGCAGGGUAUUAUCGGAGGUUUAUUGAGGGAUUCUCCAAGAUAGCCCGUCCCAUGACAGAGUUGCUCAGAAAGGACAAGAAGUUCACCUGGACCGAGUCAUGUGAACGGAGUUUCCGAGAGAUGAAGAAGAGAUUGACAACAGCCCCAGUGCUAACCCUGCCAGACAUCCAGCGAGACUUCAUCAUCUACUGCGAUGCAUCCCGACAAGGAUUAGGGUGUGUCCUCAUGUAGGAUGGGAAGGUUGUGGCCUAUGCUUCCCGACAACUUAAGCCCCAUGAGCAGAACUACCCAACCCAUGACUUAGAAUUUGCAACCGUAGUGCAUGCCCUCAAGAUCUGGAGACAUUAUCUGAUUGGGAAUAAGUGUGAAAUCUACACCGACCAUAAAAGCCUAAAGUACAUCUUUACCCAACCCGAUCUGAAUUUAAGGCAGAGGAGGUGGCUAGAGCUGGUAAAGGACUACAACCUAGAAAUCCAUUACCACCCCGGCAAAGCUAAUGUUGUAGCUGAUGCCCUGAGCAAAAAGUCCUAUGGACAGCCCGGACCCGAGAAUGCCCGUCUACGAGAGGAAGUGGCCCGGUUGAAUGUGCAUAUCAUCCCCCAGAAUGCUAGCCGUAGGCUAAGUGUCCAGCCCACCUUGGAGGAUAAAAUCCGAGAAGCCCAGGGUUCAGACCAAGACUUAGCAAAAAUCCGCAAGCAAACCGGAGAAAAUAAAGCCCCGGAUUUCAGGGUAGAUGACAAAGAAACCUUGUGGUAUAAGAACAGAAUUUGUGUCCCCAAGGACGGAGAAUUCCGGCAGAUCAUCAUGGAUGAAGCCCAUAACUCAGCAUACUCCAUUCACCCCGGAUCCACAAAGAUGUACAUGGACCUAAAGCAGAAAUACUGGUGGAAUGGAAUGAAGGCAGACAUAGCUCAGUUCGUCGCCCGUUGUGACACCUGCCAAAGGGUCAAAGCCGAACACCAGAAGCCAGCCGGCUUGCUGCAACCUUUGACUAUCCCGGUUUGGAAGUGGGAUGAGAUCGGCAUGGAUUUUGUAGUAGGCUUGCGCAGAACUCAGAAGGGAAAUGACUCCAUAUGGGUAAUAGUGGACCGACUCACCAAGGUUGCUCACUAUCUGCCCGCACGGACCACAUACGGUGGAGAAAAACUGGCUCGACUCUACGUCGACAACAUAGUGAAGCUGCAUGGUGUGCCCAGCCGGAUCGUCUCAGAUAGAGGAACUCAGUUCACCUCUAGGUUUUGGAGGAGCUUACACAAAGCCAUGGGCACCAAACUGGAUUUUAGUUCAGCUUAUCACCCCCAGACCGAUGGCCAAACAGAGCGGGUAAAUCAAAUCAUGGAAGAUAUGUGGAGGGCGUGUGUCCUCACCUAUGGGAAGGAUUGGGAACAAAGUCUACCCUAUGCAGAAUGCUCAUACAACAAUAGUUACCAAGCCAGUCUAGGCAUGUCACCAUUUGAGGCUCUUUAUGGUAGAAAGUGUCAGACCCCUUUGAUGUGGUCAGAAGUCGGAGAACGUUCCCUGGUCGGACCAGCUUUUAUCAAGGAAGCAGAAGACCGUGUAGCAGAAAUCCGAGAGAAGCUGAAGGCUGCCCAGUCCAGACAGAAGAGCUACUCGGACAAGAGAAGACGGGAAUUGUGCUUCAAUGAGGGAGAUUUUGUCUACCUCAAGGUAUCCCCGAUUCGGGGUACUCGAAGAUUUCAAGUGCAAGGAAAGCUAGCCCCUCGGUAUAUCGGACCAUACCAGGUGUUAAAGAGAGUUGGAGCCGUAGCGUACCGUAUCCAACUGCCCGAAGAAAUGUCGGAUAUCCACCCGGUAUUUCAUGUUUCCCAGCUAAGAAGUGCCUGAGAGUACCGGAGGAACAAGUGCUAGUGGAAACAAUAGACCUACAAAAGGACCUUCGGUAUCAAGAAGUGCCUGUCAAGAUUUUGGACACUGUCACCAGAAGGACAAGAAAUACGACAGUUCGGAUAUGCAGAGUACAAUGGAGCAGGCAUGGCGAAGAAGAAGCCACGUGGGAACGCGAAGACGCGUUAAAGAAGGAAUUUCCCCAUCUCUUCAGGACUCAGUCGAAUCUCGAGGACGAGAUUCAAUUUAAGUGGGGUAGGUUUGUAACGCCCGCAGAAAUCACUAACUAAAAUCACCCGUUAAAAAACCGUCUUUAAAAUCUUUUUACCGCUGAGCUCCCGGAAAUCGGAAAUCUCCCCGGUGUUUUCGCCGUCCCGGUACCCAUGCCGGCCCCCACCUAUCUUUUUCCGUGCCCGUGAAUCUCGCCGCAUGCCGUUGUCAGACGCCGUGCGCGUGCCCCGACCGCGUGCCGCGAACGCCGCCGGUCUCUUCCUUUUUCCUUCUCUUUUUUCCCCCUUUUCUCCUUUUCUUUUUCCUUCUUCUUUCUUUCUCUUUCUUCUUUCUUCUUCCUUCCUCUCUCUCUCUCCUCCUCUUUCUUCUUCCUGGCACUCGGCGCCACCCCCCCUGGCGCCACACCUCCUGGCCGGCCAACGCCAUUUACUCCGGCGCCCCCAUCCCUGGCGCCAUACUGCCCCGUCGCCCGGACCCGCGCCGCCCGCCUGGGGUCCCGCCGGUCACCUCCGCCCGUCACCGGCCCCCUCGCUCAGCUCGGUCCCGCCAGUCACCUCGGCCCUGCCGGCGCGCCUGGCGCCACGCCGCCCGGCCGCCUUGGGCCUGCGCCCGGGGCACGUGCCGCCACCCGAGCCGCCGCCGCCGCCGCCGAAACCCACCACCGGCCGCACCCCCUUCCCUACCCAAAUCCCCGAGGUGAGUAGCAAAAUGGGGCCUCCCCGGACCCCUCCACCUUCUCCCGCCGCCUCCCCUCGCCGCCGGCGACCCUAGGCCGCCGCCCCCAGGCCCGGCCGUGCCCCUCCCUCUGUCCCCCUGUGUACUAUGCGCACCAAAGGAAGAAGAAACCCAAAAUUCCGAUCUAACCCCCUGAAAUCCACUAUUCGCGAAAUAGUCCUUCCACCACUCUUGUAGCAGUUUCACAAAUAAGCCCCUCCACCCCCAAAAGUAAUUACACAUAGGUCCCUGGUUUAUUAUAACUCAGCCCUAAGCCUCCGUUUAAGCCCCUAAUCCAUGUUUAACCCGUCAUUUCAUGCACCAAACUUCCUCCAAUUAAUCCCAAAUUUUACCACGUCAUCCUCUGGAAUACUUUCACCGAUCUAUAUCCAAAUUUCCCAGAAAUAAUCCUUCUACCUAUUUUCCGUUCGCGUUUCCUGUUCGGAGCUCACGGUUAAAAAUCGUUUCCUCUUUUAUUUAUUUGUGUGUCUAAUUGUGUGUGCCGUAGAUCGCGGAUUGACCGAGGAGGAGCCCGAGGAAGAGUUUGACCGCGAGCCCGAGCCCGAGGACCAGUACCGCGAGCCGGAACUCCCGGAAGGCUUUGAAGACGGCAAGUCCAAUCUCACCCUUUGAUGCAUACUUAAUACCUAGUUUUUCAAACACAACCUAUUGGCCUGUUUUACAAAAUGCAUAUUAUUUUAUCACAAGACAUGGUUGGAUAGCCACCCCUUGAUUGUUAUGAACAUUCCUUGUUGUCCUAUGCCUAUCUCUAAAUAUGACUCGCUCUGUUUAGAUGAUAGCCACUGCUAGAACGCUUAGGAAAUUGUGACUCAACUGCAAUCAUUAUUACAAUAAGUGUAUUCGGAAAAUAAGUGUGUGUGUGUGUCCACGCAAGAGAAAUGGCUUUUGGGGUUGGGGGAAAAGGAUGUGUAGACGGGAUGGAUGGGUGUUCCUCGUGUGGGAUGCCAUGUUGUUGUGCUCGUACCUUGGUGGUUGAGCAAUGUCGGGAGAUAUCCAUCCUGUCGUAAUUAAGGACCGAGUUGAUGUGUCAUCUUGCCUAAUUCCACUAUCGUGCAACCACUCGACCGUUGUAUGGGCAACGCCUUAGCAUAAAUCCCACUAGCUGGAUGGUUAGUCCUCAGGGGUGCUGGUGAGCAACGGGAACCCAUGGAAAAGGAGUAAGAUCUUGGUGACUUAGGUCCCGGUUACGGUCUCAUGGACGAGCCGUGAACCCCUUGGGUGUUUUCCGUGAGGGCUAGCCAGCCUUAGCUAAGGUGGGUAAUGGCUUUGUUAGGAUCCGUACCGUCACUAAGGUGAUCGUGCUGCGGUACCCUACUUGUGGGAAAAGUGUACACCCUCUGCAGAGUUAAAACCUAUCUGGGUAGCCGUGUCCACGGCAUUGGACGAGUUACGGCUUGGUCACAUAACUAGCAAUUGGGCAAGAAUGUCAUGUGUGUGUGUGUGUGUGUGGGAUUUUGGAAGAGUCCGGCAGUUGUGCCGUGCGCUAUGACGGACGGGGAGUCCGAUAGCGAUAAAAACUUGGAUCCUUUGUGUAGGAUCAACCCCACUCAAUGUCUCGAGUAUUAAAGGAAAACCUUACAAAAACCCUUUCAAAACGAUCCCCUGCAUGUGUUAAAAUUUAGCUUUUCCGCAAAUAAACUCUAGCCUAUCCUUGUCAUACUUGUGCAUAAACUUGCUUGUAUCCCCUCCGUGGAUGGGGUUGGACUUGUUGAGUACGUUAGUACUCACCCUUGCUUCAUUACUACAGAGGAAGACCCCGAUUUCAUCGCAGAGGACCUCGAGUAGAGGUUGUGUCCGCACCCGAUGCUGCCUGUGGUGUUGUCCUGCCCAAGAUGCUGCUGCUGCCGUGUAGUCCUGAGUGCUAUCUUUUGGCAGUCGCUUGGUUAGCCGCCGUUAUUUAUUUACUGUUUAUCGCUACGUGGAUUUCACUCCCACUCCCUCAGGAGUUGUACGGUAACUGAAUUAUCUGUCGAAUAAAUGUGUUAUCAGCCUCCUGGGACUGGUAUUUGUAUCACAUUUAGUCUCUACUUAUGUGGGGACGCUUCAAAGCCGAUGGACUGUCAUUGCCCUGCAAUUAUAACAUCGAUGCGAUGCAGAUGCUACGACUAAACAGAAAACCGGUGAGGAACUCAUGCGGAUGAUAGCCCUUUGUGCCGAUGUCGACGUAGCCGAGGUGAGGACAAAUAGCCAUGGUCGAGGAUGCCGUGCGUAGGGUAGCUGUGGUCGACGUAGUCGUCAAGGUUGCCGAAAACGAGGGAGUUGGACAUGAAGCUGCGGGCGUACGAGGAGACACCACGGGGAUGGUGGCGCAUAGGGGAAGACACCAAAGACGAAGACGGUGACGCGUCGAGGCAAUUGUAGAAGGAGAGGUCGAUGCGGAAGUCGAUGCUGUCAGGCCGACGUGUAGACCAGGCAUAUCCGGGUUUGCCAAGCCCGGAAACACGUCGGGGAUGAUGGCACGCACCAAUGUUGCCAAUACUAAACGUGCAAGGUAGAGGGCACCGGCCAUGUGUCAGCGUCUGAGGGACUAGCAGAGGAGGCCUCCAGGAUGGUUGCGGGCGCGGAAUGGCGUGGGGGUAGAAGGUGCCGAUGCAGCCUGCGGUUGUCGGAGUAGAAGAAUGAGGUGGAUAUGAGACGGCAACACUGGCGACGAGGUGGUGCUGGACGAAGUAAGGAGGUAGACCCUAAUGAUUUGGCGCAAGGCCCGAUGAUCCGGAUGAUGCAGUGGUGGAGCUUAAAGGAGAUGGCGAAGAACUCGAACACCUUGAUGAAGACCAUGUGCGUGAUGCGCACAAUGACGUAGUCGUGGACAAGGUUGCAGACGCUGUCGAGGAAGACGACGUGGACGUGGUUGAGGAUGUAGUCAAUGGCGAUGAAGAUGCAACGACGGGGAGGACCAGGGAUGGCAGCGCUGUUGCUCGAAGAGGCAAAGUAGCCGCAACCCUCAUGUCGGUGGUGGUGCGCACGUACUUAGGACAACCGUCCCAAAUCCGCACAUUCCGCGACCAUGCAUUAUUAACUGAUCGGACAAGGGUGCACGUAUGAGAUGACGGACGACGAUGUCGUGCAGAUCGGAGUGGUAGCAGCGAUGUCGGGGAUGACCGGCGUGGAGAUCGUGUGGCAGAUGGACCUGGUGGUGCCCCUACGCGAACCGCACGCUAGCCCGGACCACACAGGUGUUGAAGAGGAAGGCCGAUGACGAUGUCCAAGAAAAGGAGCGCAGAGUCGACUGGCGUGGGCGACGCAAACCCAAUAUCUGAUAGGAAGAAAAAAAAGGGACAGCAGUAGGAUCGAUCUUCAUAUAGAACUCUGGGUGCGCAUAGCUUUAUUUCCCAACUCCUUAUCUCUUCCCGUCCUGGUGGUCAACGGAGACAGGAGAAAAGAAUUGAGGUCUUGUUUAGUUGCCCAAGUUUGGAGGUGCCAAAUUACUGCUAUAGCACUGUAGCACACUGUAGCAUUUCGUUUGUAUUUGUGAAUUAUUAUCCAAACAUUGACUAAUUAGGCUCAAAAGAUUCGUCUCGCAAAGUACAACAAAACUGUGCAAUUAGUUUUUUCUACAUUUAGUACUCCAUGCAUGUACCGCAAGUUUGAUGUGAUGGGGAAUCUUCUUUUUGCAUAGUGCCAAAGUUGCGAGUUGGGGGUGAACUAAACAAGGGCUGAGAGAGAGGGAGAACGUGGCCUGCAGCGCAUGUCAGCGGUGCGUCUCGCAGAGUUUGGUCAGCCCUGUGUCCCUGACGGCAGCGCCGCGCAGGGGUGCCCAUGCACGGCACAACGUAGGGGGUGUUUGAAUACUAGGUGCUAAACUUUAGCAGUGUCACAUUGGAUGUUCGGAUGCUAAUUAGGAGGACUAAACAUGAGCUAAUUAUAAAACUAAUUGCAGAACCCAUAUGCUAUUUCGCGAGACGAAUCUAUUAAGCCUAAUUAAUCCAUCAUUAGCAAAUGGUUAUUGUAGCACUACAUUGUCAAAUCAUGGACUAAUUAGGCUUAAUAGAUUCGUCUCGCGAAUUAGACUCCAUCUGUGUAAUUAGUUUUGUAAUUAGCCUAUAUUUAAUACUCCUAAUUAGCAUCCAAACAUCCGAUGUGACAUGUGCUAAACUUUAGCAUUGGGUAUCCAAACACCCCCGUAGUAUGGAAUCGCCACGCCGGUGGCAGAGCAUGUCGUCGGGAUAGGCCACGCAGCUUGGCUGGCCACGGUAGCGACACCGCCGCCCACCGGCUGCAGCGGAGGGGAUCUGGAUGGCGACGACACGACCCCACCCGGCUCGUGACCAAGCUUCAAUCUGUUGCUGCUUGACACGACGCGGGCGACGGAAUCAGCCGCUGAAAGAAGGACGCUGCCCCUAGCGAGAUUGAUCUCCCCGGAGGAGCACGGUUAGGGUUUGUCGUUAAGAAUUAGUCGUAAAAAAUUAGAACCUAAACUUGUGAUACCAUAUAGAAGGAAUAGAUUACGUAUAAUCGAUGUAUUGAUGGUUAUUGCAUUGAGCUUCUCGGCCGGUACAUAUUAAGUACAAGAUUUGGGGGCGAAGGCUCCCCGGAUACAUAUGGUAUCUACGACACGUAUAUCUACAACUACCAAAUAUACUCUAACAGUUCGUUUUGUUUUGGAGAUUCUUAUUGUAUAUCAGCACGCCAGGUUGAUAGUCCUGUUGGAACAAUAUCCAUGAAUUUAUCACCAUUUAAUAGCAGAUGCAUGCAAGUAGAGUGUCACUCCAUCAGCUUUCAACCACUUUAGAUUCAAGGGAGAUCUUUCUGUAAAUCACACUGUGGACUCUACAUGUUGUGGUUAUUAUUUCACUCAUCACAUUUGGUCAGAACUCUAAAGUUCAUUAUAGUGCAACGAGCCCAUAUAAACGUGACAGUUCAUAACGAUUUACUGUUACAAUCAAUUCCUAUAUUCAAAACAAAACAACAUGAAUUUGCAAUAGGGCAGAGUACUAAAUUCCAUAAUAUUAACCGCCCUUGUACUUGUUCUACUCUGUGUUUUAACUUCAAAGGUACAUGACAACUGGAAAAGAAGUCUAGAAGAGAUCCCAGAGUAUGCGUCACUUGAAGCGGAUUGCAAACAAGUGAAAGGAUGUAUGGAAAUUGCAAUAAACUGCAAGAAGAAGAAGCGUCAUGAAAGGCCUACAAUAGAGGAUAUUAUCAGCAAAUUAGAUGAGACGGAAACUGUUAAAAUUGACACGCAGUUGUCAAUUAAAAAGGUACAACCUAUCAUUCAUCUUAUAUAUGUAAAAAAUAUACAACCCAUAGUUUAUUUGUCCCUAAAUAUUACCAGUGGUCGAAAAUAUAUACUUGGCUCUUUAUACGUCCACAUGGCAACUUUCACUAUGUUUGUUUUUAAAUAUUUAAGUUGGAAACAGGGAAAAUAAAUUGUUUGAUUUGUGUCGGAAACAUGCAUAUAUCGAAUAUAAAAGUGAGCAAAAUACUCAUGACUCUCAGUAUAUUAAUGUCUCUCUUUCUUGCCACUGUUAAUUUUGUAUGCUGUAAUUCUAACUAGAGGUGCGCGCGCGCGUUAGAAAAUAAGUCUACAACAGAUCCCAGAGUAUGCCAUCAUGUGAAUUCAUACCGACACAAGUCGAUGAGAUAUCAGCCACGGCCCUUGCAAUCGUAGAAUACAAGACAAAAACAAUAAGUUAACUAGCUGUGCAGAUAUAAACGAGAGGCCGACGUCUCUGGAAUUAGCCACCGUCUCCUAUACGAAGGAAUGAACCACGACGAAACAUGAUUAGAUUAGUAGACGCCCGUCUGUGCAAAAUCACUAACAAUGUGCCAAAAAUAAAUUAAUUAGCUUUAGGAUCUGUGCUAUUUUUUUAAAGGAGCGCCGGAGCAAAAUUCACAAUGUAAUUUUUACUUUAUUUCGUAGGAUGAGCAAACACCAUUUUCCUAAGAUUUCCCAUUUGUUUUUAUUGACAGGGUUACUUUGAAGAAUCCAGAUUCUUAUCUAGUGGCAUCCUGGGCAGGCCAUGUCAAUGUUAGUAAUGUUACAUUUAAAAUAGAUCCCUUCAUUUACUAAAUAUUUAAUUUAUUUUUAUUGAAGUUUGAUAUCGAUAUAAUGUAGCAUGCUGUGUGUUGGUGUAAUUGUGUUGUUCAGUACAAUCGGCUGGAGCGGUACUCCUUGCUGUCACGAAGAUAGGUUCCAUUUUAGGAGAUGAAACCUCCAAGGCUGUUAUAAAUAAGCUGUCUUGGAAAGUUCAUUCUCUGAAGGAACUGCCAUGGAAAGUCGAUCAAAUAAGGAUGAAUCUGACAUUCAUGAGCCAAAUUAUACAGCAGAUUGGAACAGUCUACCUCACAGAUGAGCUUGCCAAUAAUUGGAUCGGGGAGGUCCGGAAGGUGGCUUACCGUGUUGAAGAUGUAGUAGACAAAUACUCAUACCAUGUUUUUCAACUGACGCAAGAAGGGUUCCUGAAGUUCUUCAUCAAGGGAACCCAUAAUGACAUUGUUUUCAGCGCAAUUACAGAUGAGAUAGCUCAUAUUGAAGAGGAGAUUAACCAAGUUAUUCAUAUGAAGGAUAAGUGGUUACACCAAACACAGCUUGUCUCUAACAAUCAACAACUUGCUGAGAUUGAAAGGCAGCGGUCCCAAGAUGGUUUCCCAGAUUUUGUCAAAGAUGAAGAUCUAGUAGGAAUUGAAAAAAAUAGAAAAUUGCUGUCUGGAUGGCUGUACUCGGAUGAGCUGGAUAGCACCGUGAUAACAGUUUCGGGUAUGGGUGGGUUGGGAAAAUCUACCCUGGUAACAAAUCUUUAUGAACGUGAAAAGGUCAACUUCCCUGUGCAUGCUUGGAUUGUUGUGUCACAGAUCUGCCCGGCAGACGCUCUGUUGAGAAAGCUACUCUGGAAGAUUGGGAACAAGAGGGCAGUACACGACUUGAAUUGACAAAAUGGAUGUACACGACUUGAAGGCAGAAAUAAAGAAAAAACUCCAAAAUAGAAAAUGUUUGAUUGUAUUAGAUGACGUCUGGGAGCAAGAGGUAUACUUCAAAAUACAUGAUGCUUUCCAGAAUCACCAAGCAAGUCGUAUUAUACUUCAAAAUACAUGAUGCUUUCCAAAAUACAUGAUGCUUCGUUGGACCAGCACCUUGAGCUAGAACCAUUGGAUGGCCCUGAUGCAUUUGACCUUUUCUGCAGAAGGGCUUUUCACAACAACAAGGACCACAAAUGCCCCAAGGAGUUUGAGGAAAUUGCUACAUCUAUAGUGGAUAGGUGUCAUGGCCUGCCGCUGGCAAUUGUUACUAUAGGCAGCUUGUUGUCUUAUUUGGAAUACAUUAUUUGGAAUCAAACAUAUAAUCAGCUAAGGAGUGAGUUGUCAACAAAUGAUCAUGUCCGAGCAAUAUUAAACCUAAGCUAUCAUGAUCUAUCUGAAGACCUCAGAAAUUGCUUUUUGUAUUGUAGCUUGUUCCCUGAAGACUACCCCAUGUCACGAGAAAGCCUUGUGCGACUGUGGGUUGCAGAAGGCUUUGUUCUGAGCAAAGAAAAGAAUAAACAUUUGGAAUCAAACAUAUAAUCAGCUAAGCUUUUUGUACUGCAAAUUGUCAACAAAUUGCUUUUUGUACUGCAGCUAGUUCCCUGAAGACUACCCCAUGUCACGAGAAAGCCUCGUGCGGCUGUGGGUUGCAGAAGGCUUUGUUCUGAGCAGAGAAAAGAAUACACCAGAGGAGGUGGCUGAGGUAAAUCUCAUGGAACUGAUUCACCGCAAUAUGCUUGAAGUUGUGGACUGUGAUGAGCUCGCAAGAUGCAUAAUAUUAUGCGGGAUCUGGCACUCUCCAUUGCCAAAGAAGAAAAGUUUGGUUCUGCAAAUGAUUAUGAAGCAAUAAUACAGGUGGACCCACAUGUUCGCCGAUUGUCAUUAUGUAGGUGGAAAGUUAAUACUUCACUUAAGGUUAAAUUUCCACGUCUCAUGGAAUGAUUUCGUCCACCCAUGAUUUGUUACCCUCAAUUUUGUCUGAAUCAAAGCACUUGACUGUUCUAGAGCUGCAAGAUUCUAAUAUCACCGAGGUGCCCACAUCUAUAGGGAAUCUCUUUAAUCUGCGGUACAUUGGGUUAAGGCGCACCGAUGUCAAGUCACUCCCAGAGUCCAUUGAGAAUCUCUUGAAUCUCCACACUCUGGACAUCAAGCAAACCCAAAUAGAAAAGCUACCACGAGGUACUGUUAAUGUUAAGAAGUUGAGGGACCUUUUGGCCGACAGGUUCGCUGACGAAAUGCAGUCAGAUUUCAGAUUUUUUAUCGGAGUCGAAUCACCUGAAGGGCUGUCGAACCUGGAAGAACUGCGGACUCUAGAGACAGUGCAAGUGAGCAAAGACUUGGCUGAGCAGCUGAAGAAACUGAUGCAGCUCAGAAGCGUAUGGAUAGACAAUGUAAGUGCUUCUGAUUGUGCAAACCUUUUUGCGACCCUAUCGACGAUGCCACUUCUUUCCAGCCUGCUUAUCUCUGCAAGAGAUGUGAAUGAGACACUUUGCCUCCAAGCCCUUGAUCCGAUUUCCACAAAGCUCCACAGGUUAAUUGUAAGGGGCCAGUGGGCUUCUGGGACACUGAAGUAUCCGAUAUUUCGCAAUCAUGGGGAACAUCUCAAAUAUUUAGCGUUAAGCUGGUGUCAGCUUGGAGAAGAUCCAUUGGGUGUGCUCGCUCCACACGUGCCAAAUCUCACCUAUUUAAGUCUUAACAGGGUGAAUAGUGCAAGCACUUUGGUUCUUUCUGCUGGGUGCUUUCCUCACCUGAAGACGCUCGUCUUGAAGCGAAUGCCGGAUGUCAAGCAGAUGGAAAUCGGAGAUGGUGCUCUUCCACGUAUUGAAGGUCUUUACAUUGUGUCCCUAGCACAGCUGGAUAAGGUUCCUCAAGGCAUCGAGUUGCUUCUUUCUCUGAAGAGGCUUUGGCUGCUGUACCUGCACGAUGAGUUUAAAACUCUGUGGCAAACGAGUGGGAUGCACCAGAAGAUGCAGCACGUUCCAGAGAUUCGUAUCUAGGACAACUAGAUGGUAAAUUCUCCAUUGGUAUGCUUGUAUGAUGUGUCUGCUCAGAACUGUGUUUGUUGGGCACUUUAUCCCUUUUUAUUCCAAUAAGCCAUGAAUUCUUCCUUUUGAUUUUUUUUAUUGUACAUUGAAACACCCAUGUAUGUGCUGUGUGUUGGUUCAGUUGCUUUAGGAAUACUACUUUUGUUCAAGAACACUUCCCUUCUGUAUUUAACUUUUGUAAAUGAUGUUAUGAUCAACAGAUUUUGUGCAUGUGAGGUGCAUAAUAUGUGAACUUACAAACCAGCAGAAUAUUCAUAAUUUCAGGGCGUUUACUUUAUUUAUAUGCUACUAAAUUGAACAGUGCUCUUCACUUUGCCACUAACUUUUUGCUUUUCAUUUUUUAUGCUGUUAUUCCAGAUGGUGCUUCUAGAAAGUUCAAUUUCUCGUAAUUCUCAGUCAAUUUUCCAUUAGCACCCAAAAAUACUGAAAAAUCCUUCAGAAAAAGCUCCAAAAAAUGUAGAAAAUUAUUUUGAACUAAGAAAAAUAGUGAAAGCCUGAAAGGUACUCCCCCCACACACACGCACACCCCAAACGAUGAAAGAACGUCGUAAACUCUUAAUCACUGAAAAAAUAUUUUCUAAAACAAUAUGUGCAGAGAAAACUAUCCUACAAAUUUACUUUUGUUGAAAUGUGUACGUUUCGAUCUUUACCAGCUCUUAUGGAAAAUCCUUUUUAAAGGAUUUCUACUAUAUUGUUUUUCUUCAAAGAUGAUAUAAAAAAUUUGUUUAAAUGGUCCGGGUUUUUUCAUGCUCUUUUUUACAUUUCCUAUGAUAUUUCAUGAGCUUUCUGUGAUCUUUAGCACAUUCUUUUACGUAUUUUUAGAGACCAUGUAGAUGAGCUUUCGCAAUAGAAUCAAAGUUGUGAUAGCAUGUUUAUUACUUGCAUUCUAAGGAAAUAGUGCCAUGAAUAAAUGAGAUGUGCUAAACUUCACAUGGCCAAGUUAAGAGCAUUGUUUGAGUUGAUGUUAUAAAGUAAAUGAUCUCGUAGAAAAAUAAAACAUUUGGGCACUAAGACACAUACUUUAUAAAAAUAAGUUCCUUUAGGAAACUAAAGGUUAUUACAAAUGAACUUCCUUUUGGUAGAUUUAUUCAUCAAUAAAGACAUUAUGUAAAUCACAAUCAAUUAAGACUUUGCAAAAACAGUUGGAAGACCUUUCUACGUGUUUUCUUCCUUUUUGAUUUUGCUUAUAAAAGAUGAUAGUUUGUUAGGGGAACUCACCUAAUAAUAUUUACAUGAUGCCAAAUAUCUAAGCUGUUCGAUUGGGCGUUUCGAGUGCAAUCAGAUGAGAUCCCACAUUGUAAGGGACUACAUUGGUCCUCUUCUGAUCAAGACACCGUCGAGAGCUCCGAUCCGCCGUGGCCCCUCCCUUUGUCCCGAUGAUGGCUCCGCCGCCGCCGGCCGGAUACUCUGGCGCUGUACGUCUUGGUGGUGCCGAGCCGAGGCGAUCGACUGCAGGGAUCUGGAACGGCAAGCGGCCAAGCCUACCUCAUCGCCCUGCCGCCGCUGCCCGCUGGAGUCGAUGAAACCCAUGGUUGAAGAGCGGGAAGGCGAGGUCCUACUACUCGACCGGCCGACCCCUCCCACCACUGAACUUUGGUUUGGAUCAGAACUCAGGUGAUCGCCCACUUCCAUCUCUCCUAUGUAUUCCUUUUCCAUUUGUUCCAAUAAAACACUAUUAUUGAACUGAAACCAUCUCCCAAACGAACUGAACAAAUCUCCUAAGAAAUCCAGCAAACAACGGUGCAUUUGCAUUCCAUUACCCGUCAUUCCGUUGUGUGUAUGAAGUAAUAAUCCGUAGCAGGCCUCAGGUUUCCGAAUGUCAUAUGUUCAUUGACAUCUUGGAUAGCAUAAUUAUCAAACGAACUAUGUUCACUUUAAUACAGAUUCUAAAUGGGGGAAAACAUGUAGACAUGCAGAAAGGUGCAGGAAAUACUCCUGGUUUACAAGAAAAUGAUACAACACUUGCAACCUAUGAGGCUAUUACUGAAUUCAAAUACGAUGGAAAAAGUAUUGUAGCUAUAACUCAAGAGUGGAGUAAUUUAGACAAUGGAAUGAUAAGAUACUUCAAUGAUCAUUAAGGAAGGAAAUUUUAUGACUUGAGAUGGACCACCUUGAAAUAUUCUUCAUAGUAGUCUGGCGAACCAAAUUAUGUAGUAACUCUACUAGCUCACGAGAAUCCUCCACUGAAUGUUUCACCUUUUGCUCAAAAAAAAGGGCAUCAUAAACCAUGGGGACCUAUCUUUGGGUAGAAGUACAUGGAUCAAUUUUAAAUUUUUAUUUUCACUUAUCUUUAAUUUGCAGUUAUUGCCUUGUGCUAUGAAAUUCAGGUGCUAAAAAAUUUAUUAAUUUUAGAGUUAGUGUUAGAGUUUUAUUUGUUUCUGUAAAGGUGAGGCCGAUAUCCCUAAAGGUACAACAACUUUAUUUAACCAACUCUUUUUUUGCAUAAAAUGGGCGACAGUAGUCAGAGCAAGUGGUUGAUCAUCACAUUUAUUUAAAAUUGCUGCUGAAUCAGGCUGCAAGUAAUCUGAAUAUUCCCCUGGACAAGCAUUUCUCAGAAACAAUUGCUUUGAGUGUUUCUCAUCAAGUCUUCUCAUUUUGUGUAUGUAACCGUGGGUUGAGCUGCAGGUAUUGGCUACUGACUGGAUUUUUGUUGUCACCACUAUUCUACUGCUAACAUCUCGAGGGAAGGCAGACUUUACGAUACUCCAUUGAUCUGACCUCAUGCCAUCAAUUACGAUGAAGUACCUGGAAUAUUUAGAAAUGAGGAUAUAAAAGUUAUCAAAGAGUUAUUCUGCAACAACAGUAAACUAAUGGGUCAAGGAAGAAAGAACAGUUUUCUUAUUGGACUGCAUUGAGCAUCACAUAUAUAACAUAUAUAUAAUUUCUGUAGUUUAAAGGAAUAACUGAUGUUUACUGAUAUAUGCUUUCAAAGAAUAACAUACAUAUGCUUUAAGUAGUGACAUAUUCACACUUGGAGUAUAUAAUAUGGCCCAAAUUAGCAACUGAUUUAUGCAGUUCUUUCAGAUCCCUUUAGUUUUCUUAGCUAUUUCAGAAAUUUCCUUCCGCUUAUCAUUCACCCAGUAUAGGGAGCACAUAUUUCUACAUGUCACUUCCCAAAGAGAAGUCUCCUUUUCUUUUCUCCUUAUACUAGAAGUCUCAGACAUUAGAUUCAAAGUGUUUGUAGGUAGUUCAACUGAGUGCAUGAAUCUUUUCUGAAUCCUCAACAUGUUCUGUACGAGAAACUAUCUGAAUCUUUCAUUUCUCAUAGCCGAUGUCUUUCCUGACUAUCUAUGUUUAUGGAAAGAAUUUCAUUUCGAUGAUAACAUUCAGUAAUCAGACUAAUGAGUAAAGUACUAUUUUCAUUUUGCUAAAGGAUGGUAGACAGUUUCUACCUCUUGUUAUUCAGGAAGUUGCAAAGAUCAGCACUGUGUUAGGAUCUGAACUGUAACUCUCAUCGAGAGGAUGGCACUAGGAAGAGUUGGGGCAAUUUUCUGGAUUUUCUUUCCACAAUACCAUGUCCAACCAAGGGUUGGGGAUACAUAUUUAUAGCUGGCCUGGCAGCCAACCAGCCAAGCAUCAAGGCAUAUGCUAGUCUAAGAUGCCUUUGAUGCUGUCCUAUCUAGUCUAAGAUGCCUAUGACUGUCUUACCCUAAAAGUAGUCAACAAAGUGGUGCUGCAGCAAGCAUAUGCUGCAGCCCCACUGUCCUCCAGUCAAAAACAGCUGCAGUCCCACAAGGACCAGCAGCACAAGACCAAGUACAGCAGCUGGUCCUUGAAGACCAGCAGGACUAGUACAGCAGCUGGUCCUUGAAGACCAGCAGGACCAGUACAGCAGCUGGUCCUUGAAGACCAGCAGCAAGACUUAUCCAGCAUUCUUCCCCUAAGUCUUGUGCGUCGUCUUGUGGGAAAGUUGGACCAUCCCGGUCCUGGAACAGAGCUCAAGGAACUUGAUCCUCCCAAGGGGCUUGGUGAUUAGAUCCGCAAGCUGAUCCUUGGUGUUGAUAGAGCUCGCCUUGAUGCUUGCUUCCUCCAAACAGCCUCGGAUGAAGUGAUACCUCACCCGGAUGUGCUUGCUCCGCUCAUGAAAAACGGGGUUCUUUGCCAGGGCCAGAGCGAACUUGCUGUCCACCCUAAGCUCCACCGCUCUAGUGUCUCUGCCAAGGAGAUCACCGAGCAGUCGGGCAAGCCAAAGCGCCUGAGUCGAAGCAAUGGAGGCCGCUAUGUACUUGGCCUCGCAGCUGGACAGCGCCACCACCUGCUGCUUGACCGACUGCCAGCUAAUGAGGCACUUGCUGAGGAAGAAGAGAAUCCCGCUCGUGCUCUUGCUAGUGUCGAUGUCGCCGGCGUGGUCGCUGUCGCUGUACCCGACGAAGUGUGCCGCCCCGGGACACCUCGGGUAGAAGAGAUCAUGGUCGAGGGUCCCCGCAACAUAGCGGACGAUCCUCUUCACGGCCUACUGGUGCUCCAUCGUCGGUCGCUGCAUGAACCGACUGACGUAGCCGACGGAGAAUGCCAAGUCCGGUCGUGUGUGGGCGAGGUAGUGAAGGCUCCGCACAAGAUGCCAGUACUGCGUAGGAUCUACCUCCUCCGUCGUGCUGUCGCGGCUCAGCUUCAGCCUCUCCUCCAUCGGAGUGAGAGCUGGGUUGCAGUUGGUGAGCCCGGCUAGCUCCACGACGCGCUUGGCGUAGGCGGUCUGUCGAAGCGUGAUCCCGGAAUCAUCCUGGUGCACCUCGAUCCCCAGGUAGAAGGAGAGAGGCCCUAGAUCACUCAUCUGGGAGGUGGCCUUCAUUUCUUCCUUGAACGCCGCCACCUCCGCAUCCUUGGUGCCUAUGAUCACCAAGUCGUCGACGUAGACACCUACCAGCAAGGCAUUUUCUCCAGUGCCCCGCCAGUAGAUGGCCGCCUUGUGCGGGCUUUGCUCGAAGCCCAUCCCUUUGAGCGUGGAAUCCAACUUGGCAUUCCACGCCCUCGAUGCCUGCCGCAGGCCAUAGAGGGCCUUGCGCAAGCGUAGCACCUUGCCUUCCUUGUUGGGGAUCGCAAAACCCGGCAGCUGGUGCACGUAGACCUCCUCCUUCAAGUCGUCGUUAAGAAACGCCGACUUGACGUCCAUAUGAUGAACGCGCCAGCCUUCCUGGGUGGCCAUCGCAAGGAGGAGUCGCACGGACUCCAUCCGUGCCACGGGGGCGAAAGCAUCGUCGAAGUCGAUCCCCUCUUGCUGCACGAACCCACGUGCUACCAAGCGAGCUUUCUGCUUGACGAUGGCACCGGCUUCAUCCCUCUUCAGCUUGAACACCCACUUAAUCGCACGGUGGCCACGAGGGAGGUCAGCAAGCUCCCAGGUGCGGUUCUUCUCAACCACGUCCAUCUCCGACUGCAUCGCGGCGUGCCAUGCCGCGUGUCUCUCGGCCUCCGCGAAAGAUCGAGGCUCGCCAUCAUCGCACACAAGGUGCAACUGUGCCUCCAGGUUGUGAGGCACCAGUCCUGGCACCGGCUGGUCGCCGAGGAGAUCUUCCAUCGUACGGUACCGCAACUGCUCGCCGUCGUGGUACACGUCGAUGCGCUCCUCGUCGUGAGAGAGCGGAGUAGCGAACUCCACCGGGCUGUGCUUGACAUGAGCUGGUGUCGGAGUAAACGUGCCCGGAGGGAUGGCCGUCAGUGCUGGAAUACGUGGCGUCGCCGGCUGUGGUGGUGCCGGCGAGAAUCUCGUCGCAGCCAAAGUCGCGGCUGGAGAGCGUGGCGCUGCCGGAGUAGCAGGCAUCGGAGUCGGUGGAGGUUCAGGGAUUGGGGUAGGCACACUCGGCGAAGAAGAGCUGCCUACUCCCCCAGCUUCCUCAAAGUGGAUGUACUCGACACUGAAGUUGUCGUACGUCGGAGUCAAGCUGUCGUCCACCGCCUUGUCCCACGCCCAUCCUCACCCUUCGUCGAACACAACAUCGCGCGCUGUGCGCACACGCUGUGUCUCCGGGUCGAGAAUGCGGUAGGCCUUCAAACCCUCCGCGUAGCCGAUGAACACUCCUGGAGUGCUCCUGUUGUCAAGCUUGCCGAUGUGGCCAAGCUCCUUGGCAAACGCGAGGCAACUGAAGACCCGCAGGUGGGACACCGCCGGCUUGGACCCAUGCCAAGCCUCGUAUGGCGUCCUGCCGUCGAGCACCUUGGUGGGUGAGCGGUUGAGGAUAUAGACAGCCGUCACCACCGUCUCUCCCCAGAGAACAGCCGGCAUCCCUAUCUGCUUGAGGAGGGCCUGAGUCAUCCCGACAACCAUCUGGUUGUGCUGCUCGACGAUGCCAUUCUGCUGCGGGCUGUACGGCACGGAGUAGUGGCGCUGAAUGCCCUCAUCAGCGUAGUACGACGCGAACUCAGCCGCCAUGAAUUCGCCGCCGUUGUCAGUGCGCAGCACGCGCAGCUUGCGGCCGCACUCCGCCUCCGCAGCAGCCUGCGUGCGCCUGAUGGCGUUCGCAGCCUCCCCCUUGCUGCCAAGGACCAUCACCCACAUGUAGCGGGAGAGGUCGUCGACGAGCAGCAAGAAGUAGCGUCGUCCUCCGGGUGUGGCCGGUGUCACCGGGCCACACAAGUCCCCGUGCAUAAGCUCGAGCCACUCCUUGGCUUGGAAGCUCGCGUGCUGGGGAAAGGGGAGCCGCCUCUGCUUUGUCAACACACAGACAUCGCAGAACUGCUCCACGUGAUCGAGACAUGGUAGGCCUCGCACCAUCUCCUUGGCAUUGAGCCGCUUCAGGGCCUCGAAGUGAAGGUGCCCGAAGCGCUCGUGCCACUGCCACGCCUUGUCAUCCUAAUGAGUAGCGAGGCAGCAGGGUUGUGCCACCUGCACAUUAAGGAUGUAGAGUCGAUUUGCGCCUCUGGUUACCUUGGCAAGAAGGCGACGACGACGGUCCCAAAUCUUCAUGACUCCGUCGUCGAUCACCACGCAUGAACCGUUCUCUUCCAGCUGUCCCAAGCUGAUGAUAGAGUUUCUCGGCGUGGGGAUGUAGUACACUCCGGUGAGUAGCCUGUGCUCUCCAGACUCGACGGUGAAGAUGACGGAGCCGACGCCCUUGAUCUCUACGCCGGAGGCAUCCCCAAACUUGACGGUGCCUCAGACGCUAGAGUCAAGCUCGGUGAAGAACUCCCGCCGACCAGUCAUGUGCUGGGUAGCGCCGGUGUCGAGGCACCACCCCUCAGUCUUAUCGUUGCUGGAGCCAUCGCUGAGGAAGGCGUGUGCCCUCGGCUCGUCAAGGUGGAGGAGAACCGCUGCGGCCGAUGCCGCUGGAGUUAGCUCGAUGCUUGCAUGUGCCAGGAGCAGAGCCGGCUCCUCCUCCUCCGCUAGUGCGACGUGAGCCUGGCCGCGUCUUGGCUAUUGAUAGUCCUUGGCCUAAUGGCCAAGCUUGCCACAGUUGCGGCACGCGUCGUCUCGUGGCGGCGUGUGCUCGCCAGCGGCACCACCCGAGGCACCUCCUCGCACGCCGCCAGCACCACCCUAAGCGCGUCCUCGCGUGCCGCCCUCGGCGCCUCCUCGUGCCUUGGGCGCCUUGCGUGGCUUGCCGCGCCUGCAGCUGCCUGUCGAGAAAGAAGGCUCCCCCUUCGUCCUAUCACCUUGGCGGGCCUCCCACUGCUCUUGAGUGCAAUGGAGCUUCUCGCCAAUGAUGACAGGCCUUGAGGGAGGCUGUGACUCGUCGCUGUCGACGACCUUGAGGCGGCCUAUCGCCUCCUCAAUCGACAUCCUGGAGAGGUCUAGCAGAGACUCGAUCGAGCGAGCGAUCUGCUUGUACUUCUCAGGUACGCAGCGGAGGAGCUUCUUGACAGCUCUCUAUCCGUAGGUGUCGUCGCCGUACUGCACCAUCUUCUACAACAGAGUGUUGAGAUGAAGAGCAAAGCCAUCAACGUCCUCACCUGGCUUGAAGGCCAGGUUCUCCCAUUCCUUGCGAAGUGCCUGCAGUGUAGACUUGCGGGCGCGGUCGCUGCCGAUGCGUGCCGCAGUGAUAGCGUCCUAAGCCUCUUUGGCAGUCCGCUUCUGGGAAAGCAAGAACUGCAUCUCGAGCGAGACUGCAGCGAUGAGGGCAUCCAGCGCCCGUCGAUCCUCAUCGUAGUCGACGUCACCGUACCGGACUGCCUCCCACAUGUGCCGCACCUAUAGCCUCACUCUCAUCACCGCGACCCACUCGACGUAGUUGGUCUUGGUGAGGGUAGGCCACCCACCACGGGGCCGACUUCCCUGACAACAGCCUGGGCCCCGUGGCGACCAUGACGGCGGUCCGGGACGGGAGAGCUGCGCUCCCUGUAAGGGCCGCGCUCUCCGUCGACCCGGCCGCCGCGCCGCCGAUCGAACUCCAUCUCAGCCUCCAGCUGGGCAGCCCUCUCCCGCAAUCGCUGGGCCUCCAGUGCGAGAUCGAUGUGUGGGUCGCCCUGGGGGUCGCGGCCACCAUGUCCGCCAGGAACACGGUCGUCGCACGCGCCCCCGCCGGGAGCGCCGCCGGCGCGUGCACGCCCAUCUAGGCUGCCGCCGCCGCGCCCGCGUGGGUGCACGACUGCCCACUGCACCGCCCGUUCCUGCGUCGCCUCCCUUGCUAGCACGAGCUCUACGUCGGUAUCGCCAUCGGCAGAGGUAGCGCUGCUGAUGCUACCACCACGUAGAGUCUCGAGCUCCGCUGCCGCCGCACGUGCGACAUCUGCCGCCGCCGCCGCUUCCGCUUCCGCCCUCGCUGCAGCCAGCUCCGCUGCCACCAGCCUCGACGCCCUUGCCGCCACCACAGCGGUCUCUGCCGCCACUCGGGUACGCUCCUCUGCCGCAGCGAGCUCGGCCUCCUACCGACGCCGCGCGCUCGAGGCGACUGAGUGCUGAGACUGUCCUACGGACAUGGCACGCCACCGGGGGGCUACGUGGGGAAGAGGCUACUUCCGAAGGAGCUGCUGCUCGUCUGCGUAGGAGGAGAGGAGUGAACAGGGACAACCGGUGUUUCUGCUACCGGCUGGGGACGAAGGGUGGCUGGGGAGGGAUGUGAGCAGGAGAUGUUCAAGUUACAGGAUAGUACGGCUCUGAUACCAGUUGUUAGGAUCUGAACUGUAACUCUCAUCGAGAGGAUGGCACUAGGAAGAGUUGGGGCAAUUUUCUGAGUUUUCUUUCCACAAUACCAUGUCCAACCAAGUGUUGAGGAUACAUAUUUAUAGCUGGCCUAGCAGCCAACCAGCCAAGCAUCAAGGCAUAUACUAGUCUAAGAUGCCUUUGAUAUUGUACUUUGAUGCUGUCCUAUCUAGUCUAAGAUGUCUAGGACUGUCCUACCCUAAAAGUAGUCAACAAAGUGGUGCUGCAGCAAGCAUAUGCUGCAGCCCCAUUGUCCUCCAGUCAAAAACAGCUGCACUCCCACAAGGACCAGCAGCACAAGACCAAGUACAGCAGCUGAUCCUUGAAGACCAGCAGGACCAGUACAACAGCUGAUCCUUGAAGACCAGCAGCAAGACUUAUCCACCGCACUAAGCUGAUUGACAUUGGAGGUAACCAGAUCUGGCUUGUUCAGUUGACGGAGUAUCUCACUUAAGAGCUCCCCUGGAUCCCCAUGCGUCCCAUAAACCCAUGCCCUUUCCUCAAACUGCUUGCCAAUCUCGCUGUUGUACAACUCCCGGGCAAGGAUGGUCUUCCCCAAUCCAGAGAACCCAACUAUGGAGAUCACCCUCAGCUGCUUAGGUUGACCCUCCGCUUCCGCCAACUGCUCCAGAAGCUCCUCCAGGGGAGCAUCGAUGCCAACCAGAUCACCAGGAAGGACAUGCUGAUCCCAGGAUGAUUGUGCCAGCUGGAUGAGGAUGAAUGGGACACUGAAUACCUCUGCUGCCGCUGGAGUGCUUCCUCCAGUCUGUACCUAAGGUGCUGCAUCUCUUCGCCUAACUAGGAACGUGAUUUUCUCUUUCUCCCAGAUUUCAUAUAUUUAGAGUACCAUGGUUGCUGAUCCCAAGACGCAUCAUACAUGAUGUGGUCUAUACAAUCCUCCAUUUCAUGAGCUACAUGACGCAAUUCUUCAACCGAUAAACGCAGUAUGUGAUCAUCCUGCCCCAAGAGCUGCCCGUCAAUGGCACUAGUGAUCAUGGGAAGCUCUCUCAUCAGGAAAGUCACAUCUCCUUCAAAGCCCUUGUACAGCUUGUAUUUCUCCUCCACCAGCGAGAACAAUCUCGACACGAGGUUGUCUACAAAUGCACUCAACAGGCCAGGGUCCUCCAUCGAUCACAAUGGUUGUUAGCUAGGCACUGACGGUUCCUACUUCCUAGUGAGGAGAUAAAGUGCUCCCUGUCUUGCAAUGUAACAAUGGGGUGGAUAAAACAGACAUGGAGCACAUGGACCUUAAGGAGCAUCUUGUAGCAGGGGAGGAGACCACAUCUGGCUUUUCCUCUGACAGUAAAUUGCAGUUGUUAGCAGCACUUUUUACAUUAAAUAUAUCAUAAGUAUGAAGCCAUAUUAAAUUAGUAUUAAGUCCAGCACAGAAAUGCAAUGGUUAUAUGUAGUCAAUACUUCCAAUGAUUUUAUUACAGUGCCGAUGCUUAUGUAGAAACACUGAUAUUCACACUGUAACCCCUGAAAAUAAAAAUUGUACAGUGACAAGGAUGGAUCAUUGCAGAAAAGCUAUAGGGAUCAAAACUACUAUACUUUUCUAAAGAUGCAGUAGUAAGGUGGAAUAGUGCAGUGUGGAAGGGGGAGGAGAGCAGGAUUUGUGGAGCUUAGUUGCAACUGUAAACUCCUAACUGCGAUUCAGUGAUUGCUUCAAAGCAUGAUGUAAAUUUCUUCAAGCCAACGUCAAAUAUUGAAGAACUGGGGUUGUAUUACAAGAUAUUUAAAAUAAAUCUAUGGUGAACUAAUCAAGUGAAAAAAAUUUCUUCAAUUUCUUGUGGAAAAAAAUCAGCGCAUUAUUAUUUCCUCGGAAAGAUGCAAACCUACAGAAAAUGACAGAGAUUUCUUGGCAAAUAAAAACUCUGAUGACCAAAUAAUAAGCUUGAAGAUCUGGAUGUAGAUGAACAGCACCGGGCACACCGCACACAGGCAUAAGACUUUAGAAGAGAGUAGUACACCUUACUACCUCAGAGCUUUUCCAGAAUUAGACUGGGAGUGUUUGGAUCCAUGGACUAAUUUUUAGUUCAGGUCACAUCGGAUAUUUGGAUACCAAUUAAAAAGACUAAACGUGAUCUAAUUAUAAAACUAAUUGCAUAAGCCGUUGGUAAUUCGCGAGAUGUAUCUAUUAAGCCUAAUUAAUCCAUAAUUAGCACAUAUUUACUGUAACAUCGCAUGGUCAAAUCAUGAACUAAUUAAACUUAACAGAUUAAUCUUGCGAAUUAAUCUUCAUUUAUGCAAUUAGUUUUGUAAAUAAUCUAUAUUUAAUACUAAUUCUAAUUAGUAUCGUAUUCGACGUGAUACAGGGACUAAAGUAUUGUUCGAUGUGACACAGGGACUAAACAGUUUGUGCGGCCGGCUGCUGCUCGAGCUCGCUGGUGGGGGAAGACUUUGACCCGGACUUGGGAGAGAUGCACUCAUUUGUUUUCUUUUCUUAAUUUUUUAACGAAAGACAACAAUACCCCUGUCUUCUUUCUCUUUCCUAUUUGUAGUCUGAACACAAGAAAACAAAGCGAAGUGUUUGGCAUAAAUUUUGUACGCGCAUCAGACUUCAGCAAUACCUGUCAAAGCUCGCUGGCACCAACCGCCUCCCUCGCCUCUGUCGUCACAAUUUUUUGUCAAAGCUUGCUGGCACCAACGAGCCCCGGACCAGCGCUGGUGUCUGAUUGCCUCCAGGCAGUUAAAUACAUUCAGAGUCCAUUCCUGGAGGCUUCAUGGAAGCUUCGUCCUUGGAUUUCUCAAUGCCAGCAACACGGUCUUGAUGUGGAUUUGCAGGUUACAAAAAUUUCGAGGGUUCAAAACCAGGCAGCCCAUCUUCUUGCUGUCAAAAAGCUAGGACUUCAUCUUCUUAUACACAGCUCAAUCCUGUUUGUACAAAACCAAGACAUGAUCCUGCUUGUGCUGCUCUCUCAGCACUUCUUUCUGUACAAUUGGGUCACCUGACCCUCACCCAUGUACACUGCUUUUAGCUCUUGAAUGAAGUUCUUUUUCAAAAAAAAAAAAAAAAAAAACGAGCCCUCUUUACCAGCCACAACUCCUCUACGGGCUCCACUAUCUCCUCGGCCACCACCAGAUCCAUCAACAGCAUCUGACGGCCAUAGUGGCUCGAAUUUAUCAUGCCAAGCAUAACUCGCCCAAUUCAUGCCAAAGAGGCUGGCACACCAAGUGGAAACCUCAUUACUGGAAAAAAUAAAAGAAAUUGAGGUGUGACCGUGGGAGGGGUUUUCUGGUCUUUUAGCAAGCUAUCAUUUUCAUUAUCUCUUCUACAUUUAUUUUAAUUGGGCAACAUAAAACAAUGCCUCACGUCCAGGGGCGGAUCCAGGGCCCGGGCUGCCCGGGCUGCAGCCCGGGGCGAGACCAUGGAGUCCCUUUAACCUAUGUGUUGUUUAGCCUAACAAAAUGAGGUUUAGGAGACAAAAUUAGACUAUUUUAGGUGUGAUUCAACAGCUCAGCCCGGGGCGCAACCCCGUUCUGAAUCCGCCCCUGCUCACGUCGGUAGGGAAUGGCCAAGGUUUGAUUUCUUUCUUUUGUGGGUCUACCAGUCUCAGCCUUGCUUCUGUCUUUUUGUUACGUACAUAAUUAUAAUAUUUUGUUUGGUAGCCAUUAUUGGAGUUUGGCCUAGUCACGAGAUGGCAUAGUCCAAAUAAUCAGACAGAACUUUGUCAACCCCAGAACUCUAUAAGCAGAGCCACUUUUGUUUCUAAUUCCCUAGUUUUGCAUCUGUGGUGCCAAUCCAAGGCUACAUGAUACGGAACGAAGAAUAGAUUAAUAAUAAAAAACAAGGAAUGGAAUAAAGUGGCAAGGAGCAUCAAGGAACGGCUGGUUCACUGCAUUAUUGAGUUGCAUCUCACUGCAGCCCUCCUCACACUGGUACGGUGAGCUCCGGCUGCAGCUGCAAGACGACUAGCAGGUGCGUACUUGCUUCUCUGAAUUCCCGCUUAAUUGAAAGACAAGGCUGAACUCUGAAUUCCUUUCUCUGGGUAUACAUAUGAUCCUCCACAACUGCUUCAGUUUAUUUCUUUUUUGUGAACGUCCUGUGAGGCUGUGAGAUCUAUCAAAUCGGUUUGGCAACUUUCAUCGCAGAGAGAUCUGCUUCUACUGCCAUGGCAUCCCCAACAUCCAGUAUGGUUUCAUCACAAAACUCUACUACUUUUGCAUCUAUUGGUAAUUGGUUUCGUGUUUCUUUCUAAUUUCGUUCUUUCUUUUUUUUUCAAAAGAUUGAUUUGAUAGGAAGUGGUAGGAAACGAAUUGAAGAGAAGGUUUUCUUGGUAGUACCUGUACAAGGCUGCUAGUCUUGAUGUAGAAGAAUAACGCCAUGAAGGGUUGGACAGAUGACCAUCCAAGGAAGCUACAAUACUCACUAGUUAAAGAGAUUACAAAUAAUUUUGCAGAUGAACUUGGACGCGGUACAUUUGGACGUGUGUUUAAGGUACCCCUAUUAAAUUAAAAAUCUCCUUUGUAAUGUUCGUUGUAAAACAUACGAUGUUUUUAAAUUUAUUUACAUUCAUAAUCUCUGACCUCCUUCUAUCUCUUACAGUGAUUGUGGGUAAACCUUUAAACUAAAUAUCUCUUCUUGCCAAGCUAACAUUUGAACCAGGGUCAUGGUAUAAUUAAAAGUGUAGUUUAUAAUCCAAAGCUCUAUUUGUUGCAUAGGUGUCCUUUGAGCCAUGGGAAUGUCUCCAGAAAAACAUAUGUGGAAAAUAUAUCAAAGAUGGUUUCUGUUUCUAGACCUUAUCAUUAGCAGUUUUAAAUAAAAGAACAAUUUGCAAUGAGCUCAUAUCACAGAAAGUAUUACAAAAUAUAUCGCAAAUGGUUUUUAUGUCUAAACCUUGCCACAGAUACUUAGUUUUGAAAGCAAAACAGUCAUUGGUGGCCUUGAGACUAUCUGUAGUAGUGAAUGUUGGAUGAUAUUGUUGUUUAUUGUCUUAACAUCGGUUAUAUGAGGAUGUGUGCAAAAGGAACCGAGCUAAUCGUAUUCAUUUUCAUUUAUAAUUCUCUGUUACUAUAUAUCAGCAUAGAAAAAACAAAAUUAUUAUGUGUAAUUAAAGAAGGUGUUUAAUAGGGGCUGCUUGAUGAUGGAGAAGAGGUUGCUGUGAAGCUGCUUCGUUAUUUCACGCCUGAGAUCAGUGACCAGCAGUUCCAAAAUGAAUUUGGAAACCUUAAGAAGCUCAAGCAUCCUAAUAUUGUACAAUUGUUGGGGUUCUGCGAUGAACCUGAGGAAGAAAUUAUUGAGCACAAAGGAAAAUUAAUACUUUGCUAUAGGAUACGCAGGGCACUAUGUCUUGAGUAUGUGCCCAAUGGAAGCCUUCGCAAGUUUCUUUCAGGUAAGGUGCUCAUGUGUUAUUGCGUAAUAUUAUUUCGGACAUGUGAAUAAAAAUAUUCUUUGCAUUAUGUAUAUUGAGAAUAUUAUGUUUGUUCUUGUAGGUGGAUGUCUUAGCAAGAAUUGGCCCAUACGCUACAAAAUAAUUAAGGGAAUCUGCGAGGGUCUACAGUACCUUCACAAGAUUCCCAUUUUCCAUCUUGACUUAAAACCUGAUAAUAUACUGCUAGAUGAGAAGAUGUUGCCAAAAAUCGCCGAUUUCGGUUUAUCUAGGCUCAUUGGUGAAGGGAACACCAAAAGGACAAUGACGCCUCUAGGGACAGUGUAAGAUUAUUGUCUCAUGUGAACUUUUGAUCUGCUAAAUUGUAGUUAUUCCUUAGUCUCACUUUGCUAUGUCAUUUAUGUUCUGCUGCAGUGGAUACUUGCCUCCAGAGUUCAUUGACAAUCAAAUAAUCUCCAGGGAAUAUGACAUAUAUAGUUUAGGUGUUAUAAUUAUGCAGAUAAUCACUGGUGUUACAAGCUUCUCUGAUUUUGCUGACAUGGAGCCCCAAGAAUUUAUUGAACAUGUAAGAAUAAUUUAAUUAAUCUUAAUUUAUAAGCCUCUUAGAUACUAGAACAUGUAAGAAUAAUUUAAAUAAUCUUAAGCGGGUUACGUAUAAUGGAUCGAUUGUUAUUGCAUUGAGCCUCUCGGCUGGUACAUAUUAAGUACAAGAUUUGUGGGGCAAGACUCCUCCAGAUACAUAUGGCAGUCUACAACACGUAUAUCUACAACUACCAAAUAUACUCUAACACUUCGUUUUGGAGAUUCUUAUUGUAUAUAAAGUUGGCAGCACGCCAUGUUGAUAGUCCUGUUGGAACAAUAUCCAUGAAUUUAUCACCAUUUAAUAGCAGAUGCAUGCAAGUAGAGUGUCACUCCAUCAGCUUUCAACCACUUUAGAUUCAAGGGAGAUCUUUCUGUAAAUCACACUGUGGACUCUACAUGUUGUGGUUAUUAUUUCACUCAUCACAUUUGGUCAGAACUCUAAAGUUCAUUAUAGUGCACGAGCCCAUAUAAACGUGACAGGUCAUAACGAUUUACUGUUACAAUCAAUUCCUAUAUUCAAAACAAAACAACAUGUAUUUGCAAUAGGGCGGAGUACUAAAUUCCAUAAUAUUAACCGCCCUUGUACUUGUUUUACUCUGUGUUUUAACUUCAAAGGUACAUGACAACUGGAAAAGAAGUCUAGAAGAGAUCCCAGAGUAUGCGUCACUUGAAGCGGAUUGCAAACAAGUGAAAAGAUGUAUGGAAAUUGCAAUAAACUGCAAGAAGAAGAAGCGUCAUGAAAGGCCUACAAUGGAGGAUAUUAUCAGCAAAUUAGAUGAGAUGGAAACUGUUAAAAUUGACACGCAGUUGUCAAUUAAAAAGGUACAACCUAUCAUUCAUCUUAUAUAUGUAAAAAAUAUAAAACCCAUAGUUUAUUUGUCCCUAAAUAUUACCAGUGGUCGAAAAUAUAUACUUGGCUCUUUAUACGUCCACAUGGCAACUUUCACUAUGUUUUUAAAUAUUUAAGUUGUAAACAGGGAAAAUAAAUUGCUUGAUUUGUGUCGGAAAUAUGCAUAUAUCGGAUAUAAAAGUGAGCAAAAUACUCAUAUGACUCUCAGUAUAUUAAUGUCUCUGUUUCUUGCCACUGUUAAUUUUGUGUAUGCUGUAAUUCUAACUAGAGGUGUGUGCGCGCGUUAGAACUGCAGUUUAAUUUCCCAACCAAACAGCACCUUAGUUUUCUGAUAUAAAAUAAGUCUACAACAGAUCCCAGAGUAUGCCAUCAUGUGAAUUCAUACCGACACAAGUCGAUGAGAUAUCAGCCACGGCCCUUGCAAUCGUAGAAUACAAGACGAAAACAGUAAGGUUCUGUUGGGAUACAGUAUGAGUAUGUUAAAGUUUAACGAGGUGUUAAAGUUUAACACAUGUGGGAUGUUUGGAUGGUCUGUUAAAUUUUAACACCAAAGGUUGGAAUUGACACCAUUGCCCCUCAAUUACUCCUCCUUUCUCUUCUCUUCUUUGCCCCUCCUCAACUUCUUCCUUUACCGCCGAAUCCCCCGGCCCCGCGGCUCCCGCACGGCCAAGCGCUGCCGAUGCCGCACGGCCAGAUCCCGGUGGAGCUCCUCAAUGGCCGCCGCACCGCCGCUCCUCCGCCGUGGUGGCCCCCCGCGUGUGGCGCGUCGACCCAAUGUUCGCCGCGGUGGGCAACCGCGUCGUCGCGCUUGGCGGCGCGUGCCGCCUCCCGCUGGCCGAGGGUGAGGACGAAGUGGUAGUGGAGGUCCACGAGGGCGGUGGGUGGACGGCCUGCGACCCCAUGCCCGACGCGCUCAGGGACUCGGCGUCCGCGACGUGGCUCUCAGCGGCGGCCACAGACCAGCAGGUGUAUCUGGUGGAGAGGGCCACCGGAUGGGCAUGGCCGGGUGGAGGUGGCGGGGCCUGGCGGAGGAGCUGAAUCAGGGGCCGCCAGAUCGGAGAGGGACCUGAGCAUGGCGGCCUUGACUGCCAUGCUAGAGAAGGAGGCCUCGCGCAUGACGCGCGCCAUGGACGGGUCGUCGAGGAUGGCGAGCACGAGGUGAGGCAUGCCGACGCGGAGGAGCUGAAUCGGGGGCCGUCGGAUCGGAGAGGAACCUGAGCAUGGCGGCCUUGACUGUUGUGCUGGAGAAGGAGGCCUCGCACAUGACGCGUGUCACGGACGGGUCGUCGAGGAUGGCGAGCACGAGGUGAGGCACGCCGACGCGGAGGCGGCGGGGCCAGGCGGAGGAGUCGGGGCCGGCGGAGGAGAUGCGGAUGGGGAUGGUGCCGGGAGGGGAGAAAGGGCUAGCGGGGAUGGGAGGACUUGUGGGCGGUGAUGGCGGCCGGGAAGGAUGGACGGCUGGGGGAGCUGGCGGCAGGAGGGGAGGAUGCAAUGCGGGAGUAGCUGGCGGCAGGACAGACGCGAUGGGGCGACCAGGGAAUUGGGGGCAGCGGAGGAGAUAGAGAGGGGCAACCAAGGAAUUGAGGGUAUUAAAACUCACUAGGGGAUCACUUUUAACAGUUUAACAUCCUCUUUAUAAAAUUGGGAGUGUUAAAGUUUAACAAACUCUUUUAACACAUCUGUUUGGAUGGGCAUAUGUUAAAAAAGUGUUAAAAGUGGAGCAUUAAACUUUAACACCCCUAUCCAAACAGGGCUUAAGUUAAGCAGCCAUGCACAGCCUGUGCAGAUAUAAACGAGAGGCCGACGUCUCUGGAAUUAGCCACCGUCUCCUAUGCGAAGGAAUGAACCACGACGAAACAUGAUUAGAUCAGUAGACGUCCGUCUGUGCAAAAUCACUAACAAUGUGCCAAAAUUAAAUUAAUUAGCUUUAGGAUCCGUGCUAUUUUUUUUAAAGGAGCGCCGGAGCAAAAUCCACAAUGUAAUUUUUACUAUAUUUCGUAGGAUGAGCAAACACCAUUUUCCUAAGAUUUGCCAAUUGUUUUUAUUGACAGGGUUACUUUGAAGAAUCCAGAUUCUUAUCUAGUGGCAUCCUGGGCAGGCCAUAUCAAUGUUAGUAAUGUUACAUUUUUUUAGAUCCCUUCAUUUACUAAAUAUUUAAUUUAUUUUUAUUGAAGUUUGAUAUUGAUAUAAUGUAGCAUGCUGUGUGUUGGUGUAAUUGUGUUGUUCAGUACAAUCGGCUGGAGCGGUAAUCCUUGCUGUCACGAAGAUUGGUUCCAUUUUAGGAGAUGAAACCUCCAAGGUUGUUAUAAAUAAGCUGUCUGAAAAAGUUCAAGCUCUGAAGGAACUGCCACGGAAAGUCGAUCAAAUAAGGAUGAAAUUGACAUCAAUGAGUGAUACUAUACAAGAGAUCGGCACAGACUACCUCACAGAUGAGCCUGUCAAUAAUUGGAUCGGGGAGGUCCGGAAGGUGGCUUACCGUGUUGAAGAUGUAGUAGACAAAUACUCAUACCAUGUUUUUCAACUGAUGCAAGAAGGGUUCCUGAAGAAGUACUUCAUCAAGGGCACCCAUUAUGCCAUUGUUUUCAGCGCAAUUACAGAUGAGAUAGCUGAUAUAGAAGAGGAGAUUAACCAAGUUAUUCUGAUGAAGGAUCAGUGGUUGCAGCAUUCCCAGCUUGUUCCUGACAAACUUGCCGUGAUUGAAAGGCAGCGGUCCCAAGAUGGUUUCCAAGAUUUUGUCAAAGAUGAAGAACUAGUAGGAAUUGUAAAAAAUAGAAAAUUGCUGUCUGGAUGGCUGUACUCGGAUGAGCUGGAUAGCACCGUGAUAACAGUUUCGGGUAUGGGUGGGUUGGGAAAAUCUACCCUGGUAACAAAUCUUUAUGAACGAGAAAAGGUCAACUUCCCUGUGCAUGCUUGGAUUGUUGUGUCACAGAUCUGCCCGGCAGACGCUCUGUUGAGAAAGCUACUCUGGAAGAUUGAGGACAUGGUACCACCAGUACCAUCAGAAAUUGACAAAAUGGAUGUACACGACUUGAAGGCAGAAAUAAAGAAAAAACUCCAAAAUAGAAAAUGUUUGAUUGUAUUAGAUGAUGUCUGGGAGCAAGAGGUAUACUUCAAAAUACAUGAUGCUUUCCAGAAUCACCAAGCAAGUCGUAUUAUCAUUACUACACGAAAGGAUCAUGUUGGAGCCAUCGCUUCAUUGGACCACCACCUUGAGCUAGAACCAUUGGAUGGCCCUGAUGCAUUUGACCUUUUCUGCAGAAGGGCUUUUCACAACAAGAAGGACCACAAAUGCCCCAAGGAGUUUGAGAAAAUUGCUAAAUCUAUAGUGGAUAGGUGUC